Molecule: long non-coding RNA, 107057 nt
Filed under: Medicago truncatula (barrel medic)
Lineage: Eukaryota; Viridiplantae; Streptophyta; Magnoliopsida; Fabales; Fabaceae
Description: long non-coding RNA (MTRU_LNC003618)
Rfam family: MIR2617 microRNA precursor family (bases 7994-8078)
Source: RNAcentral
GUUCAUUUGCAUAUCCAAUACAUUAAGAGAAGUUAAUGUUCCCAGGCAUUGUGGAAUCAUACCUGUCAAAUUGUUGUGAGCCAAAUUGAGAACAUUCAGGUAACUUGCAUUGCAGAAUGUUGAAGAAAUAUCUCCUGUGAAGUUGUUAUUUGAGAGUGAAAAGUAUCCAAUGCCAUCAGGUGGAAUUGGAAGAUCUCCUUGUAACUUGUUGAAACUCAAGUCAAUGUACGAAAUCCCAUUCCAUGAGUUUUCCCAUUCCAUGAGCUUCUUAUGAAACCAUUUGGGAAUUUUCCCAUGAAUGUUGUUGUUGGAGAGAUCUAACGAUUGCAGAUUUGGUAGUUGCGCUAGGAAUUUAGGAAAACUAUUAAUAUUAGCAUUAGAUAAUUCUAAGUCAACAAGGUUGGGUAAGAUGGAGUCAACAUUGCUAUUAAUGUUGAUAGAAAGAAAACUAUUAUGGGAAAGAUCAAGGGAACCUAGUUUGUUUAAUUUUGAAAAUUGGUGAAAAUCCACAACACCACUUAAGUUUGUGGAUGACAAAUAUAAGUCGGUAAGAUUUUGGAGUUGAAAUAUUGAAUUUGGAAAAUGACCUUGUAGGUUGUUAUUAGAGAGAUCCAAAUAUUGCAAAGAAUAUGUUGAAAACUCACCAAUGAACCCUGUGAGGUGGUUGUUGCUGAGGUGUAACUCUAACAACGAAGGCAAAGAAUAACACCAAUGUGGAAUUGUUCCAUUUAACAUGUUAUCACUCAAACCCACAUAGCUCAAUUUUGAACGUUUUGUGAUUUCAAUUGGAAUUGGCCCAACUAGUUUGUUAUAUGAUAAACCUAAAAUAGAAAGGUGAGGUAGAUGAAAAAGUGAUGAUGGAACUUGGCCUGUUAGGUUGUUAGAGGAAAGUGAUAAAUAUUCCAAUUUGAUUAAAUUUCCAUAAACAUUUGGGAUGCUAGCACUAAAGUUAUUCAAUCCAAGAUCACAAUGAAUGAGGUGUUUGAGGUUUGAAAGUAAUGGUGAGAUCUCACCGUUAAGUUUAUUAUGUGAAAGAUCCAAAUAUGUUAGUUGGGUGAGGUUCCACAAAGAUAGAGGAACCAUUCCAUCAAAAUUGCAGAAUGAAAGGACUAAUUGAGUAAGAGACUUCAAUUGACCUAUGGAAUAAGGAAUUUCACCUGAAAAAGCAGAGAAAGAGAGGACCAAGUACCUUAGAGGAGUGCUCCAGUUGGACUUUGGAAGUUGACCACUAAGGUUAUCAUUAGAUGACAAAUCCAAUCUUUGAAGAUUAGGUAAAGAGAGGAUGUCACUUGACAAAUUUCCUUGCAACUCAGUUUCUGAUAGACUAAGAGAAACCAAAGAGGAUGACAAAUUCUUUAGCAUUGACAAAGAGCUCUCUCUGAUGGAAGACAUGUUCACAUUAUCCAAAUAAAGUUCCCUUAAAUUAGUAGCAUUAUGAAUGAGUUUCUUCCAAAUGAACGAAUUGAGUUUCAAUCCCACUUCUGCGGACCAGUAACUGCUAAGAUCAAGUGAUACUAAUUUUGACAAAUGAGAGAUUGUGGAAGGAAUAUUACCACUGAGGUCAGAGUAUGAUAGAUUUAGAUGUGUGAGUUUCACUAAAUCUCCAACACCAAUAGGUAUUGAAGACCAAGAAAAAUGAUUAAAAGCCAAGUUGAGUUGUUGAAGGUGUUUAAGCUGAAAGAUGGUGCUAUUGGGAUGUAAUUCACCUUUUAGAUUGUUGCAACUGAGGUCCAGACCAAUCACGUGAUCUGACAUGGUGUCGCACGUGACACCAUCCCACUCACAACAAUCUGUACUGUUUUCCCAAGAUUCUGUCUUGAAAGAAAAAGAAGAACGCGCAAAAUAGAGUUGAGAUGAAGUGCUGACAGAAAAAGAGUUUUUGAAUUGUAACAAGGCAGAGUUGUCAUGUUUGUUGCACAGUGAGAAAGUGUAGGAAGUAAAAUGAGUAAUCAACAACAACAAGAAAAAGUGAAAGGUAAAAUAAGGCAAUGGAAUAAAAAAGGAUCCCAUUUAGAGAAACUUACACUUAAUACUCUCUUCUCAGUAUUAUUUCCUUUUUCCUUUAUGAUAUGAUUUUGGAUGUACCAAUUGAUUUCCCUCUAUUUAGUUAUUUAUAUUCAAAGAAACUAAAGCAUUGAUAUAAGAUGGGUUUGUUUUGUAGUAAGUGCUGGUGCUUAUCUUCAACCGUAUGAGGCACUCCAGUUCGAAGAUUGAUUUUUUGUGGUUGCAAUUUUUUUGUAAUGGAGUACUAAUUGACGAUAACAUUCAUUUAUUACUAAUUGACGAUAACAUUCAUUCAUUAGUAUCCAUACAAACAUUUGGUGUAUAAUUAAGUGGUGCAUAAUUAAGAUAUGUAGGGUCAACCAAACAUUUAUCAAUUUAUUUUUGAGCAAAGUAAUAUAAAAUUACUUUAACAAAUUAAUUCUAAAGUUGAAUGAAGAGUUAUCUUUAAUUUAAAUGAAAUUAAGAAAAUUAAUUGAGCCAAUGAAUGAAAGUUAUUUUGCGUAGAAAACCGAGUAAACGUUUUAGAAAUUGAGUCUUGCGGUGCUCUUGUUUGGUAGUAGCUAGGGGAUGUCUUCUUCAACCGUAUGGAGCACUCCACUGGAAAUAUUUUUUGUGGUUGCAAUUUUAGUGAUACGAUAAUUAAUUCAUUAGCAUCCAUAGAAAUAUUACAAGACUUGACUUUAGCCAAAUGAGACAAUUCCAUGAAGAAAAAUGAUAUAUUGGAACAGAUAUUAUUAUUUUUUUAAUAGAAAGAUUUUGGAACACAUAUGUGACAUCAAACAAGAGACGUCUACACAUGUCCUUUUUUAAUAUUUAAAAAAAACUUUUUUAAAAUGGUGGAGAAUUAUUGUAACACAAAAAUUAAGUUGUGAUAUUAACUUUUUUUUCACGCGCAUGGCUAGUAGACAUGUCAUACAUGGAACCAUGAUGAUCUUGAGAUUUUUGAGUAAAUGACGUGCACCCACGCCAAAGGUUGACAGACAAAUCUGUUGUACCAUAAACUCGACCACGGGUACGACCCCCUGCAGACUCGGUCCACAACCCAAGUUUUGUUCCUCCAUCAGCCUCUUGCACACCAUCUCUAGUUGUUUCAUCAAUCUGGGCUUGUACUGUACUCAAAAGGAACGAACUAUGAAGUAGUUAAAUUAUAGUCUUAACCAUUGAUUUCAAUUCAAUAGUUAUAAAUAUUGUUUCUUAGUUUUUGCUCUGUUUCUAUUGUAAAUAUUGUUUGGACUUUGCUGGUUCUUUCUUAGUACAUCUUGUGCUAGGAAAGACUCAUUGUAAAUAUUGUUUGAUUUCGUAAUAUAUUCCAUUUUAGCUUCUUCAAAAAAAUUCAAUAGUUAUAAUUUUGCAUCAUAUUCGGAGCACUCAUCAUUUUAGAGGAGCCAAAUCCAAAAAUAGUACAUAUGACCAGGUGGAGGAUCUGAUGUAUUAACAAAUUUGCUCAAGAUUUGUAUCUCACUUUCUCAAAGGAAUAGUGAUCUCAUCUUCUAACUUCACUCACUAAAUAUCUGUCAGAAUUUGUAUAGACCGUAAAGAUUUUGAACUCUUGAUUGAAGGGUGUUUCCUCACUAUGAAAGGAAGUCAUGUUGUCUUAUUACAUUUAUCAUCUGGUUCAAAAUAUUGGAUUAGCAAAAGGCAAGUAAGUUUGACUCGACCUUAAAAGGUCAAUAUGUAUAGGUAGGUGAGAAGAUUCUCUUGAUUUUUAAUAUUCUUGCCACCAAAUUAUAGGAUUUUAAUGCAUAUUAAUGGCUACUUUUUCUUUUAAUUUGUGGGGAGAAUUAUUUUUAAGACAUUUGAUUGAACAGUUUAUGUUACAUUGGUUAAAUAGGUGGUACAAAAGUACUAGUUUUCAACCAUCACAUGUGGUGUUACAUUGGCAAUUUGAUUUCCUAGCCUCGUUUGUGGCAUUCUUUAUCGAUCGAGAUGUACACCAAGUAUUCUUUAUUCAAAUGUUUUUAUUUCUUUUAAAAUGGAGCGGGGAGUGAUUUAUAUAAACAGGGGAGGUAUAAAGAAACCAGCAAAAUAGAGUGUUGAUUUUGAGUAGAUAGGUACAAUAACUUGUUAUCUAACUAGUUAUUUUGGGAAUUGUUGGAACAUUGAUGUGAUGCUUGAUGAAAAAUUAGAAGAUUAAACAUCAAGUAAUUAUACUUUGAUAUAAUGUUGUGUGAAUUGAAAAAAUAGAGUGUGGGGUCCCACAUAAAAUAGAACACACACAUAUUAGUAGUGUUUAAAUUGUGGUAUUUAAUUUUAAAUACUUGAUAAUGAUAAAAAUAAUAGUAAUUAUUAUUUUAUUCGAGAAUAUCACUUUCCAUAAAUUUAGCUUAUGGUGGUUGUGAUAAGAAUAAUAAUUUAAUUAUUAUUAUAUUUCCUUCAUUCAAAUCCAAUAGUUUUUUUCCUCCACUUUUGUGGAUUUGUUUCUUUUGAUCCUAUCCACAAGUGUUGUUGAACUGAUUAAUAGAUAAACUCCAUUUUAAUCUUAUUCAUUAGAGUAACUGUUGUCGCAAUUUUUGCUAAAACAGUUACAGAAUCUCUAUAUAAAUAGAGGACUCCACUGAAGUAGAUAAAAUAGUCACAAGGAAGGGGGGGGGGGGGGGUUUGAAUUGUGACCCUUUAAAAAUUAAACCUGUAACUUAAAAUUGAUUCUCAAGUUGAAACUUGGAAUGGUUAAGUUAAAACAGACUUCAGAACGUUCUGAUGUCUGAUUGCAAAAACAGUUUAAUAAAGUAAAUGUGUUUGUGUUUGUUGUGUAUGCAGUAAGUAAAGAGUAUAGGGAAGAGAGAAUCAACACAUAGAGAAUUUAUAGUGGUUCACCCAAUGUGGGUUAGUCCACUCCUCACAAUCUUGUGAGAGUUUCCAUUAUGAUGCUUGAGAUAACCUCUCAAAUCCUGCACCUUACAUUCCUUGUUCACCUGAACAAUUACAACAUCUGUAUUCUCUAAGCCUCAGCAGACUUGCACCUUGUUGCUAAGUUAACCACUUAGACUUUUACAAACUCAGCUCAAACUAACACUUUAGUACCUCUAAAGCUAGAUGAGAUUUGUUUUUCUUCUUGCUAAGUUACCCACUUAGACUUUUUCUCCUUCUGCUCAAACUAACACUUUAGUACCCCUAAAGCUAGAUGAGACUUUCUUUUCUUCUUGCUAAGUUACCCACUUAGACUUUUGCACCUUUAGCUCAAACUAACACUUUAGUACCCCUAAAGCUAGAUGAGACUUUACAAGAUGUUUGAAGCUUGAAUGAUUGAAAUCAGACAAGAGAAGAAAGGAAGGAAGUGUUAUCUUUAAAGAGAUAACAAAGAGUAUUGAUGUGCACUAAGGAAACAAGAACCUUAGAGAUUGAUCAAUUUCAAUUUGCAAGAGCUUCAAACAAUCAAGUUGUUUUCUUGUAUGCUUUGCAAUUUGUUGUGGAGUUUGAAUGUUUGAGAAUCAAACAGAGGAGGAGGAAGAAAGUUAUCUUUGCACGAGAUAACUAAGAGUAUUGAUUUGCAUUAAGGAAACAAAAGUCUUAGAGAUUGAUAAAUUUCAAUUUGCAAGAGCUUCAAACAAUCUUUGUUGUUUUCUUGUAUGCUUUGCAAUGGUGCAAGUUUUGCUAAUUCCUUGAUCUCUAUUUAUAGAGUCUUUGGGCUCAUAUAGCCGUUGUAGGAUGUUCAAUGGUGUUAUGCCAUGUGUCCUAGGUCCCACAAGCUUUAACUUGAAAUUCUGGGCAAACAUUCUGAUCUCUGAUGAACAUCAGAAUGUUGUUGUGUUCAUGAUGAUCUUCAUCUGGGUUCAUCAUGUAUGAAUGAACACAUGAAGUUCUGGGCUAUGCAUAUGCUUUUCAUAUGAAUUUCUGGACAAUAACCAAUGUAUGGACUUUUCUUCAUACAUCAGAAUGUUCCUUUCCCAGAUUUUGCCUUGGGUGUAACGCCCUAGUUAUUUAAUUAAUUAUUUUAUUAUGAGGAGUAUAUAUAUAUAUAUAUAUAUAUAUAUAUAUAUAUUAUUAUAUAUGAUGUUUGGUGAUUUAUGUGGAGUAUAUGCAUAUAUUUAUUCAUAUGUGAUUUUUGGAUGUUCUAUGUGGUACAUUAUUUUACUAUAUGGUUUAGUUAAUAAUAAUUAAAAUAAGUAUGAAAUAUUAGUUAUUUUGGAGUUUGGAGAGUUAUUUAAUAAUUAUUAAAAUUCAUGGGGAGCUAAUAGAAAUAUUAGGGAGUUAAGUAAUGGGAAGUUAGGAAAAGAGAAGUUAGAAGCUUUGUACGUGAAAACUGUCAAGUUGGGAGAAAGGGAGAGAAGAGCAAGUAUAACCCAGAGAAUUCAAUUGCUGUGCAUUUCUUCUGCAAUUUUAAGGUAAGGGUGGGAUUUACUUCAAGUAUGUAGUUAUUGAAUUCUGAUUUUGUGUUUAACAGAGUGUUGGUGAGAAUUUGGGAAAUUGGGUUUUUAUGAUAAAAUGAUGAUUUUGAAGUUGUAAGCAUGAUUUUGGGGUUAGAAUUAGGUUCUGGUUGCAUAGAACACUUAAUUAUGUAUCUGUAAACUGAUUUGGGGAGUGAUUGGAAGAAAAAUGGGAUUUUGGGGAAAAACCAGUUUUCUGCCCGUACUGAUGUUCAUUGCUCGCCUCGCGAGCAUUCAUGUCUCGCCUCGCGAGUGAACAACAUCAUUACUCGCCUCGCGAGCAAUCCAACUCGCCAUGGCGAGUAGCCCAGAAUAAAACUUGAUUUUUGAAAAGUUGUUAUAAGAUGUUUUGGGGAUGGUUUAAGGUACCUAGAUGAUUUUAAUGAUGAAUGGUGGAAGUUUUAGGUUAAAAAGAUGAAUAGGGAACUUAGAAAUGGAGUUUGAGUGAGAAAAUGUCACUUUUUCCCGAGAGCACCCGUUUUUCACUCGCCUCGAGUUCGCCUUGAACUCGCCAUGGCGAGAUAGGAAUUUUGUGAACUCGCCAUGGCGAGCAGAUGUGCUCGCGAGGCGAGCUAGUGCAGUUUGAGUGCAGUUUUGCUUGCUUGAUUAAUGAGGUUUGAGUGUUGUUGUUUAAGCAUAAUCGUAUUUAAUUGUGCAUCAUUAUGAAUGGUUGAAUCUCUGUUGGAUGUUGAUUGAUGAUGAGGAAUGUAUUGUAUGUUUUAAAUAUUAAUCAUACAUGUUGUUUUAAUUGGAGUCACAUGGAGUUGCAUUGCAUGGUCAGUUGUAUGUAGAUAUACACAAGUAGGUCCAUUGCAUAUGCAUAAAACAGCGGUGAGGGCUUCGGUCCUGGAGUACUAGUUACUCAACAGCGGUGAGGGCUUCGGUCCUGAUGAAUGCUUUAACCAUUCAAAAGCGGUGAGGGCCUCGGUCCUGAUUGGUACCACAUGCAUAAUUGCAUUUCAUUAAGAAGUCUAAGAUGGUGUCUUAGCAGUGGUCAUGUCAUUUGCAUGGGUCUCGGUUGUUAUUUCAGUUAUUACCUGGUUGAUGUUGAUGUUGGAUAUACAUUCAUAUAUAUAUGUAUUCAUUGUGGUUUUGGUGUAUUGUUGAUGUUGUUGAAGUUAUGUACAUUGUAUACAUACCUGUUAAAUGGAUGAUUAUGAUGAUGUUGCUGUGUCUUGUGAAUAGUUAUGAAUAUUACAAAAUGUUAUAUUUGAAGUUAUAGGGUGUUAGAUUCAUUUGAAGAUUUAAUAUCUAUAUUGUUGUUGUGAAUCUCACCCCUUCUGCUUGAAAACGUUGCCCUUCCUAUGGGUAACUUGCAGGUGAUCCUGAGUAGUUGGUGGUGGCUCAUUGUCGUGUCUAGGGCUCUGAUACGUGGGAUGGGAAUAUUGAUUAUCUUUGUUGUUGUUGCUUUUCCUUUCCAUGUAUCAAAUUUUGGAACUUGUGGUGUGGAGCCUUUUGUUGUCUUUGAACUAUGAUGUUGGAUUAUGUUAAGGCCUUUAAUGCCAUAGACUUUUGUUGGAUGUUCAUGAUGAGAUGGAUUUUGAAAACUAUUCCGCUGCUAUGUUUUCAUUUAUAAUAAGUUGAUUCGAUUUAAAUAGUUUUAUUUUCUAUUUAAGAAUUUUGAAAUGACGUGUAGCAUGCCCGUUGCGGGAUUACUCUGAUGUUUAUAUGCUAUUUAAUUGCUUUUGGGUAACGGGGUGUUACAAUUUGGUAUCAGAGCAGGUUGGUCCGUCCGGCCAAGUAGUAGAGUCUUGUUGAGCCACCUAGGAUAGAGUGUCAACUUUAAUGUUGCUUUUUGUUGUUGUCUUGUUGUUUGUUUGUUGUGUCUUGGUAUGAACUGGUUGGAGAAUAAUCAUGUUCAUAUCAAUUGGUUUAGUAAGACGGUGUACUUUACUUCUGCCGGAGAAGAGAGUAAAGCUGAGUUUGUGACUACGAAGCAGUUGUAGGAGUUGUUGAAUGAAGGUACUUCAGUGGUUGCUUUGACGACGUCUUUGUCGGUAGAAAAUCAAGCUGUGAUUGAUGGUUUACCUGUAGUGAAUGAAUUUCCAGAAGUAUUCCCUGAUGAGAUUCCUGAUGUGCCACCAGAGAGGGAGGUUGAAUUUUCAAUUGAUCUUGUUCCAGGAACUAAGCCGGUGUCGAUGGCACCGUACCGUAUGUCAGCUUCUGAGUUGGCUGAGUUGAAGAAACAGUUGGAGGACCUGUUAGAUAAGAAGUUUGUAAGACCCAGUGUUUCACCUUGGGGAGCACCGGUGUUGUUGGUCAAGAAGAAGGAUGGUAGUAUGAGACUGUGUAUAGAUUACCGUCAGUUGAACAAAGUUACGAUCAAGAACAGGUAUCCGCUUCCUAGAAUUGACGACUUGAUGGAUCAAUUGGUUGGUGCUAAGAUUUUUAGUAAGAUUGAUUUGAGGUCUGGUUAUCAUCAGAUAAAGGUGAAGGAUGAGGAUAUGCAGAAGACGGCCUUUAGGACACGUUAUGGUCAUUACGAGUACAAAGUGAUGCCUUUCGGUGUUACUAAUGCGCCUGGUGUUUUUAUGGAAUACAUGAAUCGAAUUUUCCAUGCCUUUCUGGAUAAGUUUGUUGUGGUAUUUAUUGAUGAUAUUCUAAUCUAUUCCAAGAAUGAGGAGGAACACGCAGAGCAUCUGAGAAUAGUGUUGCAAGUGUUGAAGGAAAAGAGGUUGUAUGCUAAGUUAUCAAAAUGUGAGUUCUGGUUAAAUGAAGUAAGUUUUCUGGGUCACAUUAUUUAUGGUAGUGGUAUUGCAGUGGAUCCUUCAAAGGUUGAUGCGGUAUCACAAUGGGAGACUCCGAAGUCGGUAACUGAGAUCAGAAGUUUUCUGGGUUUGGAUGGUUAUUACUGCAGGUUCAUAGAAGGGUUUUCGAAGUUGGCUCUUCCGUUGACACAGUUGACCUGUAAGGGUAAGUCUUUUGUGUGGGAUGCCCAGUGUGAGAGUAGUUUCAAUGAGUUGAAGCGAAGAUUGACAACUGCUCCUGUUUUGAUUUUGCCUAAACCAGAAGAACCGUUUGUUGUAUACUGUGAUGCAUCUAAGCUGGGCUUAGGUGGUGUUUUGAUGCAAGAUGGUAAGGUGGUAGCAUAUGCUUCUAGGCAGUUACGUGUUCAUGAGAAGAAUUAUCCUACACAUGACCUGGAGUUAGCUGCGGUGGUUUUUGUUUUGAAAAUUUGGAGGCAUUAUUUGUACGGAUCCAGAUUUGAGGUGUUCAGUGAUCAUAAAAGUUUGAAGUAUUUGUUUGACCAGAAGGAACUGAACAUGAGGCAGAGGAGGUGGUUAGAGUUAUUGAAGGAUUUUGAUUUUGGCUUGAAUUACCAUCCUGGUAAGGCCAAUGUGGUUGCUGACGCUUUAAGUAGGAAAACUUUGCACGUGUCUGCUUUGAUGGUGAAGGAGUUUGAAUUGUUAGAACAGUUCAGAGACAUGAGUCUUGUCUGUGAAUUGUCACCCCAGAGUAUACAGUUGGGAAUGUUGAAAAUUGAUAGUAACUUCUUAAACAGUAUCCGAGAAGCUCAGAAAGAGGAUUUGAAGUUUGUUGAUUUGAUGACUUCUGGUAAUGACACUGAGGAUAGUGAUUUCAAAGUUGAUGAUCAGGGUGUACUGAGGUUCAGAGGUAGAGUUUGUAUUCCUGACAACGAAGAGUUGAAGAAAUUGAUUCUUGAGGAGAGUCACAAGAGUAGGUUGAGUAUUCACCCAGGAGCUACGAAAAUGUACCAUGAUUUGAAGAAACUGUUUUGGUGGUCCGGUAUGAAAAGGGAUGUUGCUCAGUUUGUUUAUGCCUGUUUGGUUUGUCAGAAGUCCAAGGUUGAGCAUCAGAAGCCUGCAGGGUUGUUGACACCGUUAGAUGUACCAGAGUGGAAGUGGGACAUUAUCUCUAUGGAUUUUGUAACGAGUUUACCGAACACUCCGAGAGGGCAUGACGCUAUUUGGGUUGUUGUCGACCGGUUGACAAAGUCGGCACAUUUCAUUCCUAUUAAUAUCAGUUAUCCGGUAGCGCAGUUAGCAGAGAUUUAUAUUCACAGUGUGGUGAAGCUUCAUGGUGUUCCGUGUAACACCCCGUUUUCCCAACAUAAAAAUUCUUAAAAACAUUUAUCAGAGUAAGCAUCAUAAACAACGGGAUAUCACAUAAAACUUAAUCCAAAACAGUCAAAUAAUAAUUUAACCAAUAUCUUAAACAUUGCAGCGGAAAUUCAUAAAACGUUUUGGCACGCAGGCCCCAUCAAAAGUUCAUAAUCAUAAUCCAUAACAUUAUAAAAAUAACAUAUUAGUCACGUAAGAGAAUGAAGCAUGCAUAAACAUAAACCCCAUCCCGUUACGUAUCAGAGCGACCUAGACGACACAGUGAAGGCAAGGCCACUCACGACGGCAACUGCACACUAAGCACGAUCACCUGCAAGUUACCCAUACGAAGGGCAACAUUUUCAAGCAGAAGGGGUGAGAUUUCAUAAUACAAUAACAUUAAUCAAUGUAAUUGAGAAUCAUAAAUUAACAUCAUAUUCAUUCCAUUACUAACUUUGCAUAAUUGCUAAACAGUUAUCACGUAAUCAUAUAUCCAAUCAUUAGGAAUAACAUAUCAUAAUCAAUAAACACAUAUCACGUAAUCACAUAAUCAAUCAUCAUCAACAAGGCAUCUUAAUCAUGACACUGUGACAAUGCUCUUAGACUCCUUAUAUGCAUGUGGUACCAAUCGUCAUCAUAAGUAUUAAUAUACUUUAAUCGUGCGGAGGACAAAGCUCCUAUAAAACGUGCGGAGGACAAAGCUCCUAAUAUUCGUGGUGAGGACUAAGCUCAAUGAUAUGCUAUGCAUGGACACUUAUGAACAAAACACGUAAUCAUCGUAAUCAACAUGCAUCCAAUAAUUUGGAGCUAAACCUUAUCAUAUACAUAUGCACUUAGUUAAAUAACAGAAGCAGCAUAAACAAGUCACACAGCAAGAUGAUAUCAUUAUAUCAAUAGCACAUAAAUUGCAUUAUUAUCAAACCUUCGUAUCUUGCAUGAAUAUACAAUACAUUAGAUCAUACUCAAUUAAUAUCAAUAUAGUCUUAAACAACUCUACAGGCUGCAUUAAACGUCAUCACUAGGUCUCAAUACCAAUUAGGGGUUCACUCUUGAUCAACACAUGCGACACAGAUCGCACAAACACUCAAGCAACUACAUUCUGGUUGUACUCGCGAGGCGAGAGUACUUACUCGCCAUGGCGAGUAACACUGAUUCUCCCAAACUGAUGUUGUUCUGGGUUCAAUCCUGUCCUAAAAUCAUUCCUAAUCAAUACUAGGUAUGUUAUGGUACUCAAAGGCAUACAAGGUUCAACUAAAAAGGUCGAAACACGAAAUAUGACAUGCUCUCUGCCUAAGCUCGCGAGGCGAGGAAAGGUUGCUCGCCAUGGCGAGUUGCACCAGACAACUCGCGAGGUGAAGGGGAAAGGCUCGCGUGGCGAGCGAUGAAUCUUCAUCACUCGCGGGGCGAGGAUCAUAGCUCGCCGUGGCGAGCGAUGAAUGUCGCUACGGCCAGGCUUCCUAAAAUCACAAAAAUCCGACGUUUCACAUGGUUCUAAGCUUGGUUUUGAUUCCAGAAUUCAUCCUAAACAUAUUCUAAGGUUACAGGACAAUUCUUACAUCAAUCUAAACAAGUUUUACCGUUUAUUCUCAAAUUCUAGGGUUUUGACCUAAUUCCAAAACUUCUCUGAAUCAAUCCUAACUUGUCAACUAAUCAUCAGAAUUACAGAGGUUAAUGCUACUGAGUUAUUAGUCCCACCCUUACCUGGUUAUGAAGAAAAUCGCAGCCCUCUUGGUCUCUUGCUCCUCUCUAAGCUUUUUCUCCCUUUUCCAAAAGUUUUCACGUACAAUCAGUUUUUCUAACAAUUAGGUCUUCCCUAUUUAUAUCUCUUCCUAAUUACUUAUCUUAUCUCAAUUUCUCCCCCAAAACUAUCUAAAAUAUCAAAACAGCCCUCAACUAAAUAUUUUAUAUUAUUUUCAAAUCUUUAUUCUAUUUAUCAAUAAAAUAAAUCUCAUAUCAUAAUCAAAUCCUCCAAAACUCAUAACUUAUCACGUCAUCAAUCAUAUCAUCAAAACAUAUCAAAAUCAUGCAUAUAUUAUAUAAUUAUAAUAUAAUUGCCUAAACUCGAUUAAAUAACUAUUAAACGAAAGUGGGCGUUACAUUCCGUCUAGCAUUGUGUCGGAUAGAGAUCCGAGGUUCACUUCUAGGUUCUGGAAAAUUUUACAGGACGCCUUGGGUUCGAAGUUGAAGUUGAGUUCGGCUUAUCAUCCUCAAACAGAUGGUCAGUCGGAGAGGACAAUUCAAUCAUUGGAAGAUUUGUUGAGAGUGUGUGUGCUUGAGCAAGGUGGAGCUUGGGAUAGUCACUUGCCUUUGAUUGAGUUUACUUAUAACAACAGCUAUCACUCGAGUAUUGGUAUGGCACUGUUCGAAGCCUUGUAUGGUCGGAGGUGCAGGACUCCUUUAUGCUGGUUUGAGUCGGGUGAAAGUGUUGUGUUGGGACCGGAUUUGGUACAUGAGACUACUGAGAAAGUAAGGUUGAUAAGAGAAAAGAUGAAAGCUUCGCAGAGUCGACAGAACAGUUACCAUGACAAGCGAAGAAAGGAUCUUGAGUUUCAGGAGGGUGAUCAUGUUUUUUCUGAGGGUCACUCCUUUGACGGGUGUUGGACGUGCUUUGAAGUCGAGGAAGUUGACUCCUAAGUUUAUUGGUCCGUAUCAGAUUUCUGAGAGAGUUGGUACUGUGGCAUAUAGAGUUGGUUUGCCACCACAUCUUUCGAACUUGCACGAUGUGUUUCAUGUUUCUCAGCUUCGGAAGUAUGUUGCGGAUCCUUCUCAUGUGAUUCCGAGGGAUGAUGAUGUACAGGUUAGAGACAACCUGACAGUUGAGACUAUGCCAUUGAGGAUUGAUGACAGGAAGGUGAAGUCCUUGAGAGGUAAAGAAAUACCUCUUGUGAGAGUCGUUUGGGGUGGAGCGACUGGUGAAAGUUUGACUUGGGAGCUGGAGAGUAAGAUGCGGGAGUCGUAUCCGGAGUUGCUUGCUUGAGGUAAGAUUUCAAGGACGAAAUUCUGUAAUUUGGGGAGAGUUGUAACGCCCUAGUUAUUUAAUUAAUUAUUUUAUUAUGAGGAGUAUAUAUAUAUAUAUAUAUAUAUAUAUAUAUAUAUAUUAUUAUAUAUGAUGUUUGGUGAUUUAUGUGGAGUAUAUGCAUAUAUUUAUUCAUAUGUGAUUUUUGGAUGUUCUAUGUGGUACAUUAUUUUACUAUAUGGUUUAGUUAAUAAUAAUUAAAAUAAGUAUGAAAUAUUAGUUAUUUUGGAGUUUGGAGAGUUAUUUAAUAAUUAUUAAAAUUCAUGGGGAGCUAAUAGAAAUAUUAGGGAGUUAAGUAAUGGGAAGUUAGGAAAAGAGAAGUUAGAAGCUUUGUACGUGAAAACUGUCAAGUUGGGAGAAAGGGAGAGAAGAGCAAGUAUAACCCAGAGAAUUCAAUUGCUGUGCAUUUCUUCUGCAAUUUUAAGGUAAGGGUGGGAUUUACUUCAAGUAUGUAGUUAUUGAAUUCUGAUUUUGUGUUUAACAGAGUGUUGGUGAGAAUUUGGGAAAUUGAGUUUUUAUGAUAAAAUGAUGAUUUUGAAGUUGUAAGCAUGAUUUUGGGGUUAGAAUUAGGUUCUGGUUGCAUAGAACACUUAAUUAUGUAUCUGUAAACUGAUUUGGGGAGUGAUUGGAAGAAAAAUGGGAUUUUGGGGAAAAACCAGUUUUCUGCCCGUACUGAUGUUCAUUGCUCGCCUCGCGAGCAUUCAUGUCUCGCCUCGCGAGUGAACAACAUCAUUACUCGCCUCGCGAGCAAUCCAACUCGCCAUGGCGAGUAGCCCAGAAUAAAACUUGAUUUUUGAAAAGUUGUUAUAAGAUGUUUUGGGGAUGGUUUAAGGUACCUAGAUGAUUUUAAUGAUGAAUGGUGGAAGUUUUAGGUUAAAAAGAUGAAUAGGGAACUUAGAAAUGGAGUUUGAGUGAGAAAAUGUCACUUUUUCCCGAGAGCACCCGUUUUUCACUCGCCUCGAGUUCGCCUUGAACUCGCCAUGGCGAGAUAGGAAUUUUGUGAACUCGCCAUGGCGAGCAGAUGUGCUCGCGAGGCGAGCUAGUGCAGUUUGAGUGCAGUUUUGCUUGCUUGAUUAAUGAGGUUUGAGUGUUGUUGUUUAAGCAUAAUCGUAUUUAAUUGUGCAUCAUUCUGAAUGGUUGAAUCUCUGUUGGAUGUUGAUUGAUGAUGAGGAAUGUAUUGUAUGUUUUAAAUAUUAAUCAUACAUGUUGUUUUAAUUGGAGUCACAUGGAGUUGCAUUGCAUGGUCAGUUGUAUGUAGAUAUACACAAGUAGGUCCAUUGCAUAUGCAUAAAACAGCGGUGAGGGCUUCGGUCCUGGAGUACUAGUUACUCAACAGCGGUGAGGGCUUCGGUCCUGAUGAAUGCUUUAACCAUUCAAAAGCGGUGAGGGCCUCGGUCCUGAUUGGUACCACAUGCAUAAUUGCAUUUCAUUAAGAAGUCUAAGAUGGUGUCUUAGCAGUGGUCAUGUCAUUUGCAUGGGUCUCGGUUGUUAUUUCAGUUAUUACCUGGUUGAUGUUGAUGUUGGAUAUACAUUCAUAUAUAUAUGUAUUCAUUGUGGUUUUGGUGUAUUGUUGAUGUUGUUGAAGUUAUGUACAUUGUAUACAUACCUGUUAAAUGGAUGAUUAUGAUGAUGUUGCUGUGUCUUGUGAAUAGUUAUGAAUAUUACAAAAUGUUAUAUUUGAAGUUAUAGGGUGUUAGAUUCAUUUGAAGAUUUAAUAUCUAUAUUGUUGUUGUGAAUCUCACCCCUUCUGCUUGAAAACGUUGUCCUUCCUAUGGGUAACUUGCAGGUGAUCCUGAGUAGUUGGUGGUGGCUCAUUGUCGUGUCUAGGGCUCUGAUACGUGGGAUGAGAAUAUUGAUUAUCUUUGUUGUUGUUGCUUUUCCUUUCCAUGUAUCAAAUUUUGGAACUUGUGGUGUGGAGCCUUUUGUUGUCUUUGAACUAUGAUGUUGGAUUAUGUUAAGGCCUUUAAUGCCAUAGACUUUUGUUGGAUGUUCAUGAUGAGAUGGAUUUUGAAAACUAUUCCGCUGCUAUGUUUUCAUUUAUAAUAAGUUGAUUCGAUUUAAAUAGUUUUAUUUUCUAUUUAAGAAUUUUGAAAUGACGUGUAGCAUGCCCGUUGCGGGAUUACUCUGAUGUUUAUAUGCUAUUUAAUUGCUUUUGGGUAACGGGGUGUUACAUUGGGACCGGUGCAGGAAGAUAUAGUGGGAUUCUGCAUCUUCAUGCCCAUGCUUUGAGGGAUUGUGUGGUCCUUGUACUGUACCAACUCCCAUAUGUGUCUAUCUCUUAUUGAUCAAGACAGAUUUGCUUUUUGCUUUUCACCUACUGUACUGUUCAUAAAGUAAGCAUGUGCUGAGCUGAACAUUCUGACCAUCAGAAUGUUUAAUAUUCAUAAUGUUCUUCAUCUGGGUUCAUCAAGGAUGAAUGUCUGAUGAGUUUCUGGGUCCAUCCAAUACGUGACAUGAGAUUUGUUCAAGUUUUAUCCUUCAAAAGUUACUUCUCCAUUGCAUCAAAAGUUGCUUGAAAAAGUAGGAUAAAGUUGAUUAAAUCUGUCUUGGAUUUGGUGCAGGAAAGAGAGGAUAGUGGAUCUGCAAUCUUCAGGCCCAUGCUUCAAGGAGAUUUGCUUGAUUCAUCUCAGAGUACACGUUAUCUUUGAUGCAAGAUCUCUUUUGCUAGCUUUUCCAUCUUUCCACCAACUACACUGUUCAUGGCUGGAAGCAUGUGCAGAAGUGAACAUUCUGAUCUCAGAAUGUUCCAUUUGUUCUUACUUUAGGUUGAUUUAUAAGACUUAACUUUUAAUGUAAUCAAACCUAAUAGUAAGAUACAACUGAAGUGCAGUGAAUGCAUCAUCUAGGACAAUAUUCUCUUUGGAAUAUUCCUAGUACUUUAAUGUUCAUAGUCUUGGAUGAACAUUAAAGAUCCUUUUGACAUAGAUCCUUGUCCAUGCCUUUAUUUGUUGAUAGAUCCAUGCAGAUGUACUUUUCUGGACCUUUUAUUCAUGUCAAGUGUACUUGCAUGCUCUUCACGUUCUUGAUGAAUCUGGGUAGCUUCUGAACAACCUUCUGAACUGGGUUGCUUCUGAACUCUCAUCAGAACGUUCUGAUCAACUCUCUGAUCAACAUUCUGAACUAACUUUCUGAACUUCAGAAUUAGUUCAUGGAUUCAAUGUCCUUUGAUUUUAUGCAUCUUGGUAUGAUUCAAACCUUGUUCUUGUCUUAGUGAAAACACUCAAGAGCACAAGUUAAAUACCAAGGAAUUAAUCAAAGUCCAUUUAAUCCUUAAUCAUUAAAGUUUAUUAUCUUUAAAAUUAAUUAGGGAUUUUGCCUCAACAUCCACUUAAUUCAAAAACACACUGAAAUUCACAGUUGACGUUCCUGUGUUUUUCAUCUCUUCUCCUUCCUUCGACUUGUGUUGACAAGUCCUUCUCCUUUUUCUACUCCUUUCUGUCCCUUUGGAAAUAAGAGUGUUCUUAAGACCAUAGUCCCUUUUCGGUUUAAUGUCCCUUCGGAAUUAAGAAUGGUCUUGAAACAUAGUCCAUUCGAUAAUAUAUGUCCCUUCAGAAUAAAGAGUACUUUUAAGAUCAUAGUCCCUAUUUGGAAUAACAAUGUCCCGUCGGAAUUAAGAAUGAUCUUAACGGUAUAUAUAAAAAGUAUUUCAAUAUUUUUCUAUUUGAGGAGAAAUGGUGGUAUCACCAUAUUUAAGUGGUCGUAGUACCAUAUUGAUAGUUUAGAGAACUUAAAGUUAGAAUGAUAUUAACACCAUAUUUGAGUGGUCUCAACAUUUGUAGCAGUGCUUGUUUUAUCCUGGAGGUGGCGUGGUUGAUAGUCUGCCUUGCACAAUUUUGGACAAUUUCGUGACUCAACCUAAUACAACUUCGGUAGAUAAUAGAAUUUGGAAAUCCAAAUACAACAAUUUGAAAAUCCAAAAACAACAUAAAUGUAGUUAAACUUAUUAUUUUCAUAUAGUACUAAGUUGUUUUCAUUAGCCGUCAUUGGAAGCUUGCAGAAAUAAGCUAUAAAUAGCUUAUGGACAUCAUGCCAUGUUAUAAGUCCUCCUUAAUACUUAAAUGAUCACUUAUGUCAUAAGGUAAACCUAAAUAAACUGUAAACUAUAUAUCAUUUUCAGUGUAGUUCCUAGUUUCAUCAUUAUUGGUGUAUUGGAUUACAGUUGGAUGCGGUCAAUUUGGUUCUGUUUGGACUUAAUGCUAUCUUAAGUAAAUUAGUCUAAUCUAGUAAUUUAAUUGUUAAAGAAGUGCAUUGUGCAUGAUAUGUUGUGUUGUCAUGAUAUGCUAUGCCUAUUUCAUAGUGCAUGUAAGACUUGCAACAAGAAAGUUACCGAAAGCACGGGUCAGAAUUGCUAUAUGCUCAGAAUGGGGCAGAAGUGUCUUCUUAAGCUACUUAGAGGCAACCUGAGCUUGAUUGAAGCAAGGAGCAAUAUUUAGGAAGCAGGUAAUGUUUUAUGCUCUUGAAAUUGCAAUCACAAGUUUGAAGUCGUGAUUGUUGUAUUUAUUUGUUGAUUGAUUUCGAAAUUCAUGCUGCAGGCACGUGAGAAGUUUAUGUCAUUGAGAAAAAGCACUAAGUUUGAUGAUGCCACUGCCACAGAUGAGGGAAGUCCAGUGGCUCAUAUUUGGCAUAGUUUUGACUCUAGGUUCAUGUCAAAAUAGGAAGCUUGUUUCAAUAUGGUAAUAUUAGUGGACUGUAUCAUUGAAUAUUCUGUGAUUUUUUUUCUAUAAUUUUUAUUUUUAUGGUUCUGAAAUACAUUAUUUUUUUUAAAUAAAUAAACCAAUUUUUUGCCGAAUUACCAACGGAUUGGUGUUCUAUUUUAACGUUUCAUCGCGCUUACGGGCAAGAGGACUCCUCAAAACCUGACCGAAUGUUUACUGAGAUUUUUUCACUUUUUUUGCGGAUGUACUUUUCUUGCAGAUCCUAAAAUCCUAAUGGGUGUUUGGAUUGAGGGUUUAGGAGGGGAGGUGGACCGUCAAUAUAUUCCUAAGGGUCUAAAAGCUAUCUAGAAAGGCUCAGGCAUCCUCCGGGAGGGCUCCUAAAGUCUAGGCGCCGCCUUAUCCAACUUCUAGAAACACCUAGAACUGGGUGAAAAGACCCAAAGCCCAACUUAAUUAGGGCUUAAGUCACACUAUAACCAGCCCACAAAGGGCUAUAAAUACCACUAUUGAGAUCAUUCUUAAGGCAUCACAUAAACAGAAAGGGAGAUGAUAGUUUACUUUUCGUUUUUAAAUUAUGGACUAUAUAAAAGUUUUUUAAAAAUAAAUUAUGUGUGAUUGAAGUAUUAUAUGAUCGUUUAUCAUGUUAAUAUGUUAACUUUUUAUAAAACAUUUCAGUGUCUGUAGUUUAAAAAUGAAAAGUAAACCAUCCUCUCCCUUUCCCUCGUAAACCCUCCAUCCAAACACACCCUAAGGAAACAACUACCCACGAAGGUAUUACCUGGGAAUCAAAAUCCUUAGCAAAAUCUGUAGGAGACCCUUUUCUUGCGGAAUUUGUACCAAAAUUCGUAGAAAAAUCGAGAAUUUAUAGUAGUAUAAGUAUAUGUACAUGGAGUACAAUUUUAGACAUCCGCAACAUGCUUUACACAUAAAUAUACACAUAAGUUCAUUGUCAAAUGUCACAGUAAAUAAGUCAAAGGUCACAGUAAAUAACAAGUUUCAUGUUGACAAAGGGACAGGGGCGGAGCCACCCCCUCAGCUCCAAUUUUCUUUCUAGCAAGUCCAGCUAUUACUAGAACUUUUAUCUUUUCCUGCGGAGUUACCUGCGAAUUGUUAUGUAAAUUUCAUAGGAAACACAUUUCCUGUAGAUUCCGCAGGAAAUGUGAAAUUAUUCGCAGGAAGGAAGUAACAUUUUGCAAUAAUUUUUUUGCCCAGGCUCUAUAAAAUUUCUGGCUCCACCACUGGAGACACCAAUAUAUCUAAUUGUUACGGUUAACAUUAAAAAAUGGGUUCUUUUUCAAAAAACAUUAAAAAAAUGGGUUAAAUAAUGUUUUACUCCCGAUAUUUGAGCGAGUUUUGAAAAAAUCCCUGUAAAAUAAUUUUUUAUAGAUCCCCUUUGUAAUUUAAAAAGGAGAAAACUUAGGUACAAUUCAUUCCGUGCUUUUUGUACGGUUCUUAACUAAAUUCACCAUGACUUCCUCAAAUUCAUAAUUUUCUCAAAGUUUGUUAUAACAAAAAAAUAUGUAUUUUUAGUCAAGAACCAUACAAAAAGCAGAAUUGUACCUAAGUUUUCUCCAUUUAAAAAUUCCAUCUAAAACAACUUUGACCUCAGCUGACUAGGCAACUAAACUAAUGUGGCACGCUGACUGGACAAAUUAGUUUAUCUUUCAAUUUUUUUAAAAUCCAUCUCACAUUUUUGAAAAAAAAUUAAAAUGAAAAUUAGAUUAUUAUUAUAAAACAAAAGGAAGAAUCGCAAAACCUAAUGUGCUUUUUCAUUAACUAAAGCACAUUAAUGCACUUCAUUCCCCCCCUAAUGUUUUUAACUAAAGUCAAAACCUAAUGAAAAACAUUAAUCGCAAAACCUAAUGAAAAACAUUAAUCGCAAAACCUAAUGUUCUUAACUAAAGUCAAAACCUUUGCUCAAAAAAAACUAAAGUCAAAACCUAAAGUACUUCUUCAGAAUAGCAAAACAUUUUUUUUUAUCCCCUUCUAAAACCUAAAUAAAUAACUAGAAAAAAAAAAAAGGAAAAUAGAAGAAGAACUGACGGAAGAAAAAGAAAGAUGCAAGAAGGAAGAAGAAGAAUCGACGGAAGAAGGAAAACGAGGGUUAGGCUUUACAUAAACUCCAUAUUUGCAUGAUAACCUAUGUGGAACAUACUUUAUUAAUGAUACCCUUCUUAAAACAGCGUUAUAUGCUUGCUGAGAGUACUAAAGAAUUAGUGGAAACAAGGAAGAGUAAGAAAGGAUUAUGUUGUACCAAAUCCUCACUAGUUAAUUUGAUGAGGUCAAUGCUGUUUUUUAUGGAGAGAAAAAAAAUGAAAGGGGGAUCUAAAUUUUUUAUUUCACAGGGGUUUUCAGAAAGGGAGAAAACAUUAAUUAACCCCUUAUAUUCAAACCAAAAAUUUUAGAGGCUGGAAGAUCUUGGUGUGUGUGAUUUGAAUCUGCUUCAUUUGCAAAAAUGUUGGGCUGAAAAACAAAAAUUGUUUCAUGUUUGAUCUGAAGACUGAAGAUUGUUUAGGACACAAGACACAAAUGAGACAGGACAAAAAUAAGGGUCUUUGUGAGAAAUAGCAAAUCAUUAUUGAGAAGAAUAAAUUAAAAUUCAACUUUAAGAGAAAUAAAUCGACACAAUUUUCAAUAUAGAAAUUCUAAUUUUAGUACAUUAACAUGUGCCCUAAAAAUAAACAAUUAUUUAGUGCCACACCAACACUUCUCAACACUUUCUGAUCAAUUGAAAUUUAAAUGGGUCUAUGUUUAUGCCGGGUUUAUAUUAUUUAGUGAGAUACAUUUAAUUUUUAUUCGAUUAGAGUGUGUUAAAGCGAGUGUUUGAAAGUGAGUUGAUAACAAUUUUAAAAUCUAAUACUCCGGUCUUAAAUUUAAGCAAAAAAAUUCUCUUAUCAGAAUUCAUAUUAAUUGAAUAACUGAUUAGAUAAGUUAUUCAAUGAACGUGAAAAAAAAAUCUUUUUUUUUUUUGUGUCCAGUAGUCUAGUGGCUAUAGCUCACACAAUUAAAUGUGGAUAAGUGGGGUGUCUGGAGUUCGAACCUCGGCCUCUGCAUAAAUUAUGCAAUGUCCCUGCCAAUGUGAGAAAAAAAAAAUCCCUUAAUAAAUAAAUAAAUAACAUAAAUGCACCAUUUAGCAAGCUAGAGGAUUGGUAUUCUUUUUUAUCAUCUACGGACCCAGGAAAAGAUGUCUUGUUUCUCUAUUUCAUAUGUUAAACUUCAUAAUAGAUACGAAUAACUUCACAUGGGAUUCGAAUCCACUUGAGUUGGUUUGAUCAUGUUGGUUUGAGACAUUGUAGUGUGAUGAUCCUCUCAAAGGUCUUAAAUUCGAUUCACUCUGAUGUCAAUUUCGAUGGAUUAGAUUGACUUAAAAAAACUUCAUAUUGGAUCUAGUGUAGUUUAUAGACCGUUGAACUUCACUAAUUAACGCAUUCCACUGUCAACAUACUCCAUCCGUCUCUAAAUAUAAGUAAAUUUUACUUUUUAAGUUCAUUCAAUUAAUGAUGUAUGUGGUUCAUAAUAUAAACUACAUACAUUAUUAAUUGAAUGAAUCUAAAAAAUAAAAUUUGCUUAUAUAAAAAACAGAGCACAUUAUAAAUGACAUACAUUACAGGUCUUCUUCGAUAAAAAGCAAAAGCCGUUGAUAAUAACUGCCCGUUUGAUGUCUACAUGUGAUUGGCAACAAGUUGGUACUAGUUUUGUUGAUUUUGUCCAAAAAAAAAUUCUAUGAUUGUACAUAUAUACUUUUUAUUUUUUUUUGUCACAAAUAGAGUUUAUAGUUCAAAUUUAUAUCAUUAUAUAAUGAAAACUGUAAAUUAACUACCGUUGGUAAUCAAUUUUGAUCGAAUUUUUUUUAUAGACAAAUAUACUCUUAACAUUUUAAUUAACUUUUUUAAAUUUAAUUUUUCAAUAGGCCGAACCGGUCUACUGAAAUUUGUGUUGGAGAUAAUUGAAUUUUGGACUUUGAAAGAAGUAAACUGCAAUAUUUUAAGUCAAUCACCAUAGGAGUCAAAAAAUUAACUACUAAUUUUAGUCAAUCUUUUUCAAAAAGUUUUCUUUUUGCAAUAUAAUUUUUUUUUAAAAUUCAAAUUUGUAUUAAAAAAAACAUGAAUAUAUCCUGUCAUUUUUAUUUACUCAUUAUAUUAUAUUAUAUAAAUAAUAUAUCAAUAAAAAAAAAAUAGUGUGUCUUUUCCGUUAUGGAUUUCCUGGAACAUAUCGUCGUAUUUUCAAUGAGUUCGUAUGGAAAGUAUUCAGUCCCUCAUGCUACAAGCUCACCCUAACCCAAUUUUUUUUCCCCUUUUUAUCUGCAAGGUUUGGUGGUUUGAGGGUUAUUUUUGUUGUAUUUGUUGCUCAUUUAUUUGUAGUGAUAGGGAUUUUCAAUUCUGAUUGUGGAAAUUUUUGUCUAUUGUUGUUUUGUUGGUUGACUGAUUGUUUAUCGAGUAGAUAGUCAUUUGGAUUCUGAAUGUGGAAGACACUGUUACUACCAUCUUCGUUUGAAUGUAUCAAAAUUAGAAAAACAUCUCCAAAUAUAUAUUUCGUUAGUUGGUUUGAUUCUUUGAAGUGUCGUUUGUUAAUAAGUUAAGUCCUUGAAUGUGUUGUCCACUAUGAAGCUCGAAUACGUAGUGCGGGUGGGAGGUGUGAUAUAUGAUACAAAUGCGUGAUUUUUUUUUUUUUUUUUUUAAAUUUAGAAUAUGAUACGAGCUAGAUAUGUUAACAAGUGAUUCUGAUGAUGAUGUAAGUUUUAUCCCUUUUUAUCUGCGAGAUAGGUUUGGUACUUUGAGUGUAUGCAUUUAUGAGGUCUCUUUUUGUUAUAUUUGUUGCUCAGUUGCUUGUAGUGAUAGAGAUUUUCAACGCUGAUCUAGUAGCUUUUUGUAGCAAUUUUUGUUUGUUUCGUUUUGUUGGUUGACUGAUUGUUUAUUGAGUAAAUAGCCAUCUGGGUCCAUGAAUGUGUUGGGCGUUUUACACCGUCCUUGAAUUUUCAAAAUUACAAUUGCAAAAAAUCCUCAAAUAUAUCUUUCGUUUGGCGUUUUGAUCCUCAAACGUGUCUUUUGUUUGUGAAUAUGGUCGUUGAAUGUAUCGAACAUUAAUCGAGAGUUGAGACACAUUUAUGGAUGUUUAUAUAAAUUUGAUACAGUCAAGGACUUUAGCGAUACGGUCUCGCUCAUUUGAGAACCAAAAUGACUGUUUACUCUUUGUUUAUCCUCAUUAUUUAUCUGUUUAUGGUUUUUGUUGAAUUUGGCUUCAAAUUUGUGGUCUGGAAGAACAGAGUAAUCGUGACACGAUUUGGUAAUCGUGACACGAUCUGAGAUGCCGUGAGCCAAGUUUUGAUGGAGGCAAAUCGUGGCACGAUCUUGGGAAAUUGUGACACGAUCUAGAAACUUGCUGGUUAAGUAUCUCUGAUAAGGACUGGUUAACCAGAGGACCGUUGCAGAUCGUGACACGAUCUAGGGAAAUCAUGGCACGAUUUCUUCAGGGCAGGACUAGUAUAUAUUGUGUUCUUGUGCUUUUUUGAAGAGAACCUUAAGAUGGCUUAAGAGAGAAAACUUGGAGAUCAAAGAGGGGAUCCUAUGGGGUGUGUUCCUUUGAUGUGAGUGUUUCUUAGGUUGGGAAAACAUUGUAAUCACCUUGGGAUUUUGGGUUCAUAGUGUGAGAGUGGGAAAAUACCAAAGGGUAGUUCUAGGGUUUGUUCAUGUGUAAAGCUUGAUAAGCUAGAUACUUGUAACCUUUUGUAACACUUUCACAUAUUGGAUUGGAGAGCUGCUCUCUCCCCCAGAUUAGGCCACAUUGGCUGAACUGGGUCAACAAUCUUGCUCGGUGUUUUGUUCUUUCCAUUUACCGUUUAUCUUGUUUAUGCUUGUUAGCUCUUAGUGUGGUUUUGCUAUACACAAGUCAUAGGCUGUUUUGUUGUUGUUAGCUUGGAGGCCAUUUGCUCUCAUAGAUUAUCACUAUCACUUGCUCCACACAUCUUUGGUUUAUUAUCAUUGGUGUGAAGAUUUGAUUAGUUGAACCGGAUUCACAACAAUUGGCGCCCACCGUGGGGCAUAGGCGUGAUUGAUAGUUGGUAUCAUGGGGUCAAAGUGGGACAUCGAGAAGUUCACCGGAAGUAAUGAUUUCGGGUUAUGGAAGGUUAAGAUGGAAGCGGUUUUGACUUAACAAAAAUGUGUAGAAGCAUUGAAGGGUGAAGCGGCGAUGCCGGCAACCUUGACACAAGAGGAGAAGCGUGAGAUGGUAGACAAGGCAAAGAGUGCUAUUGUCUUAUGUCUCGGAGAUAAGGUCUUAAGGGAUGUCGCGAGAGAAGCUACCGCGACAUCGAUGUGGGCGAAGUUGGAGUCAUUGUAUAUGACGAAAUCUUUGGCUCAUAGGCAACUCUUGAAGCAACAACUCUAUUCAUUCAAGAUGGUGGAGUCUAAAUCGAUCUCGGAGCAACUAACGGAGUUUAACAAGAUUCUUGAUGAUUUGGCCAACAUUGAAGUUAACAUGGAAGAUGAGGAUAAGGCUUUGUUGUUACUUUGUUCAUUACCAAAGUCCUUUGAGCAUUUCAAGGAUACCAUCCUUUAUGGUAAGGAGGGCACUACUACUUUGGAGGAGGUCCAAGCGGCUUUGAGAACCAAAGAAUUGACCAAGUUCAAGGACAUGAGGGUUGAUGAAGGUAGUGAAGGCUUGAAUGUUACAAGAGGGAGGAAUGAGCAUAGAGGAAAAGGCAAAGGGAAAUCAAGAUCCAAGUCUAGGUCCAAGGGCUUUGACAAAUCAAAGUAUAAAUGCUUUCUUUGUCACAAGCAAGGUCAUUUCAAGAAAGAUUGUCCGGAUAAGGGGGGCGAAGGUGGUCCCUCGGUUCAAGUUGCGGAGGCUUCAAAUGAAGAAGGUUAUGAGAGUGCGGGUGCACUAGUGGUAACAAGUUGGGAACCAGAGAAGAGUUGGGUUUUGGACUCGGGAUGCUCUUAUCACAUGAUUCCUAGAAUGGAAUAUUUUGAGACUUUGAUUCUAAAAGAAGGAGGAAUUGUUCGACUCGGAAAUAACAAAGCUUGCAAAGUCCAAGGCAUGGGCAACGUUCGUCUAAAGAUGUUUGAUGGCCGUGAAUUCCUUUUAAGGGAUGUGAGGUUUGUUCCCGAACUUAAGCGAAAUUUAAUUUCCAUAAGCAUGUUUGAUAAUCUAGGUUAUUGCACUAGAAUAGAGCAUGGGGUUUGUAAAAUUUCGCAUGGUGCAUUGAUUACUAUUAAGGGGUCUAGAAUGAAUGGUUUAUACAUUUUAGAUGGUUCCAUAGUAAUUGGUAAUGCAUCGGUAGCUAGUGUUGCAUCUCAUAAUAAUUCUGAAUUGUGGCAUUUGAGAUUGGGGCAUGUUAGUGAGAGGGGUUUAGUUGAACUAGCUAAACAUUGGACAAGCUAGAAUUUUGUGAACAUUGCAUACUAGGCAAACAACAUAGGGUGAAGUUUGGGAGUGGCAUGCAUCAUUCUAGUAGACCUUUUGAGUAUGUGCAUUCGGAUCUUUGGGCUCCUUCUAAGACUCCUACUCAUGGGGGAGGUUCCUAUUUUCUUUCUAUCAUUGAUGAUUAUUCUAGGAGAGUGUGGGUCUUUGUUUUGAAAAACAAAAGUGAUACCUUUGAAAAGUUCAAAGAAUGGCACACUCUCAUAGAAAAUCAAAUGGGAACUAAACUAAAAGGUUUGAGAACUGACAAUGGCCUGGAGUUUGUUUCAGAGCAGUUUAAUGAGUUUUGCAGGUUGAAAGGAAUCAAGAGGCAUAGAACCGUACCAAGAACACCUCAACAAAAUGGUCUUGCGGAACGCAUGAAUAGGACUCUUUUGGAGCGUGUGAGGUGUAUGAUUCUAGGAGCUGGGUUACCUAAGAGUUUCUGGGGUGAAGCCGUGACAACAGCUGCUUAUUUGAUCAAUAGAUGUCCAUCAACGGGGAUAGACUUCAAGACACUUAUGGAGGUAUGGAGUGGGAAACCGGUGGAUUACUCCUCUUUGAAGGUUUUCGGAGCUUUGGCAUAUGCGCAUAUCAAGCAAGACAAGCUUGAGCCUAGAGCUUUGAAAUGUGUCUUCAUUGGUUAUCCGGAAGGUGUGAAGGGGUACAAGUUGUGGAAAUUGGAAUCUAGUGGAGGAUCAAGAGUCGUGAUAAGUAGGGAUGUUACCUUUGAUGAGACCCGGAUGGGGAUGAAGUGUAAAGACCUAGAGACUCAAGUACCGGAAACUAUGGUGGAGAAAACUCAGUUUGAGGUGGAGCUUCCAAAUGAAGAAGAAGAAGAUGAAGCUUCGAUAUCGGAUACAAGUGGAACUCAACCGGUGGUGGAUCCUAAGUAUCUAUUGGCAAGAGAUAGAGAAAGAAGGACCAUUACGGCUCCUAAGAGAUUCGGUUAUGCGGACUUGGUGUGUUUUGCUCUAAAUGCGGCGGAAGAUGUGCAAGACUCGGAGCCUAGAAACUUCAAGGAGGCAUUUGAGAGCAAAGAGAGCAAGUAUUGGUUGAAGGCGGUGAAUGAAGAAAUGGAUUCAUUGGAAAGGAACCAAACUUGGAAACUUGUGAAGCUACCUAAUCACCAAAGGGUAGUUGGAUGCAAGUGGAUCUUCAAGAAAAAGGAUGGCAUUCCGGGUGUUGAAGGUCCAAGGUAUAAAGCAAGACUUGUGGCAAAGGGUUUCACUCAAGUGGAGGGGAUCGACUACAACGAGAUCUUUUCACCGGUGGUGAAGCAUUGUUCCAUAAGGAUACUUAUGGCUAUUGUGAAUUAAUUCAAUCUUGAGUUGGAACAAAUGGAUGUGAAGACCGCUUUCUUACAUGGUGACCUUGAAGAGACAAUCUACAUGGAGCAACCAGAAGGUUUUGUGGAGGACAAGUCUAAGGCGUGUCUUUUGAAGAAAUCUUUGUAUGGGUUGAAGCAAAGCCCUAGGCAAUGGUAUCGUCGGUUUGAUGAGUUUCUUUUGAAGACCGGUUUUGUGAGAAGCGGAUAUGAUUCUUGUGUGUACAUGUUGAAGAAGAGUGAGAAAGUCAUUCUCUAUCUUCUUUUAUAUGUGGAUGACAUCUUGAUGGCGAACUCUAGCAAGGAUGAGAUUAUGAAGCUCAAGGAGAGGUUAAAUGGUGAAUUUGAGAUGAAAGAUCUUGGUCCGGCAAAGAGAGUCCUUGGGAUUGAUAUCAAGAGGAAUCGUGACAAAGGCGAACUUUUCUUAUCUCAACUUGGUUAUUUGAAGAAGGUGGUGGAGCGGUUUAGAAUGUCAAACUCUAAAACCGUGAGCACUCCCUUGGGUCACCACACAAAGUUGUCCAUACAACAAUGUCCUCAAUCCGAGGAUGAGAAGCAAUUGAUGGAAGGUACUCCCUAUGCAAGUGGGGUUGGAAGCAUCAUGUAUGGAAUGGUUUGUAGUAGGCCGGACUUGGCUUAUGCAGUUAGCAUUGUGAGUCGGUUUAUGGCAAAUCCGGGAAUUGUGCAUUGGCAAGCUUUGAAGUGGGUUUUGAGGUAUUUGAAUGGGUCGUUGAAGGGCGGUUUGAAGUACACAAGGGCAGCUCAAGAUGAAGACGCUUUGGAGGGGUAUGUUGAUGCGGAUUAUGCGGGCAACGUGGACACUAGAAAAUCCUUGUCGGGUUUUGUGUUUACUCUUUAUGGCACGACGAUUAGUUGGAAGGCAAAUCAACAAUCCGUGGUGGCAUUAUCUACAACUCAAGCGGAGUACAUUGCACUUGUUGAAGGUGUGAAGGAGGCCAUAUGGUUGAAAGGGAUGAUUGGUGAGUUAGGAAUUACUCAAGAAUGUGUGAAGAUACAUUGUGAUAGUCAAAGUGCCAUUCACUUGGAAAAUCAUCAAGUGUAUCAUGAAAGGACAAAGCACAUUGACAUUCGCCUGCACUUUGUCAGAGACAUGAUUGAAACAAAAGAGAUUGUGGUUGAGAAAGUGGCAUCGGAGGAGAAUCCGGCGGAUGUGUUCACCAAGUCAUUGCCUCGAUCAAGAUUCAAGCAUUGCUUGGACUUGAUCAAGUUUGUCGAAGAGUAAUUCCCUUUUGGAGAGAGCAGCAUGGUGGUUGAUGGUUAAAUUGACAUCACCACCAAAUUAGAAGUCAAGGUGGAGAAAUGUUGAAUUUGGCUUCAAAUUUGUGGUCUGGAAGAACAGAGUAAUCGUGACACGAUUUGAUAAUCGUGACACGAUCUGAGAUGCCGUGAGCCAAGUUUUGAUGGAGGCAAAUCGUGGCACGAUCUUGGGAAAUCGUGACACGAUCCAGAAACUUGCUGGUUAAGUAUCUCUGAUAAGGACUGGUUAACCUGGGGACCGUUGCAGAUCGUGACAUGAUCUAGGGAAAUCGUGGCACGAUUUCUUCAGGGCAGGACUAGUAUAUAUUGUGUUCUUGUGCUUUUUUGAAGAGAACCUUAAGAUGGCUUAAGAGAGAAAACUUGGAGAUCAAAGAGGGGAUCCUAUGGGGUGUGUUCCUUUGAUGUGAGUGUUUCUUAGGUUGGGAAAACAUUGUAAUCACCUUGGGAUUUUGGGUUCAUAGUGUGAGAGUGGGAAAAUACCAAAGGGUAGUUCUAGGGUUUGUUCAUGUGUAAAGCUUGAUAAGCUAGAUACUUGUAACCUUUUGUAACACUUUCACAUAUUGGAUUGGAGAGCUGCUCUCUCCCCCAGAUUAGGCCACAUUGGCUGAACUGGGUCAACAAUCUUGCUCGGUGUUUUGUUCUUUCCAUUUACCGUUUAUCUUGUUUAUGCUUGUUAGCUCUUAGUGUGGUUUUGCUAUACACAAGUCAUAGGCUGUUUUGUUGUUGUUAGCUUGGAGGCCAUUUGCUCUCAUAGAUUAUCACUAUCACUUGCUCCACACAUCUUUGGUUUAUUAUCAUUGGUGUGAAGGUUUGAUUAGUUGAACCGGAUUCACAACAGUUUUUGAUAUUAUAAACGCAUGCGGUAUUUUUGUGUUUUCAUUGUUGGUGUUAUUUUGUUGACAAGAUAAUUUAUUUUGAGUAUUUUAUUGUUGAUUAUCUGGAAAAUGUAAAUGGUCGAAUGUGUUCUUUUGAUGGACUAAAUUGAUAGAUAGCCCUUAUCUUCAUUUUUCUUUCUAUUCCAGAAUGGUGCGGAUUUCUUGAUUCAAGCCAACACACGUAAGCGCUUAAAACCGCACGAUGAUAACGAUGAUGUUUUUGAACGUGCUGAGGUUUGUUUUUAUAUGGUGGCUCUAUAUACUCUUUGCUAUAGUAGUAAUAGAAUAGCCGUGUCUCAUUGAAAAUACGACAAUGCGUCAGAUAAAUUGCUUGUGCUUGGCUUACUUCUAAAUACUAUAUGUAGUUGCCAUCUUCUGUUACUAGUAUUUUGAUGACUUCAACAAUUGUAAGAAGUGGUAUUCUGUCUCAAUUUGGUGUCGUAGUUGUUUCCAUUCCAACUGAAUAACUAUCACUAUAUCAGGUUGUUACUGAAGGAAGACAAACUAGUUUGGAGACAAAAAAUAAUGUUGAUGCAAAUAGAAAGAAAUCUGGUCGUGGAAGAGGGAGUUCUGGUUCAAGCAGAGGCCGUGGUUCCAAAUCUAAUGAUCAGACCAGAACACAAAUUUCUUCUUCAACAGUUUCGGCUUCAAAUGGUCAGAAUGAGAAUGUAUGUCGUAAAGUUACUUCCCAUCAAAUAUUUGGUUCUUUAAGCAAUAAAUUUUAUGGAUUGAUCAUUUAUGUCACACUCCUUGAUUGUUCGUUACAGAACUCAUAUUUUUGUUUGCAGGAUGGUAGACUCAAAGAUCCGUUUCGUAAUGAUAAUGGUGCUUCAUUAGAGGUAUAUGUAGAAGAAUGGGUGGCUUUAUAUUUUUGUUUUUAUAUUUUUGAGUUCCACGUGCAAGUUUUAAGGCAAGUAGAAGAAUGGGUGGCUUUAUAUGUACUCCCUCCGUCCCAAAUUAUAAGCAAAAAAAAAAUCACACUUAUUAAGAAAACUAAAACAUAAGAAUUUGGAGUAUAGUUUUUUGUGUUUUUUUUUGGAAAAAGUUUUAUAGGAAGAUGUAAAAACAAUUUUCAUUAGCUAUUGUUUAUGGAAAAAAUGAAAGACAGAGAAAAUUGAAUGUAAUUUGCAUUUAAUUUUAUGAGAAUAAACAAAAAAAAUCAUGGAAAAGAUAAAAGUUUGUCUUUUUUGCUUAUAUUUUGGGACGAAGAAAAUGUGUUUUUUUUGCUUAUAUUAUGGGACGGAUGGAGUAUAUGAUUAGAAUUAUGAUAUUAUCUCUUUAAAUUGUCCCUUUCCCCAACAUAUCUCAAUGACAUUGCUGGUACUUUAACUUCAUUAACUUUCAUUUUCUUAUUUUAUUUCAUCUUUGUAUUAAAUUAGGAGGAGAUUGCAUCUUUACGUGCAAAAGUUGUUGUGUUGGAGGAAGACUUACGUAAAGCAAAGCAAGAAGCCUCUCAGCAUCAGAAUAUUUGUCCACAGUUAGAAAAGGUAUAUGAAUAAGGGUGCGUUUGUUUCAGCUUUAAAAAAAAAAUAGAUUUUAUGUUAAAAGAAUCUAGAGAUUUUAAAAAAAAUUUAAAGUUAAUUUUGUUUGUUUACUACCCAUAAAAAUCCAUUUUUUCUAAAAAAUGAGUUUUAACUUGUACAUGUGUUACCUCCUUGUUGUUGAAAAAAAUAGAUUUUGAGAAAAGCUAAUCCUAAUAGCUUUUCAUUUUAUGAUCAAAAUAGAUGUUUUUGAUAAAAUGAUUUUUCUAAAAAUCCUAAACAAACACUUAAAAAUGAAAAAAGUGAUUUUUUUAAAGGAAAAAAUAGAUUUUUUUUGGAAAAAAUCCAAAACAGAUGCACUCUAAUUGUCCUAUUGCAACAAGAGAUGUGAAUCAGAAGGAUGUUUUCUGAAUCUUGAAUUGUAUCAAAUGAUAAGAUAUCAUGACAAUUGAUAAAUAGUUUCAAAAACAUACACCUAUAAAUGAAAGAAAAUAAUUACAAUAGAAUUUUCGCCCAAAUUUUACUCAAUGGAACUUAAUUUGUCACUAAUAAUGAGUCAUACACGGCAUAUAUAAUUCUCAGAUUCAACAAAAUUUAAGGCCCAAACUAAAAAAUGACAAUAAUUUACACUGUAUUUCUUAUAGAAGGUGCAACUGGGCAGUUGGUAUUGUAACUCAUAUUCCAAACCAAGUCCGUUCUACGACCUGACAAAAAUGGCAGUGAAACAACCGAACUGUGUUAUUCAAACUGCAUUCUUUUGAUACCAUUUGCUAAUUGAAUUUAUAGUGAACUGUAAUUAUGCUUUUAUGAAUUGUAAAUACGUAUUAAAGGUAAUAGAAUUGACGGUGUUGAAAUUAAUGUGAUGGUUUUCUGUUCUUCUUCUAAUGUUUGAUUUUGGCACAUGUAGGAACUGAAGGAAUUGAAAGAUCUUGAGGAGCAAAUGAAACCUAAGGUUUGAUUAUUUUCAUCUUUUAAUUGUGGUUAAACUUUUCCUUCUCGAUUCUCUCAAGACACAAAACUCCUAUUGGUAUACAUGUUAUUUAAAAUAUAAUGAAGUGGUGGAUUCAAUUGUGCAUGCACACGAAUCUUCUAUAACAAAGAUGAACUAGAAAUUUUAAAGAGGUUAUCGUUCUCUUACUCCAAAAUAAGUUAAGGAGCAUUGCACGUGUCACUUAUAAAAAUUAAGUUAAGCCGGCAUAUUAACAUCCAGUCCUUGAAUUUUGUAGAGAACAAAAAUAAUAUCCGAUUUGCUGAUAUCAGUUUCAAAGGCUGAGAGACAAGAAGCAAGACUAAAAGUACGACAGGACUCAUUGAGACUCGGAAAUGUUGGUGUAAUCAGGUAUAGGUAGAGCAUUGUGACAAAUACCUUUUUAUAAUAUUUUUAUUUAGGUUUUCUUAUUGGUUUAUUAUAUGAAUUUUAGAGCUGGAACUGUCUUAUCUGAGACCUGGGAAGAUGGUCAGGCGUUAAAGGAUCUGAAUGCCCAGCUUGUAUGUCUAACCUCUUUCUUUCCCUUCAUAUUUAUUUAUUGAAUUUAUUAUGCACCAAUGGUAUUUGUAAGUAUGAUCGUAGAUGUCUUACCCUCUUUGGGACAAUUUCUUCAUAAUAUAUUGGGAUUCAAGAUGAGAUUCCUAUUCAAAAUACAAUUUUAAGGAUGGUGUCUUCGAACUUCUACUUGUUUUCCUUUCCGGUACUAUUAGGCAUUAGCUUGUGGUAUAUUUUGUGAAUGUUUCUAUAACUUUUCUGUGGUGGUUUUUUUAUUUUCAAUUGGAGCCAUUGCAUAUAUCAGUAGUUUGCAUUAGUAAUAACAUGAAUUACUUUAUCUCUUGAUUUUUACAUAAACAACUACUCGAAACAAAGGAGGCAAUUGAGCGCCAGCGCAAGUUAUUCAAGAAAAAACAAUCUGGUACCACUCAGUUUCCUUUUUUCUGUUAACACUUGUCUUCCUGAACUUGGGGAAGAAGGGUUAAGUGGACUGAACGAGUAACUGUCCUUUUCCGCUUUUCCUUUCCCUUUCCCUUCAUUCGUAGUUUGUACCAAUUGUCAUUAUAACCAACAUAUACCUUGGAUCAUAAUAAACCAGAACACUAUGUAAUUUGUUUGCAUCUUAUAACACGCCGUUACCCAAAAUCAUUUAAAUGACAAUCAAAUUCCACGUAAUUCCACAAACGGGCAUGCUACACUACAUUUCAAAAAUUCUUAAAUAGAAAAUAAAACUAUUUAAUUCAACAUCUUUCAUAACUUCAAAAAUCAUGCAGCGGAAUAUUUGCAUCUCAAAUAACAACGACAACGGUUAAAGUCUCCAAGCAAUAUCUUGGCAUUAAGCCUAAUCAACCAACAAAGGGCCACAUCAUCAAGUUCCAAAAAUUGAUACAUAGGAAGGAAAACAACAAUAAAACUAAUAAUAAUUCUCAUCCCACGUAUCAGAGCCCUAGACACGACUCUUGAGCCACCACCGACUACUCAGGAUCACCUGCAAGUUACCCAUAGGAAGGGCAACAUUUUCAAGCAGAAGGGGUGAGAUUCACAACAAUAAAAUAUAGAUAUUAAAAUCUUCAAUUGAAUCUAACACCCUAUAACAUCAAAUACAUCAUCUUGUAAAUAUAAGCAUAUAAUUUCACAAGCAACAACAACAUCAUCAAAAUCCACUCAUCACAAUAUGUAUAUAAAUGUAUAUAUUCAUCAACAACAUCAUCAUCAUCAAUGUGGCAACUACAACCAACAACUAAGACUCAUGCAUGACAUGAUAACACCACUAAGACUCCUCAAAAUAUGCAAUUAUGCAUGUGGUACCAGACAGGACCGAAGCCCUCACCGCUUUUGAAUGGUUAAAGCAUUCAUCAGGACCGAAGCCCUCACCGUUGUGAACAACUAGUGCUCCAGAACAUGAGUCAUCUCCGCUGUUUAUGCAUAUGCAAUGGACCUACUUGUGUAUAUCUACAUACAACUUGACCAUGCAUACAUACUCCAUAUGACUCCAAUUAUACAACAUGUAUGGUUCAAUAAAUAAAUCAUACAACACAGCCAUCAGCAACAUCAACAACCAGCAAUCCAACAAUCCGGAAUAAUGCACAAUUUAAUAUAACUAUGCUCAAAACAACAACAUCAAUCACUACCAUUCAUGCAAGCAAAUUCAGCACUCAAAAUCUGGGUAGCUCGCUAUGGCGAGUUCACAAAGUUGGUUGCUCGCCACGGCGAGUUCAAGGCGAACUCGAAGCGAGUGAAAAGUAGGUGCUCUUGGAAAUUUGACAUUUUUCUCACUCAAACCUCAAUUCUAAGCUCCCUAUUCAUCUUUUCACUACAAGAAACAUUGCCUUUUGCCAGGGGCAAAAUCCCUGUCAAAAGGACAAAAUCCCUGGCAAACGGGACAUUUGUGAGGGAAAAAACGAGGGGCAGAUGGCCUGGCAAAAGCGCUCAUCGCAAACACUUUGCCAGGGGCUACACCCCUGGCAGAAAAACAAGGGGCUGAACCCCUGGCAAAACGCAACGCUUUCUCCCAGGCAGAACCCCUGGCAUGUUCCCUCACUUUCGUCUGCAGCUUUCCUGCACCACUGACUACGACUGACACCUCUGCGGCGGCUCUGACUGAAGUGACAGCAGCAAAAAACGAGGGACAAAGCGAGGGGUUUAACCCCUGGCAAAUGUCCUUAUUUUUUUUUUUAAAAAAAUCAUUUUUAUGAAAACGAUUUUUUUUAUUAAUUAAUAAAAUAUAUUUAAAUUAAUUUAAAAAUCAAUUUUUUUUUUUAAAAAUUGUUUUUGUAAUACAAUUAAAUGGUUAAAAAAUCAAUUUAAUUAAAAAAUAUAUAUUUAAAAAAUUAAUUUUUUUUUUAAAACACAAUUAAAUGCAUAUAGAUAAAGUUUAAUCACAGAAACACUAAUAAGUCUAAUUAAAAUGCAUGAAAUAGAAAGUGUACUUAAUAAUAUUACAAACCGUGCAGGAAAAUAAAUAUUGUGCCGGGAAGCAUGGAAAACCUCCCAAAAUCAUACAAACCAUAACAUAAUAGUAAAGAAAACACACAACAAGCAUCAUAAUUAAGCAUCAAUCAUCCAUCUCGAGGUCGUCAUCAUCAUCCUCUUCGCCCUCACCAUACACUUCAUAGGGGUCAUCCGCAUCAUCAUCACACACUGGAGGAGCCCUCACACUCUCUCGGCUUCCACUCUGCUGCCCAACACCUUGCUCUUGCCUAAAUGUGUCCAACUGAGAGUCUAGGAAUUCUCGUUGCUUCCUAACCACCUCAUGGAUCAGGUCCUGUUGGGUUUGCAUAUGGGCAGCAAGCUGUUCUUGAGUCAACCUAGUGAUCAGAUCCCGCAUUUCUGGAGUGAGCUCAGGUUGCCGAGAAGAGCCCUCCCCAGCAUUAAGGGUCAACUUUAGAGUGGUAGCAACACCCUUGCGGAAGUUUCCAGCUAAGUUUCCUGCACCGUACAAUCGCCCCUUCUUCUUCUCACCAGCAACUUUCGUCCAUGCACGAAGUGUGAGAGCUUCAUCAACAGAGCAUCCACGGGAGAGCGCCUCCGAUAGCUGACGAUCAUACUCCUCCUAAAAUAAAUAAGAAUAAAAUAGUUAAAGAUAAAUAAACAUUAAAAAAAAAUUAUAAUCACUAAUAAAAUUAAUUAAAAUACACUUAUGUAACAAUUACCUGGCAUAUCUUGGAGCGAUCAUCAACAUACUGGCCUGAUCGAUAUGUGUGGGUCUUCUUGUGGAGCUCAUUUAUGUAUGGCUCCCUACCCAGCUUCUUUGCCUAAUUGACAAGAAACACAAUUAUUAAGUAGUUAGUAAAACAUUAAACUAUAUUUAACCACAAAAUAUUUAAAAACAUACAUUCUAUAAAAUUAAUUAACAGAGUUAUUAUUUUUAAUUACCAGUCGACGGGCAUGCUCUGCUGUGCUUAUGCAGCCUCCCGUGUGGAUGCAUCCCCCUUUCUCUGAUGCUCUGUUCUUCUUUGCCUUCUCUGAUUUCGCCUUAAACUCUGGACUCCCCCAAUAGUCCACCAACUGCCUCAUAAGUGGCUCCCCGAUCCAGUAGGGCCUCUUUCCAGCAGUCUCGUGACGAAGUCGGACAUGUCGCAACAUGUCGGAGAGGCGGGCAGAAGCUCUAAUGUGAAAGUUCCUCCUUAUCUGAGCAUAGUACCUGGGGUUCCAGGUACACUUCAUCUGCAUAUUUGUUAACAUAUUUUAGGAAAUUAGUAAAUUAUAACAUAUGUGCAGAUAAGUUAAAAUAUAUUAUGAUAAGUAUUAAUGUAACCUCAAAAAGACCAAACCAUGCAUCCUUUUCAUCAUCUGGGAUAUCACCAUAAGUCUUCCAAAAUCCAUGAAACCUUCCCUGGAUGAUGUCUCUAAUGGCACUGGCGGCUGGCUUGCAGGGCAUGAAACUACAAACAAUGAAAACUCAUAUAGUUAAACAUUACAUAAAUUUAUAACAAUAUACAUAUUGAACAAAAAUACAUAAAGACUUACGAGUUCCCGCUAGGCACAAUGAUGUAACGCUCUUGUUCAUCUUGCGGAUAAUCUGCCAUCUCCUCAUCAUCAUCAUCAGCACCCUGUUGGGGUUGGGGUUGGGGUUGUUGAUGUUGGGGUGGUGGGGGUUGUUGAUGUUGAGGGAUUAUAAAGCUGGUCUGCCCAUGAGGAAAUGUUGGUGGAGGAGGCAACUGGUAACCUGUAGGGAGGAUAAAACCAACAGGUGCAACAACACCAGACCCUCCAGCGGGUGCAGCAGCACUAGCUUGGGAUGACCCAGUCGAUCCCUGGCUAGAAGAAGAGGGUGGUCUGGGAAAGGGAGUCAAUGUGGCAAGUGUGGCUGGAUCCGCAAUGUGUGUUGUGAACCGCCUCCUGGGGUCCUUGCUCUUGCCUUUCUCUUUUUGUUUCGGAGGCAUUGUGAAUCUGUUAAAUAACAAAAAAAGCGAUAUUGUAAAGGACUCAAAUAUAUAUACAUCAUUAAACAAGCGAUAUCUUCAUUCAAACUCAAAUGUAUUCAAGAUUACAAUAAAUUCAAAUUCAAUCAUUACAAGGGUGGAUAACAAUAUACUUCAAGUGUUGUUAUCAGACGCAUAGUUAUAUUCAUCUACAUCACCAUCAUCAACUUGAUUGUCUUGCUGGUCCCCUUCAUUAUUAUCAUCAACAACGUCUUCAUUCUCAUCUUCAACUUCAUCACGCAUCUCCAAAAUAGAAAGAUCAACCUGAUCCCCUUCAACGUGAGAGUCUUGCCAACUUGUCACUUGAUCUACUUCAAUUAUCUCAUUUACAUGUGUCAUAUCAUCGGCUUGGUAAGCAACUUCUUCGUUUGGUUCUCCAGUCUCAAUGCGGCCCCUCGGUUUUGUUUUGAUUGCAACAGACCAACCUCGUUUGCGUGGUAGAGUUGGGGGAUAAGGAACAUAGUACACUUGCCUAACAUUGUGUGCCAUGAUAAACGGGUCAUAUUCUUUAUAUUUUUUGUCGACUCGAAUAUCAACAGUGUUGCAUAAUUUAUUAAUUUUAGUCCAUCUAGGCGAGGGAUCAAACCAGUCACAAUAAAACAACACAACUUUAUUGUCAUUAUAUGAAAGCUCAUAAAUGUGUUUGAUCACGCCAUAGAAAUCAUCUUCACCUCCAUCUGUAACUCCUUUUACAUAAACACCACUAUUAAUAGUCUUUUUUCCUUCCGUCCAAGAGUGGGUAUGAAAUUUAUAUCCAUUCACGAAGUAGGUGUGAAAUUCAUUGGCACAUUGUAAAGGACCCUGAGAUAAUUGCCGUAAACGGAUGACUUCAUCAGUUGGCUCGGCAUUAUACACUCUUUGUUUAAACCAAGCUGGAAAAUAUUCAUGUAUAGAACCAGCUGUCGAUCCUUCACCAAACUCCGCAUAAAGAGCAAUAAAUUCCCUAAAAAGCAAUAAAUUCAAUACGAUGUUGUUAACCGCGUUAAAACUUAUUGUUAUAUGGACUAGUAAAAAUGGGUAGGAAUAAAUUUACUUACUCAAGGUAUGGUUUAACUUCCGCACAAUUAAUCAAAACAUGAACAUGAGCAGACCGCAUCUCUUUCUGAUCUACCAUCCAAUAUUGAAGCACCUUGCCCGCGUGUCGACCAUGAAGAUUGAAUACGGAUAAGGUUGACGGAUCCCGAACAUCGUUAACCUCAACUUCAUUUCUUGUAUUUGAUGGAGUAAGUAGACGAUCAACGAAAUAAUGGCCGAUGAAGUAUGUGGUUUCCUUGGCGGUGUAAAUAGCAACAAUUGAUCCUUCCACUUUGGCCAGAUUUUUAAAUGCUCGUUUUGAGUCACCCAUGAAUCUUUCAAAAGGGUACAUCCACCUAUAUUGAACAGGUCCGCCAAGUAUAGCUUCAUAUGCCAGAUGCACAGGAAGAUGUUCCAUAGAGUCAAAGAAACCUGGUGGAAAAAUUUGCUCCAACUGACAGAUAAUGAUUGGCAUAUUAUUCUCCAUUUUCUCAAGUUCAUCAACUCUCAAGGUUGAAGCGCACAAAUUUUUAAAAAAUUGACUAAUCUCAAUAAGUGGAUCUAGCACAUGUUUGGGCAAUGAACUAAAUGCAAUUGGGAUAAAGUUCUCCAUGAAAAUGUGAGAGUCAUGACUUUUCAUCCCAUGCAACCUUCCCGUGUUGACAUCGGCACACCUGCCUAUGUUAGAAGAAUAUCCAUCGGGCAUUCUCAAAUCCUUCAACCAUUGACACACUAAUUUUGCUUCUUGGGCAGAUAGGCUGUAGUUGGCUUUCGGUUUCAACAACUUCCCAUUCGGUUGAGGUUUCAACUCCAAAUCCUUUCUUUUGCAAUAUAUUUGUAAGUCUUUUCUAGCCUUCUCAGUGUCUUUUGUUUUUCCUUUGACAUCCAUCACUGUGUUAAAUAUGUUGUCAAAGACAUUCUUCUCAAUGUGCAUUACAUCAAGAUUAUGUCUGAGCAAGUUAUCUUUCCAAUAUGGGAGGUCCCAAAAUAUACUCCUUUUAGUCCAGUGAUGGUCUACUCCGUAUCUUGGUAUUGGGACAGCUCGACCAUAAUCAGUGACUUUUGGAUAAUCACAAACUCUUGUCCACACUUCUUCUGAUGUAAUCUUAGGUGGAGGACCAACAAAAACUCUCUCAUCCUUCUUGAAACCAUUCUUAAGUCUUCUAAACGGGUGAUUAUGAGGCAAGAACGGAUGAUGACAGUCAAACCACGAACUCUUCCCUCCACUUUCCAAAGUAAAUGCCUUUGUAUUUUCCAUACAAUGUGGACAUGCAAAUCUACCAUGAGUACUCCAACCGGACAACAUGCCAUAAGCGGGAAAAUCAUUAAUGGUCCACAUCAAAGCUGCUCUCAACUUGAAAUUUUGUUUUCUAGAAAUAUCAUAUGUCAAUUCUCCAGCCCACAACCUCUUCAAAUCAUCAAUUAAAGGUUGUAGAAACACGUCUAUGCCUGCUUUAGGGUUAUCUGGUCCUGGUACAAUACAACUCAAAAACAAGUAUGGUUUUGUCAUGCACAUUUCAGGAGGGAGAUUAUACGGGGUUACAAUGAUUGGCCAACAAGAAUAUGGUUUUGCCGAGGAUUGGACAUAUGGCUGAAAACCGUCAGAGCAUAAUCCAAGUCUCACAUUCCGUGGAUCUGCUGCAAAAUCAGGAUGUACUCGAUCAAAGUGUUUCCAUGCUUCACCGUCAGAAGGAUGUCGCAUCACUCCGGGAAUUCCAUUUGAAUGAUGCCACGUCAUUUGACUAGCAGUUUUCAUCGAUGCAAACAGUCUUUGUAAUCUUGGUAUUAUCGGCAAGUAAAACAUUGACUUAACCGCAACUCGUUUCUGCUUGCUAAUACCGUACCUCGGGCUUUGACAAAAUUUACAUUCCUCCAAUGCUCCAUCAUUUAUCCCAAACUCAUUGUCAUAAAACAACAUGCAUCCAUUUCUACAACAAUCAAUCUUUUUAACUGAUACUCCCAACUUCAUCACCAACCUCUUCGCAGCAUGAUAAUUCAUUGGCAGAUUAUCUUUGAACGGAGUCACGGCCUUCAACAUCUUCGUAAUAUCAUCCAUACCAUCAUCAGGAUUAAGAUAAUUCGACUUAUGAGAUAAAAGCCACACACACAUAGAUAGCUUAGAGUGCGAAGACCCUUCAUACAAAGGUGUAUUACUUUCACUCAACAAUCGGUAAAAUCUUUGCGCCUUCUCAUUCGGGGGUUGUUCCUCUUCAUCAUCUUCAACAUCUUCACCGUAAGACAAUUCCACCCCUAAAGCAUCCGCAACCAUAUCAUCCAUCAUGUUGAAUUGUUCUGUGUUGACAUCUUCAUUGUAUUCCACAUUUGUUUCCACAUUUGUUCCACCAUGGCUAGUAGAAGCUUGUGCAUUGACCCCUACCCCAAAAUUCUGAAACAUUUCACCAUUAUAUGUCCAAACCCAAUAAUUAGGCAUAAAACCAACUUUUUUUAGGUGUUUCUUCACAUCUCCAGGAUCGGUAAUUAUAUGUCUGCACCUACAUUUUAGACACGGACAUCUAAUUCCUCCCUCAUCUCUACAUAUUUCUUGCUCCCAUGCCCAUGAAAUAAAUCCGUCAACUCCUUCGACAAAUUGCGGUUUUAGUCCAGUUCUUCUCGGAAACGUCCUAUCGUACAUCCAACGACGAUAAUAUUCAUAAUACUCCAUCUUCUACACGUUCCGCAACUUCAUUGACAUAUUCCACGUCGUCAAAAAUAAAUUAUUACUCGACGGAGAUAACUAACAUUACGCGCAAAAAAAAAAUCCCGCUCAAACAAUAAAAUAUAAGUUUACGCGCAAACAAAUUAAAUUUUUAACUCGCAAAUUAAACAUAUAAUAAUUAAUUAUUAAAUAAUUGUAACAUAGUUUUAAUUUUCAUCGAUAAACAACUUUCUUGUACUAUACUAUUUUUGAGUCCCUCCUUUUUAAACAAUAUGCAUUAUUAUAUUAUAUUGUUUUAUUUUAUAAAAAUAAUAAUUAUAACAUUUUAGACACGGAAAUCAAACAUAUUUUAAUUUAUUAAAAAAAAUUACAUUUUAACAAAGUUUUAAUUUUUUUUAAAAAAAACUGAUUUUUAAUACACUAUUUUAAUAAAUCGUUUUCCAAGAACUUUUUAGUGUAGUAUUUUUUAUGUAGUAUUUUUAUUUUCCUACGCUUUAAUUAGUUUUAAUUUAUGAAAAUAAUAAUUAUAACAUAAUUAUAAUUUCAAUAUAAAAACAGAUUUUUAAAUAUAUAAACAUAUUUUAAUUUCAUAAAAAACAGCAUUAGGUUUAAAAAUCUGUUUUUAUAAUUUAAAAACUGGUUUUUAUAUGGUAUUAACUAAACUAAAUUAUAUUUAUAAAAACCAGUUAUUAAAAUUUAAAAAAAAAAUAUUUUUAAUAACAGAUUUAGUUUAACAAACAAUUUUACUUUUAAAACAAUAUUCCCUUAUUUUGUUAUUUUAAAACAGUACCGAAAGGUACACUUGCUAAAAUUAAUUAAAUUGGUCCUAUUUUUCUUUCUUACAAUUAAAUAAGUUUAUUAUUAAAAGAAAAAACAGAAUAUAAGCAAUAAGUGUUUGACCAUAUUUUUUUUAACAUUCUACUACAACAUACAUAUAUAUUACAUUUUAUAAAAAAAAAAAAAAAAAAAGACAGCAUGCAUAUAUUUCAUUUUAUCACAAUAAAAACAACAUGCAUAUAUUUCAUUUCAUCACAAAAAAUAAACAUGCAUAUAUAUAUAUAUAUAUAUAUAUAUAUAUAUAUAUAUAUAUAUAUAUAUAUAUAUAUAUAUAUAUUUCAUUUUAUCACAACAAAUAAAAAAACAUGCAUACAUUUCAUUUUUUCACAAAAAAAGCAUGGAUAUAUUUCUCAAAUUCGAAUAAAUAAACCAACAAUAUUCAUGCAUAAUAAUAUAUAUGAAGAAAAAAAAAUAUUACAUGAUUAUAUUAAAUAUUUUAGAUUUUCGGAAAAAAAAAAUACCAAACAGUCAUCAUAUAUUUUUACAACAUAUCAUCAAAAUGUAUAAUUUUUAGGCCAAAAAAAUUACCAAACAGUCAGCAUAUAUUGUUAUGAGGAAAAAAAAUCACUAACUUGUUGAAGCUUUAUUACACUAGAAGAUCUCCAAUGCAAUCCAAAAACAACAACAGUUGAAGCAAUAGCUGACCACAGGAGGCAGAUAAGUAACACAACUGCAAAUAACAUAGAAAAUAAAUAAGAUUAAUAGGUGUUAAAAAUUAAUAUCAUGAUAAAACAUAUAAGAAAUGAAGUAUUUUUUACCAAAGAAAUGAAGUUUGAUGAAAGUGUUGAGUUUUAAGAGAAGAAAAUGUUCUAUCUUGCUUCCCUGAGACCGGUGCAACUCUUAUAUAGGGAGGGGAAAAAGCCACGGCUUCUGCGACGGCCUGCCCCCUGGCUUAUCUGGUCAAAUCCUACCUAGCUAGGCGCAACAAUAGGGCACAUAACGGCUUGCAAAAAGCCAGGGAUAUGUGCAAUUUCCGAGGGGUUCUGCCCCUGGCAAGCCUGCAGCACAUCACCUUUCCCAGGCCCUUGUCAAGUCAACAGAAAAAGCAGCAGGAAUCUAUGGAAACGCGUACAUCCGAGGGGCUUUCCCUCGCAUAAGCCCUCGGUUAUUUCUGACAUUGCAGAAAUUGCACCAGCUUUUGAAAUUUCAAUCUGGCGCCUAAAAAUAUGCCACGGCUUUUGACAAAAAACGAGGGGCAAAGUCCCUGGCUUUUUUGCCAGCGGUUGUCCCUGGCAAAUUUGCCAGGGGUUUCAAACCUUGACAAAAUCCCUGGCAAAACGCAAUGUUUCUUGUAGUGUUUUAACCUAAAACUUGUUCCAUUCAUCAUUAAAAUCAUUUAGGUACAUUAAAUCAUCCCCAAAACAUCUUAUAACAACAAUUUGAAAAUCAAGUUUUGAACUGGCUUGCUCGCCAUGGCGAGUUGGUCUUCUCGCGAGGCGAGCCAUGCUGUUGUUCACUAGCGAGGCGAGACAUGAAUGCUCGCGAGGCGAGCGAUGAACAUCAGUACGGGCAGAAAACAGGUUUUUUCCAAAAAUCCCAUUUUUCUUCCAUUCACUCCACAAAUUGGUUUACAGAUGUGAGUUAACUUACUGUAUGCACUCAGAACCUAUUUCUAACAUCAGAAUCACAAUCUCAACCCCAAAAUCAUCAUUUCAUCAUAAAACCCCAAAAUCCCAAUUCACUCCAAAACUCUGUUAAACUCAAAUUCAGAAAUUAAAAUCUAUACUACUUGAGUAAACCUCACCCUUACCUUAGAAAUUGCAGAAAAUGCACAGCAUAAAUGGUUCUUGGCUCUAACUUGCUCUUCUCUCCCUUUUCUCCUAACUGGACAGUUUUCACGUACAGAGUUUUCUAACUUCUCUUUUCCUAACUUCCCAUUACUUAACUCCCCUUUAUUUUCAUUUAACUCCCUUUAAUUCUAUUAAAUAUUAAAUAACUCCCCAAACUCCAAAAUAAUUAUUAUUUCUCACUUAUUCUAAUUAUUAUUAAAAUAAACCGUAUAAUAAUAUAAACACACCACAUAAAUCACCAAAAAUCAUAUAUAUAUAUAUAUAUAUAUAUAUUAGACUCCACAUAAUCCAAAAAUAAAUAGCACAACGAUUGGAGUGUUACACAUCUACUUUUAAUAGCCUUCACUAUUUACUUAUUUGUCAUACCCCAAUUUUUGACCCAAGAUACCACUUACACGUGUCAUUUAAACUCCGACCGGUCUCAGCCUUUCGAGCAAAAAAUUCGGCAGGGAGGUAUUUUAAAAUACCUCAUAGUUGGUUCCGAGUCGGGCCCUCUUCUCUCAAUUUUCAAUUUUCAUCUAAUUUCCAUCUUUUAUCAACUUUAAAUCCAUCUUAAAUUUUUAUCUUUUUAUCUCAUUUUGAUUCACUUCUAUCUUUUAUUUUAUUUUAUCUUUAUUAUUAUUAUUUUCCAAUUUGGUCCGAUAAUAUCCAAUUUACAGCCUGUCAGCUUCCUCUCCAAGCCACAACAGCCUGUCAUGUUUCCUCCCCAAGCAACAAAAUUUUGCUCAUUUCAAGCUCUAUAAAUACAACACGCAAGCAGCACACAGAGAGGGGGGCCCAACAAACAAAAAAAACAUUCCACGGCCACAACACAACACACAAGACAACAAUUUUCAUUCUUUUUUCGAUCCCAAACCAGCAACCAACAGAGAACAAUUUUCCUCCCAUUUUUUCUUACAAUCCAAACCUUUCCAAUCAACCAACCAAACACAAAUUUCAAACCAGAACAUUUCUAACACAAGAUCAACAACCAAACUCACAGAUCCGGUAACCAAACCGCAAAACAACACACAAACUGUUCUCAUAACAAAACCGAACCAUCGCAACUCAAAUCGAACCAAAUCUUUACAAACCCUCUCAAACCAAAAAGGUAGUAUUUCUUUCCUUAGAUCUAGGUCCAACCGCUUGGUAAAAAUAUUUUUUGAGCUUAAAAUCAUAAAGAGUGAGUAAAAAGAAGUAAAAAGAAGUAAAAAGAACGAAAAAAGGAGACGCUUUCAUCUCCGGCGCGGCGGCGCAGCCGCUAUGGCUCACCGGCCACCGCGCCGGAACCCCCUCCGACCACCAUCUCUCCACCGGAGAAGAUGAAGAAAUUCUAGAGAGAAGGCAGAGCUUCUCUCUCUAGAAAUAAGAGAAGAGAGAGAAAGAAAAAUAAAAGUGAAUGAAAAAAACCAGUCCUGCCUAUUUAUACUACUAGACCGAACCGGUUCAAAUCUGAACCGGUCUGAACCGGUCUAAUCCAGGCCCAUGCGUUUUUCCUGAGGCCCAAUCUCGAUUCUUCAUUUUUAUUCUUGCACCCUCACUUUACUGCUCAUACACCACCAGCAUCUCAUCUUUUUACUUUCUUUUUUUCAUGCAUUUUAAUUUCCUCUCUAUUAAUCCAGAGUGCUCUGGUCCUAUAUUAACUGUUAAUAUUAUAUUCUUGUUUAAUUUAAUUAUUCUCCAGAACAAUCUGGUCCUUGUUAAUUAAAUUAAUCCAGAGUGCUCUGGUCCUAUAUUAACUGUUAAUAUUAUAUUUUUGUUUAAUUUAAUUAUUCUCCAGAACAAUCUGGUCCUUGUUAAUUAAAUUAAUCCAGAGUGCUCUGGUCCUAUAUUAACUGUUAAUAUUAUAUUUUUGUUUAAUUUAAUUAUUCUCCAGAGUGCUCUGGUCAUUGUUAAUUAAAUUAAUCCAGAGUGCUCUGGUCCUAAAUUAACUGUUAAUAUUAUAUUCUCCAGAAUAUUCUGGUCCUAUAUAUAUAUAUUAAAUACUAUUUAUCUUGUUGAACUAACAAUCUUUUCUUCACACCCACACACUUUAUUUUUUUGUUGCUCUAUUUGUUUAAUUUUCCAUUACUAUUCAAAACAACAAAAACAUUCAAAUAUUCAAAAAACAACAAAAACAUUCAAAUAUCCAAAAUUCACAAAAAGAGCUUUUCACAACAAACCUUGACUUUCAAUCAAGUGACCGUCUUUUUAUUUUAUUUUUCUUAAUCAAAUUUCAAAUCAAUUCUAAUUCAACUUCAAGUCAAUUUUCUUCAAUCUAAAAAACACAAAUCAAUUCUCAUUUGCCAUUUGGCUUUUUAUUUCAAAACCUUUUUCAAAACAUAUAAAAAACACCAAACAAAUCAAACGUCAAUUUCUACCCCGAACUACGAGGUUUUGAUCCCUCACGGGUACGUAGGCAGAGGACCUUGUCCUUCCAAAUCAAUUAAAAAACAAUUUUCUUUUUUCUUUUCAACUUUCAACUAAAAAACAAUUUUCUUUUUUUUCCUUCAAUCAAAAUCAAUUUUCUUUUUCUUUUCAACUCAUCAUUCAAUUCUAUUUUCAUCUCUUUAAAAGCAAGCAAGUUUAAGCACAAAAAGUUAAAUAAAAUCAAGAGGUUCUCGUAGAGUACUACGAAUAUUUAGGGUGCUAACACCUUCCCUAAAUAUAACCAACCCCCAAACCCUAAAUCUCUUCAAAAUGGGUUGUUUGGAACUUUUUCCCCUUAAAAAAAAAUUUGUUCAGUCGUGAGAUAAAAAGUGAGUCAAAGUCAAUCAAAUGGCCUUGACGUCCGAAAAAUGGCGCGACAGAAAUGGCGACUUCACUGGGGAUGUCAUAAGAGGGUUGAGCCUAACUUGAAUUUAUUUAAAUUUUGUGCCAUAACUUGCUUACAAAUCAAAAAAUAAAAGAUGAAAAUACGUGCAUAUAUGUUCUCUUUUCUUCUUUCUUUUUCCUUAACAUGAGUGGUGAGAUAAGUCCUACACCCGGGCUUGAGGAAAACAUAAGAUAGGAUGGUGAUAUAAUCAAAGUGCUAUUCCAAGAGUAAUCUUGAGUGUUAGUACAUGUGAUAAUCCCGCUCAAUGGAGGUUCUUGGAAGUAAUACUAUGUUGACAUGAGUAAUCGUGUUUGACACUAUUAUUUUCAAGUAAUCGUCGAAGUUGAGGACCUUUAGUUACCUUUAACCCAUCUUGGCCUCUUAGGACGUAGUGCGGUGGGUAAUCAAGAGUAAUCUUGAAUUAGUCGAUACGCGAUACUACACCCAAACAAGACUUUCCUACAAAUGUCAUUGGAUCAAGAGUAAUCUUGUAACCUGAUAAUAUUUGGAAGUGGUUGUAGACUUUGGGAACUUGGUAGAACCCAUGAUACAGGUACAAAAUGAAACCAUAGUCCUUACCAAAUGGCGUGUUUACCCCUCGACUCCAUCGUCAUGGCCUUAAACCUCACCAUGUUUUCACCAUUUGUGUCGCAUAAUCAUGCAUACAUGCAUUCGUUCAUAAAUAACUUUUUUUUUCUCUCAUCAAAAUAUCGAAGGACUAAAAAAAAAAAAUCUUUUGUAAACAUCAUAGGUAUGAAUCCUGCGACAAGAACCACUAGGAAGUACUAUUUCCGAAACCCGGAUUUGUCAAACCUAAGGAAGCUAGGGAAAAGGGUGACUAAUCCGGUAGAUUUUCAAAAUCGCCAUGGAAGACUGCUUAACCUCCUCGAGACGAAGGUGGUGCAAGGGAUCCUCGAUACUUUGGUCCAGUUUUAUGACCCUUAUUGCCAUUGUUUCACUUUCCUCGACUACCAACUUGUCCCCACCCUUGAGGAAUACUCCUACUUGAUCGGGUUACAGUGUCUAACGAAGAACCAUUCAACGGCCUUGAGCCUGUUCCUAAGCACGCAACCAUUGCAAAGGCCCUUCACCUUGAAACAUCUGUUAUAACAGCUAAACUUACCACCAAAGGAGGCCUUCUAGGUCUACCCGCCAAUGUCCUCUUUGAAAAGGCCGUCGCUUUCGCCGAUAUGGGCAGUAUUGAUGCCUUUGAAUCCAUCCUUGCCCUACUCAUAUAUGGUCUUUUGCUUUUCCCAGAUGUCACCAACUUUGUUAAUAUUAAUGCCAUCAAAAUAUUCCUAGCCAAAAACCCCAUCCCCACUUUGCUUGCCGAUACAUAUCUCUCCAUCCAUGAUCGAACCCAAAAAGGGCAAGGAACUAUACUUUGUUGUGCACCCUUGUUGUACAAUUGGUUUACCUUACAUUUACCCAAUCACUUCAAAACCAAUCCAGAAAACACCCUUUGGUCACAAAAAAACCAUGUCCCUCGCUCCAUCUGAUAUAGUUUGGUACAACCGAAAUUAUGACACUGGAACAAUCAUUGACAGUUGCGGAGAAUUCUCUAACGUACCUCUUCUCGGUAUAUGUGGGGGAAUUAGCUAUAACCCUAUUCUCGCCAGGCGUCAAUUUGGGUACCCAAUGGAAAAACCAAAGGAUAUCUCACUAGACGGGAUAUUCUACCUCAACCAAGAGGAUAACAAGGGCAUGAGAGGAAGAUUUAUACAAGCUUGGCGUGCAGUUCAUAAGAGGGAAAAAGGUCAGUUAGGAAGGAGGUCAGGUUUGAUCUAUGAAUCUUACACUAAGUGGGUCAUUGAUAGAGCUGCAAAAAAUGGAAUACCUUAUCCUCUACAAAGACUCCCAUCUUCAACUACCCCAUCUCCAUCCUUACCCAUGACUUCUAAAACCAAGGAGGAAGCUCAAUACCUGUUAACCGAGAUGACACGAGAAAAGGACAUAUGGAGAAUGAGAUAUAUGGAAGCCGAGAACAAGAUUGGGACUCUAAAGGGACAAGUAGAACAGAAAGAUCAUGAGCUCAGCAAGAUGAGGCAACAAAUGAUCGAGAGAGACGAUCUACUCCAGGAGAAGGACAGGUUGCUUGGAAAGCAUAUCACUAAGAAGCAACGCAUGGACUUCAUGGAUUUGUUUGAUGGUGCACAUUCAGAUUUCGAGGAGUAGUCUGCUUCAAGAGCUCAAGAGCUCCCCGUUUGUUUUAUCCUUUAUGCUUUCUAUUAUGUACUUUGGAGUCUAUCCCUUGGCUCAAUUUGUUAAAAAGGGAAUUAACUUGUUUCUAUUUGUAGGACUAUCCCUUGACUUUGUUUUAGAAAGGGAAUUAUCUUGUCCAAGGAAACUUUCAGUUAUGAUGUUUACUAAAAUUGCUUUUAUAAGUCCUUCGAUAAAUAAAAUAUGUCUAUCUUUUUGCAUAACAUCAUGCAUCAUCCCGCAUUUCAUAGUUUCAAAUACAAGUCUCACAAAUUUUAUUUUAUUUUUCUUUUCCACAAAAAGGUCAAAGAAGGGUUUCAUGUCUUCAUUCAACUUCAGCUCACACAUGCAAACACUCGUGCAAACACAAAAAAUGGAUCGACUUGGAGAAGAGGUCCACGAGCUUCGUGAAGAAGUGACUAUACUUCGGGCCGAGGUAGAGAAGUUAACUAACUUGGUAUCUUCACUAUUGGCUACGGAGGAUCAGCCGCUAUGCCCACAACAGCCUCGACAACAAGCUCUUCAGCAGUUUAUUGCUCAAGAUCAAGCUAAGGGAGCACCACGGUUUGGUCUGAUCCCUGUGAAAUAUGCAGAGUUGUUUCCCGCACUUCUUAAGGAAAAUCUGAUCCAAACUAGACCACCUCUCCCGGUACCAAAAAGGUUGCCAAUAGGGCAUAGAGCUGACCUUUCUUGUGCUUUCCAUCAAGGGGCAUCAGGUCACGAUAUCGAGCAAUGCUUUGCUUUCAGGACUGUAGUCCAGAAGUUAAUCCAAGCUAACACACUGUCCCCUGAGGGUCAGCUACUUGUCCAACAAAGAUCUCAAAAGCCGGUUUACCAGCCACAACUUCAACAACAGGCUCCAAGAGCACUGCAGUUUGAUCCGAUUCCUAUGAAGUACGCAGAAUUGUUUCCUUAUCUGCUCAAGAAGAACUUAAUCCAAACUAGGGCACCUCCUCUAGUGCCGAAGAAAUUGCCGGCUCAAUGGAGACCUGACCUCUUUUGUGCUUUCCAUCAAGGAGCACAAGGUCAUGACAUUGAGCAUUGUUUCUCCUUGAAGAUUGAAGUCCAGAAGCUGAUUGACGACGAUGUCUUGCCUUUCAAAAAUUUGAAUCCGAGUGUGUAGCUGCAAUUGGGUCAACGUUUAUGCCUUCUUCUGCUACUCGAUUUUCUUCCAGCGAUACGUUUGUUGGUUUACUACCUUUUCAAAAAAAUCCUUUCGUCCCGCCCGAGAUGAAAGUGAACUGGUGUAGGGCUUUUUGCUUUAAGAAUUGUCAUCAUUAAUAAAUAAAAAAAGUCGCUUCGAUCCCGACUUUGCCUUUUUGCUUUUUCUAGAAAAAUGGUAAAUACAAAAAAACCAAAAAACAAUAAUCAUUUUCAAAUAUCUGCAUAAUCAUAACUUUCAUUUACUCGUCAAAAUCAAUAAUCAAAUCAUGCAUUAAUAAACUCGUUGAACACAAUAACCAUGUACUCUCUUCCAACUUUGAGUUCCCUAUGUCCGAAGAUGAAGAAGAGGAAAAUGAGGAGACUCCUAGUGAGAUCUCUUGCUUACUGGGGCAUCUUAGCCGUCGAAUCUACAAACAAAAAUAUCAAGAAGAUUGCCCAGAAGAUGGCUUUCAUUUACAAAGACUGGCACAAGAUGCUACCAUCCGCACUUCUUGAGUAUAGUACUUCAAUGCACAUUUCAACAGGGGCAAGCCCCCCCCCCCCUCCAUCCCUCAGUAUACAACAUGAAGUUUGUGCUUCCCAUGGAGGUCGAAGUCCCAACAAUAGGAGUUCUACCAAAGUCCAAGCUUGAUUGAACUUAAAACACAUGACGACCUUGUACAACCAUGUUAAAAGAGGUUGAAACAAACUUCAAACAAGAAGGUUCGUCCUCAUGGAAUUCAAGAAAGAGACUUUGUGCCCAAAAAGGUACUAUCUUUCCAACCACACUCUAGGGGCAAGUGGACGCAUAACUAGGAAGGCCCAUGUGCACUGACUCUUGUGCCUACAAAUGGUGACAAACUCACACUUCCUAUGAAUGUCAAUGCAGUCAAGAAAUACUUUGUCAAAAAAUGAAAGCUCGAUAAGUCGCAAACCUGAAAAGGCGGCUUAGGCAAAAAUGAGCGUCUCGGUGGACUGAAAACCCAAAAGGGCGGUCCAGGCAAAAGUUAGAGACACAAAAAUGAUUAUCCUGAUAGAUUGAAAACCCGAAAGGGCGAUCUAUGCAAAAAUUAAGGAUCAAAAGACAAAGUAACUGCAUCAGUCAGGCACCAUACACUUGGGGCAUCCAACUAUCAAAGGACUUCCGACUCGAAGCCUCUACAUAUCAAAGACCCAGAACAGGGGCAUUCAAAGUUGUUGGGGAGAAUAACGGUUAUUGUGUUCAAUGCACCCUUCCCAUUACAUUUACCAUUUUUCCAAGAUUUUCAAAAUCCGUGGAGCCAUGCCCUUGGCAGGUCACCACUCAAUUCAGCAAAUUUGAGCCUGUGCCCAUUUAUUUGGAACUCUCAUUUAUUCUGUUUGCAUAAUUUUUUUCUAUUUUUUAUGGCAAUACUUAAAGCAAAAAUUUUCAAAAUACAAAACAUUUUUUUUUUUUUACAUCUUUUGAAAAGUGUGAACAACAAACACACUCUCUUUGAACUCAUAAGUAGGUGAAGCGUACAUCAACAUUUGCCUCAAGAACGGUUACACUACGAAAGAGAAGCAGGGCUAAGCACAUAUGGAAAGAACCUCUGCCUUGAGCAAGAUGCUGUCACAGUCAAAAAAAUACAAAAAAAAAAAUCAAAGCUCGCUAAGUGAAAACCUGGAAAGGUAGCUUAGGCAAAAAAUGAGCGUCCCGGUAGACUGAAAACCCGAAAGGGCGGUCUAGGCAAAAGUUAGGGACACAAAAAAGAAAUAUACUCCCGGUGGACUGAAAACCCGAAAGGGCAGUCCAGGCAAAAGUUAGGGAUUUCAAAAAAAAAAAACACGACUUUUGAAGCAUGCAAGAGGAGGAACACCCUGCGUCGUCUUACAACUGGCGACUUCUUCUAGACUUUCUAUCAACAAUGGGCUUUACCCCCAAGAGGCAUCAGUUGCUACCUUGUGCCAGGUUCUUAUACCGUCAACGGUUUGAUUUGUUAACAAUAAUGUCAUCUCCAAGGAAGUUUGCCAAGUGUUUGUACUGCGAUGUCAGUCCGCCUCCCACCUUACCAAUCCUGUCUCGUUCCAUCGAGUCUAUACAAUCAUACAUUCAUUCACACAUUCACACAUCAAUACAUUCAUACAAUCAUGCAUUCAUCAAUAUUUUCACAUAUUCUUACGUUUACGUGUACACAACAUAUGCACAACAUCGAUCCACCCAUAAUUACAUCAGUCAUCCAUAAUAUCGUUUCAGUCAUGUCUCUUAAGUUCGGUUUUAACUUAUCAAUUUCAAGCGGCAAGUUUCGGAUAAAGGGACAACUUGAAUCUAUUUUCAGUCAAUUUCAAGCGGCCAGUUUCCGAUAAAGGGACAACUUGAAUCUAUUUUCAGUCAAUUUCAAGCGGCGAGUUUCCGAUAAAAGGGACAACUUGAAUCUAUUUUCAGUCAAUUUCAAGCGGCCAGUUUCCGAUAAAGGGACAACUUGAAUCUAUUUUCAGUCAAUUUCAAGCGGCGAGUUUCCGAUAAAGGGACAACUUGAAUCUAUUUUCAGUCAAUUUCAAGCGGCGAGUUUCCGAUAAAAGGGACAACUUGAAUCUAUUUUCAGUCAAGUUCAAGCGGCGAGUUCCCGAUAAAGGGACAACUUGAAUCUAUUUUCAGUCAAGUUCAAGCGGCAAGUUCCCGAUAAAGGGACAACUUGAAUCUAGUUUCAGUCAAACGGCAAGUUCCCGAUAAAGGGACAGCUUGAACCUAUUUCCAGUCAGUUUCAAUUUCAAUUUCAAUUUCAAUUUCAAAAGUGUCAUACCCGGCGUAAAGCCGUGCAAGCCAUGUCACUAAUCAAUUUCAAUUUCAAUUUUCAAUUUCAAAAGUGUCAUACCCGGCGUAAAGCCGUGCAAGCCAUGUCACUAAUCAAUUUCAAUUUCAAUUUCAAUUUUCAAUUUCAAAAGUGUCAUACCCGGCGGAAAGCCGUGCAAGCCAUGUCACUAAUCAAUUUCAAUUUCAAUUUCAAUUUCAAAAGUGUCUUCCCCGGCGUAAAGCCGUACUAGUGAUGUCACUAAUCAAUUUCAAAGUGUCAUCCCUAGGCGUGAAGCUGUGUCAGUGAUGUCACUAGUUUAAUUUCAAUCACCUGUUAUACAUGUAGUAGACAAUCAUUUCCCCCAGUGAAACUACAUUCCCCUCGUGGAGUCAGGAUCCCUUUCUUCAGCGAAUUCGGGUAUCCCAUUGUUGUUUCUCAUUCCAGUCAAGCCAUCUAUGUCAUCCUGCAUUCAUAAUUGCAUCGCAUGCAUUCAUAACAUCUUAGGCCAAAAAUUGUGUACUUUGUAUUUAAGUCUCUUCGACCCGUCGAAUCAAAGAUUCCAUCUUCAAAUCUCUGGUCGAAGAAACUUAAAUAGGGGCAUCUGUCAUACCCCAAUUUUUGACCCAAGAUACCACUUACACGUGUCAUUUAAACUCCGACCGGUCUCAGCCUUUCGAGCAAAAAAUUCGGCAGGGAGGUAUUUUAAAAUACCUCAUAGUUGGUUCCGAGUCGGGCCCUCUUCUCUCAAUUUUCAAUUUUCAUCUAAUUUCCAUCUUUUAUCAACUUUAAAUCCAUCUUAAAUUUUUAUCUUUUUAUCUCAUUUUGAUUCACUUCUAUCUUUUAUUUUAUUUUAUCUUUAUUAUUAUUAUUUUCCAAUUUGGUCCGAUAAUAUCCAAUUUACAGCCUGUCAGCUUCCUCUCCAAGCCACAACAGCCUGUCAUGUUUCCUCCCCAAGCAACAAAAUUUUGCUCAUUUCAAGCUCUAUAAAUACAACACGCAAGCAGCACACAGAGAGGGGGGCCCAACAAACAAAAAAAACAUUCCACGGCCACAACACAACACACAAGACAACAAUUUUCAUUCUUUUUUCGAUCCCAAACCAGCAACCAACAGAGAACAAUUUUCCUCCCAUUUUUUCUUACAAUCCAAACCUUUCCAAUCAACCAACCAAACACAAAUUUCAAACCAGAACAUUUCUAACACAAGAUCAACAACCAAACUCACAGAUCCGGUAACCAAACCGCAAAACAACACACAAACUGUUCUCAUAACAAAACCGAACCAUCGCAACUCAAAUCGAACCAAAUCUUUACAAACCCUCUCAAACCAAAAAGGUAGUAUUUCUUUCCUUAGAUCUAGGUCCAACCGCUUGGUAAAAAUAUUUUUUGAGCUUAAAAUCAUAAAGAGUGAGUAAAAAGAAGUAAAAAGAAGUAAAAAGAACGAAAAAAGGAGACGCUUUCAUCUCCGGCGCGGCGGCGCAGCCGCUAUGGCUCACCGGCCACCGCGCCGGAACCCCCUCCGACCACCAUCUCUCCACCGGAGAAGAUGAAGAAAUUCUAGAGAGAAGGCAGAGCUUCUCUCUCUAGAAAUAAGAGAAGAGAGAGAAAGAAAAAUAAAAGUGAAUGAAAAAAACCAGUCCUGCCUAUUUAUACUACUAGACCGAACCGGUUCAAAUCUGAACCGGUCUGAACCGGUCUAAUCCAGGCCCAUGCGUUUUUCCUGAGGCCCAAUCUCGAUUCUUCAUUUUUAUUCUUGCACCCUCACUUUACUGCUCAUACACCACCAGCAUCUCAUCUUUUUACUUUCUUUUUUUCAUGCAUUUUAAUUUCCUCUCUAUUAAUCCAGAGUGCUCUGGUCCUAUAUUAACUGUUAAUAUUAUAUUCUUGUUUAAUUUAAUUAUUCUCCAGAACAAUCUGGUCCUUGUUAAUUAAAUUAAUCCAGAGUGCUCUGGUCCUAUAUUAACUGUUAAUAUUAUAUUUUUGUUUAAUUUAAUUAUUCUCCAGAACAAUCUGGUCCUUGUUAAUUAAAUUAAUCCAGAGUGCUCUGGUCCUAUAUUAACUGUUAAUAUUAUAUUUUUGUUUAAUUUAAUUAUUCUCCAGAGUGCUCUGGUCAUUGUUAAUUAAAUUAAUCCAGAGUGCUCUGGUCCUAAAUUAACUGUUAAUAUUAUAUUCUCCAGAAUAUUCUGGUCCUAUAUAUAUAUUAAAUACUAUUUAUCUUGUUGAACUAACAAUCUUUUCUUCACACCCACACACUUUAUUUUUUUGUUGCUCUAUUUGUUUAAUUUUCCAUUACUAUUCAAAACAACAAAAACAUUCAAAUAUUCAAAAAACAACAAAAACAUUCAAAUAUCCAAAAUUCACAAAAAGAGCUUUUCACAACAAACCUUGACUUUCAAUCAAGUGACCGUCUUUUUAUUUUAUUUUUCUUAAUCAAAUUUCAAAUCAAUUCUAAUUCAACUUCAAGUCAAUUUUCUUCAAUCUAAAAAACACAAAUCAAUUCUCAUUUGCCAUUUGGCUUUUUAUUUCAAAACCUUUUUCAAAACAUAUAAAAAACACCAAACAAAUCAAACGUCAAUUUCUACCCCGAACUACGAGGUUUUGAUCCCUCACGGGUACGUAGGCAGAGGACCUUGUCCUUCCAAAUCAAUUAAAAAACAAUUUUCUUUUUUCUUUUCAACUUUCAACUAAAAAACAAUUUUCUUUUUUUUCCUUCAAUCAAAAUCAAUUUUCUUUUUCUUUUCAACUCAUCAUUCAAUUCUAUUUUCAUCUCUUUAAAAGCAAGCAAGUUUAAGCACAAAAAGUUAAAUAAAAUCAAGAGGUUCUCGUAGAGUACUACGAAUAUUUAGGGUGCUAACACCUUCCCUAAAUAUAACCAACCCCCGAACCCUAAAUCUCUUCAAAAUGGGUUGUUUGGAACUUUUUCCCCUUAAAAAAAAAUUUGUUCAGUCGUGAGAUAAAAAGUGAGUCAAAGUCAAUCAAAUGGCCUUGACGUCCGAAAAAUGGCGCGACAUUAUUUAUACGAUAUUAUUAUAAAUCAUGAAUAUGCUCCUUAAGAUGGCUAAUCGAUACAAUAAAUAUCUGUUUCAGGCUAUGAGAUACUGCUAUGCUAUCUUGUAUCACAUUAUUCUGCUCACUUUCUAAUGGUUAGAAUUUUGUUUUUCUUGGCCCUUUUAAGGGUGAUGGAAUAGAUGCAGAGGCUGGAUUGCUGGAAGAUAUUCUCAUUCACGAGGAAAUCUAUAAGUCUCGACUAGCCAGCAUUAAACGGGUAAGUUGCUACUUCUCCGCUUAUUCUAUUUCCUCUUUAUACUUCUACUGACUGAACAAUUUUCAGGAAGAAGAAAUUGUUUUGCGAGAGAGGGACCACUACGAACUAGAGAAGGGAAGACUAAUUCGUGAAAUGAAACGCAUUCGGGAUGAAGAUGGUUCACGGUUCAACAAUUUUCAGAUUCUAAACCAUCGUUACGCCCUUCUAAACCUUUUUGGAAAGUGAGGAUUCAGCGAGGUGUACAAGGUCUAAACUUUACUGUACAAUAUUAAUCAUUUUAUCAUAUUUAUAUUAAUUUAGCGAAUAUUAUACAUGGUUGAGUUACUAAAACCAGAAUCCUAGAGAGUUCCUUUGCCUUUUAUUGGCAAAUGUAAAUAAAUACCUUUUUGCAGUGAUUUGAAGUAAAAAAUUUCCAGCAGGCUUUUGAUUUGGUGGAGCAUAGAUAUGUUGCAUGCAAGCUUCAUGGUUUAAAUGCUCAAUGGAGUGAAGAGAAGAAGCAAAGUUACAUAAGGCAUGCAAUUCGGGAGUAUAAUAUUCACAAGACCUUGGUCCAUCGUCAUAUUGUUCGUUUAUGGAACAUCUUUGAGAUUGAUCCAAAUACAUUCUGCACUGUUCUAGAGUAUUGCAGCGGUAUAUACACCUCAUAUGUUUUAUGAAGAUAAUUAUUUUGUUUACUUUUGUUAUAGACUAUGGGUCUGUUUGGAUUGAGUUAUUUGAGCUUGCACUUUGUGAGACUGUUUGAGAGAGCUUAUGAAUACAACCUAUGAAAUGUUAAUAAGCUGUUUUCAGCUUAUUUCCAUAAGCUCUCCAGAAUAACUUAUGAAAACAACUUAUAGCUUAUAUGAAAACUUUUUGAUUUGAUUUUAUCUUUUAUUAUAGAAAUAACUUUUGCAUAGCACUUAAAUGAUAAACACAUCUAUAAGUGCUUGAUGAAGUUGUUUAUCCAAACAUGCUUAUAAAUAUUGUAUGUUUGAUUUCUUGUUUUGUCUACUGCUCCUUCAUUUGAUCCUCCUCUGUUCUACCAGGGAAAGAUCUUGAUGCUGUUCUUAAAGAAACACCUAUAUUGCCUGAGAAGGAGGCUAGAGUCAUUUUAGUUCAGAUUUUCCAAGGCCUUAUUUACAUGAAUAGAAGAGCACUGAAGAUUAUCCAUUAUGAUUUAAAGCCUGGAAAUGUUUUGUUUGAUGAGCUUGGUAUUGCCAAAGUGACUGAUUUUGGUCUUAGCAAGAUUGUGGAGAAUGACGUGGGAUCCCAGGGUAUGGAACUUACAUCCCAGGGGGCUGGAACGUAUUGGUAAGUGAUGAAGAUCAUUGUUGUAGGAUUUCUAAUUUUGAAGUGUUCCAAACUUGUUGGUUUUAAACUUCUUUAACAUUUGCUUUAAUAAACUUCUUUUUGCCUUUCUUUCAUUUUUGAUUUGCAGGUAUUUGCCUCCUGAAUGCUUUGAGCUCAGCAAGACGCCUCUUAUAUCAUCCAAGGUCAUUAAUUAUUUUUUAGUCGUGGAUGCAUGGAUCAUUUUUUUGUGUUAUGAUUUAUGAAUCUCAAUUUGUCAGUCAUUUUGGUCAAUGGAUAUUUCGUUUUAACAUAAGUUUCGUGAUGUCGGUAUUGUGCAAACAACUAAGUGUUGGAUAAUUAUCUUACUUGAUAUUCACAUAAUAUUUCUGACUUGUGGAAAACAGGUUGAUGUCUGGUCUGCUGGUAUUUUGUUUUAUCAAAUGCUAUUCAGCAGACGUCCUUUCGGACAUGACCAAAUACAAGAAAGAAUACUUCGUGAAGAUACAAUUAUUAAAGCACGCAAGGUUGAAUUUCCCUCAAGACCUACUGUUUCUAAUGAGGCAAAGGUAGGUUGAGACCUUUUACGAUAAGUACUGCCCGUAGCUUAUUGUUCUUUGGCCAUCGUUCAUUUAUUUAUAUUAUUCUAUUAUUCUGUGGACACGAUCUUCACCUGUUUUAGGUUAUAUUAUUGCAUGAAAAUUCGACUUUAUUCUAUGUGCAGUCGCAAUUAGCCUUGACAAUUCAUCUGAAUGUGCAAAUUCUCUCCUUGGUAUCACAAUGCCAUUAAAAUGUUAAUAAUGGUUUGAUAGUUGAAAGUAAUUUGCAGCAAUGAGAAACUAUUGGUAGUGCAAGAUAUUUUUUCAUUUAAAAAUUUAUAUUUCUAAUUAUCAUCAGCACUCAGCAGAACCAUAAUAAUAUUUCUUAGGCAUUGUAUUAUUCUCUAAGUAACAAACUAUAAAGUAAUUAUAAUCUCAACUGUUGAAGAAGGAAACAAACUAUGAAGAAGUUAAAGUCUCACUGUUGAUUUCCAAUCAAGAAAUAUAAUUUCGCACUGUUUUCUCUGAAUAAAACUCCUCACAGUUUAGAGGAACCAAAUCCAAAAUACCUGUACUUACUGCCUACAAAUAUCACUGAAACCUGACAAUUAUCUCUACUGCAUGUACAAAUUUGUCAGGAAUUUAUACGGCGGUGUCUGACAUAUAACCAGGCUGAGAGACCAGAUGUAUUGACCAUUGCUCAAGAUCCAUAUCUCACAUACGUGAAGAAGUAGUGAUGUUCAUUGACAUGGCUUUGUUACCCUUUCCCUACCAAAAAAGCAUAUGGGGAUCUCAUCUUCUAACUUCAGUCACUAAAUAUCUGUCAGAAUUUGUAUAGGCUAUUAAGGUUUUCUUGUCUCAAAUGAGUGAGGGAAAGGAUUUUUCCCAUUCUACAAGGAGUUCUUGUUUUCUUCAUGCAUUUAUCAUUUUGGUUCAAAAUACCGGAGUAGCAAAAAGCUAGUUGAGUUGACUUGACCUUGAAAGGGUCAUGAUGUAUAGGUAGGUAAGAAGUUUUUUUUUUUUUUUUUUUUAAUUAUUUUUUUAAUUAUUCUUCUUGCCACCAAAUUAUUGGAUUAUAAUGCAUAUUGAUCGGCUACAUUUUCUUUUCAUUUGUAAAGAGUUGUUUAAAGACAUUUUAUUGAAGAGUUUGCUUAUCUUACAAUUGUGUAAUAGAUGGUUCAGCCUAGUAUGUGUGAUGAUGUAUUUCAAUCAAACUGGCAAUGGUACAGCAAUGAAAAACAACUUGUUAUUUGUAACUUGGCCUCAGUUACAUAUGCUUGUUCAACUUUGGCGAGCCAACUUUUGAAACCUUGGGUUUUGUAAUUCCCUGAUGAGGGUUUGCAGUGCCUCAAUAAUAAUGAUGGCAAUUGGGGCCCCCCAACAUCAUUUCUGAAAGACGAACUCGCACAUGCACAAGUAGAAGGAAGGCAUUUGGCACACUACCAUUGUGGCCGCGUGGGUGUGGCGACCGCAAUCUGUGUUUUGCCACAAGGGCUUGGACGUUAUGAGCUCUAUUCUUUGCCUCCUUCUAUAGAUCAUCAUCACCAAGAGCAUGCUUCUUGAGUUCUCAAGAGUCUUAGAACUUUUAUCGACAGUUGCGCAACCAAAUUAUUGUAAUUGCUUGAGCUUGCCUCACAAUCUCUACAUUUAGAACUUCAAAUCUCUACAUUUUAUAUAUUUCCUCAUUGCCAUAGUCCAUAAGCCUUUUACUCUUCUAGUGAUACUUCUGUACACUUCAAUUUGAUCUCCUAAACUUAGCGUUGGGAUUAUCAAACUCCCCACCAAUCAAUAUUUUCAUUGUCAGAUUCGUAAAUAUCUUGUCUUGAUAGCAAAAAAAGAACAGAUCUGAAUUCUCAAUGGUUCAUGCAUCUGCCUUCACACAUUUAUUAUACUAACAUCUCCAAAUUUCUUCCACCAGUUUAGAUUUAAAUAAAUGACCAUCUCGACGACAAAACUUGUGCUGUAAUAGAUCAAUAGCUUAAUAAAAAACAACAACGAUCCUUUUCAGUCUAGUGCACUGAUAGAAUAUUAGAUAUUGGUGAUUAAUAUUACAAAUAUUGCUUCAAUUGUUAAAAUUUGUAAGCCUUCUUACAUGACAUGUCAGCUAAUCAAUUAAGCUAUUCAACUUACGGAUCUCCAAGUUGACAACAAUGCUCAAAAGUAAUAAAAGAAAAAACAUUCAAUAACAAAAAAGGUGUCCGGUAGUGAGGGUCACAUGACCACGUGUCACAUUUAUAUGUGGUGGUAGAAAAGGUAUGUGACACUUGUGGUGGUCAACUUAUCACCACUCAAUGAUUUGCAUUAAUGUUUUAGAUAAAAAUGUCUCUCUCACGUAGUUGCACUUCACUAAAUAGAGUGCCCCAGACUCCCAUUGUGACCCCACAAGAAAAUAGCUAAAUAGCUUUGGUUAACCCUUAUUAUUUUUUUUAAACAAGUCUAUCAUCUACAAUAUUUUUUUGUUAAGCAAAACAUUUUAUUUACUAGCUAUCGAAGUAUGAAAAUGAACUUGUACUUGCAACAAUGCCUAAAGCCUUGAAUUUACCUUCGUUGUUUGUUGGACAAUGGACAUAUCAUAGUGAUUUGAGUUGAUGUGCGUUUUGUUUGUCAUUUAUGCCGACUAUUUGAUGAAAGGAUUAGGAAGUACAAUAUUCAGCAUCAUCAUUUUCGAAGGCAUGCUGGGAGUUUGGUAGUGAACGACAUUAUACGAGGGGUGGCACCGCUUAGUGCCGAAUCGCUAGUUUGGUUUAUAAUUCAAGAGAAGUUGACCACAAGGAAUAGAUUCAAGAGAUUAAAUAUUAUACUUGAACCAUAUUUGCACAUCACAGCUUAAAGCAACAAUACGUUUUACUCAUAUUUUCAUAUGAAUGUGUAUGUAUUUACGCAUGUUUUAAUGAAUAUUGUUCAAUUAUUCAUUCAUUGCCGCAGUACCCUAAUCGAGUCGAUGACACACUUGAACAGGCAUAAAGGAGCGAUAAUUACAUAGAAAUAAUAUUUGGAUGCUGUGACACCAUUCAAUUCCAUUUUAUAAGAGAAGUUGAACACUGAAAUAGAUUAAAUAUUACACAAUGAGGAUAUUGUUUCAAAUAUACAUUAUUCAAAAGGUAAAAAACAUCACCAUCCUUCAAUUGAAGCACCAACAUCUAUAUCCAUCAUAGAAAUUAAAAACAACAUAUUUUGAUAUGUGUGAACUACCUAACAACCAAAAGACAUUGAGAUAAAAAAAAGUUUAGAAGUUGAAGCAAUUAAGUCUUAUCAUUUAUUCAACAAUAAAAUCUUGAAAGUAACAAAAAAGCAAUUAAUCACUUUAAUUUCUUAUUUGUUCAACAACUUACAAUAACACAUUGGUGUAUAUAUAUAUAUAUAUAUAUAAUACAACAUCCCUUAAACUGGGAAGUUCUGAUUAAUUACAAACAGCUGUAACUACAUAUUUGAAAAUACAAACAUCAAAUUAAUUCAUUCUUCUGCGAUUUGCACAGUAUCUGUUGUUUGUUCUUUUCAGUCUUAUGUUAAACAUGUUUUCAACAAUUCUAACAAGCCAUUGAGGUUUACCAGUGAAGAAGAAUACAUUAUAUCCCAAGAGGAACCCGGAUAUUGCCCCACAUCCAUAUCCAAUUGCCACAGCUUUCCAGCCAAAUCCGGAUUCUUCUUCAUCUUCAGAUGUUGAAUGAGGUGGCAGAUCUUCCUCAUUUUUGCAUGAUUUAGACAAUUGGAAUCCACACAACAUUGUAUUUCCUUCAAAAGAAUCAUUUCCAAAUGUAUUAAACUGUUGACCUUUAGGUAUGAUUCCCUCAAGGUGGUUUUGUGAAAGGUUUAAGACUGAGAGGAAGUUCAAAUUUGUCAAAGCCACAGGAAUCUCACCCUUCAAUUGGUUGCAUGAGAGGUCCAACCACUCCAAAUUUCUCAAAUGACUCAAAGAUUGUGGAAUGCUACCUGUGAUUCCAUUGUUUGAAAGGUUAAGUCCUUUGAGAGAAUUUAAUUCUCCAAUGACUUGUGGAAUUUCACCUUCAAACAUGUUAUUUGAUAAAUCAAUAGUUGUGAAAGCAGUCAAUAUCCUUGUUAGCUCAAUGAAAAAACCUUUCACUGUGACCACAACAGAAUCAUUAUAGUAAUAACCCACACCCUUGUAUUGCAAACCAAUUUGGCUGUCAUUCACAUUCAUCAUUCCUUGAAAGUUCUUGAUGCAUGAUGUUGGCAAGGGCCCACUAAAAUUGUUGAUAGAAACAUCAAAAAUUCUCAACUUAGGAAAUGAAUGCUUGGUGCUAGAACAAGUGAUUGCACCAUGAAGAUUAUUUGAUCGUAAGCUUAGAACUUGUAACUCUUGUAGAGUUUCUAGCCAAUUUGGAAAUGUGUCCUCUAUGUUGUUGUCACCAAGGUCCAAAACUUCAAGAAAUGAACAGUGAGACAAAGACUGUGGUAAUGGUCCUUCCAAUUGGUUUCCAUUCAACUUUAUAGUCUGAAAUGCAUUUUCUUUGGAAAAGGUUCUAGGAAUGUUUCCAUAGAGGUUGUUCAUUUGCAUAUCCAAUACAUUAAGAGAAGUUAAUGUUCCCAGGCAUUGUGGAAUCAUACCUGUUAAAUUGUUGUGAGCCAAAUUGAGAACAUUCAGGUAACUUGCAUUGCAGAAUGUUGAAGAUAUAUCUCCUGUGAAAUUGUUGUUUGAGAGUAAAUAGUUUUUAAUGCCAUCAGGUGGAAUUGGAAGAUCUCCUUGAAAGUUGUUGUGAGCCAAAUUGAGGGUAUAAAGGGAACUUGCAUUGCAGAAUGUUGAAGAAAUAUUUCCUGUGAAGUUGUUAUUUGAGAGUGAAAAGUAUUGAAUGCCAGAAGGUGGAAUUGGAAGAUCUCCUUGUAACUUGUUGAAACUCAAGUCAAUGUACGAAAUCUCAUUCCAUGAGUUUAAGAGCUUCUUAUGAAACCAUUUGGGAAUUUUCCCAUGAAUGUUGUUAUUGGAGAGAUCUAAUCUUUGAAGAUUUCGUGUUUGGAAUUUAGGAAAACUAUUAAUAUUAGAAUAAGAUAAAACUAAGUCAACAAGGUUGGGUAAGAUGGAGUCAGCACUGCUAUCAAAGUUGAUAGAAAGAAAACUAUUGUGUGAAAGAUGGAGAUAUUCUAGUUUGUUUAAUUUUGAAAAUUGGUGAAAAUCGACAACACCACUCAAGUUGGUUGAUGACAAAGUUAAGUAAGAUAGAUUUUGGAGUUGAAAUAUUGAAUUUGGAAAAUGACCAUGUAGGCUGUUAUUAGAGAGAAACAAAUAUUGCAAAGAAUAUGUUGAAAACUCACCAAUGAACCCUGUAAGAUUGUUGUUGCUGAGGUACAAUUCUAACAACGAAGGCAAAGAAUAACACCAAUGUGGAAUUGUUCCAUUUAACAUGUUAUCCCUCAAACCCACAUAGCUCAAUUUUGAACGUUUUGUGAUUUCAAUUGGAAUUGGCCCAACUAGUUUGUUAUAUGAUAAACCUAAAAUAGAAAGGUGAGGUAGAUGAAAAAGUGAUGAUGGAACUUGGCCUGUUAGGUUGUUAAAGGAAAGUGCUAAAUAUUCCAAUUUGAUUAAAUUUCCAUAAACAAUUGGGAUGCUACCGCUAAAGUUAUUAUCUGUAAGAUCAUAAUGAAUGAGGUGUUUGAGGUUUGAAAGUAAUGGUGAGAUCUCACCGUCAAGCUUAUUAUAUGAAAGACUCAAAUAUGUUAGUUGGGUGAGGUUCCACAAAGAUAGAGGAACCAUCCCAUCUAAAUGGCACCAUGAAAAAUCUAAUCGAGUAAGAUACUUCAAUUGACCUAUGGAAUAAGGAAUUUCACCUGAAAAAGCAGAUAAACGGAGGUUCAAGUACCUUAGAGGAGUGCUCAAGUUGGACUUUGGAAGUUGACCACUAAGGUUAUCAUUAAAUGACAAAUCCAAUCUUUGAAGAUUAGGUAAAGAGAGGAUGUCACUUGACAAAUUUCCUUGCAACCCAGUGUUUCGUAGAAGAAGAGAAACCAAAGAGGAUGAAAAAUUCUUUAGCAUGGACAAAGAGCUCUCCGUAAUGGAAGACAUAUCCACACUAUUCAAAUGAAGCUCCCUUAAAUUAGUAGCAUUAUGAAUGAGUUUCUUCCAAAUGAAUGACUUGAGUUUCAAUCCCACUUCUUCGGACCAGUAACUGCUAAGAUCAAGUGAUACUAAUUUUGACAAAUGAGAGAUUGUGGAAGGAAUAUUACCACUGAGGUAACAAUAUGAUAGAUUUAGAUGUGUGAGUUUCACUAAAUCUCCAACACCAAUAGGCAUUGAAGACUCAGAAAAAUUAUUAAAAGCCAAGUUGAGUUGUUGAAGGUGUUUAAGCUGAAAGAUGGUGCUAUUGGGAUGUAAUUCACCUUUAAGAUUGUUGCAACUGAGGUCCAGACCAAUCACGUGAUCUGACAUGGUGUCGCACGUGACACCAUCCCACUCACAACAAUCUGUACUGUUUUCCCAAGAUUCUGUCUUGAAAGAAAAAGAGGAACAACCAAAGUACGGAUUGGGUUGAGAUGAAGUGUUGACAGAAAAAGAGUUUUUGAAUUGUAACAAGGCAGAGUUGUCAUGUUUGUUGCACAAUGAGAAAGUGUAGGAAGUAAAAUGAGUAAGCAGCAACAACAACAAGAAAAAGUGAAAGGUAAAAUAAGGCAAUGGAAUAAAAAAGGAUCCCAUUUAGAGAAACAUAAUUACACUUAAUACUCUCUUAUCAGUAUUCUUUCCUUUUUCCUUUAUGAUAUGAUUUUGGAUGUACCAAUUGAUUUCCCUCUAUUUAGUUAUUUAUAUUCAAAGAAACUAAAGCAUUGAUAUAAGAUGGGUUUGUUUUGUAGUAAGUGCUGGUGCUUAUCUUCAACCGUAUGAGGCACUCCAGUUUGAAGAUUGAUUUUUUGUGGUUGCAAUUUUAGUGAGGGAGUAUUUUGAGUCAAUUAUACUAAUUGACGAUAUCAUUCAUUUAUUAGUAUCUUAAAAAAACAUUAAUUAAUUCAUUAGUAUCCAUACAAACAUUUGGUGUAUAAUUAAGUGGUGCAUAAUUAAGAUAUGUAGGGUCAACCAAACAUUUAUGAAUUUAUUUUUGAGUAAAGUAAUAUAAAAUUACUUUAACAAAUUAAUUCUAAAGUUGAAGGAAGAGUUACCUUUAAUUUAAAAGAAAUUAAGAAAAUAAAUUGAGCCAAUGAAUGAAAGGUAUUUUGCGUAGAAAACCGAGUAAACAUUUUAGAAAUUGAGUCUUGCGGUGCUCUUGUUUGGUAGUAGCUAGGCGAUGUCUUCUUCAACCGUAUGGAGCACUCCAGUGGAAAUAUUUUUUGUGGUUGAAAUUUUAAUGAUACGAUAAUUAAUUCAUUAGCAUCCACAGAAAUAUUACAAGACUUGACUUUAGCCAAAUGAGACAAUUCCAUGAAGAAAAAUGAUAUUGGAACAGAUUUUUUUUUUUUAUAGAAAGAUAUUGGAACACAUAUGUGACAUCAAACAAGAGACGUCUACACAUGUUCUUUUUUAAUAUUUAAAAAAAACUUUUUUAAAAUGGUGGAGAAUUAUUGUAACACAAAAAUUAAGUUGUGAUAUUAACUUUUUUCACGCGCAUGGCUAGUAGACAUGUCAUAUAUGGAACUAUGAUGAUCUUGAGAUUUUUGAGUAAAUGACGUGCACCCACGCCAAAGGUUGACAGACAAGUCUGUUGUACCAUAAACUCGACCACGGUUACGACCCCUGCAGAUUCGGUCCACAACCCAAGUUUUGUUCCUCCAUCAACCUCUUGCACACCAUCUCGAGUUGUUUCAUCAAUCUGGGCUUGUACUGUACUCAAAAGGAACGAACUAUGAAGUAGUUAAAUUAUAGUCUUAACCAUUGAUUUCAAUUCAAUAGUUAUAAAUAUUGUUUCUUAAUUUUUGCUCUGUUUCUAUUGUAAAUAUUGUUUGGACUUUGCUGGUUCUUUCUUAGUACAUUUUGUGUUAGAAAUGACUCAUUGAUUUCGUAAUAUAUUUCAUUUUAGCUUCUUUAAAAAAAAAAUUUAAUAGUUAUAAUUUUGCAUCAUAUUCUGGAGUAUCUCACUUUCUCUAAGGAAUAGUGAUCUCAUCUGCUAAUUUCACUCACUAAAUAUCUGUCAGAAUUUGUAUAGACCGUAAAGAUUUUGAACUCUUGAUUGAAGGGUGUUUCCUCACUAUGAAAGGAAGUCAUGCUGUCUUAUUGCAUUUAUCAUCUGGUUCAAAAAAUAUUGGAUUAGCAAAAGGCAAGUAAGUUUGACUCGACCUUAAAAGGUCAAUAGGUAUAGGUAGGGGAGAAGAUUCUCUUGAUUUUUAAUAUUCUUGCCACCAAAUUAUAGGAUUUUAAUGCAUAUUAAUGGCUACUUUUUCUUUUAAUUUGUGGGGAGAAUUAUUUUUAAGACAUUUGAUUGAACAGUUUAUGUUAUAUUGGUUAAAUAGGUGGUACAAAAGGACUAGUUUUCAACCAUCGAUAUCACAUGUGGUGUUACAUUGGCAAUUUGAUUUCCUAGCCUCAGUGAUGGAAUUAUCAGUCUCCCCACCAACUAAUCUAUUCAUUGCCAUAUUCGUAAGGAUGUGGCAUUCUUUAUCGAUCGAUGUACACCAAGUAUCUGCAACAAGCAAGUAAAGACGAAUAAUUAUUCAAAUGUUUUAUUUCUUUUAAAAUGGAGUGGGAAGGGAUUUAUAUAAACAAACCAACAAAAUAGAGUGUUGAUUUUGAGUAGAUAGGAUAUCUUGGUUGUACAAUAACUUGUUAUAUAACUAGUUAUUUUGGGAAUGUAGUUAAACUUAUUAUUUUCAUAUAGUACUAAGUUGUUUUCAUUAGCCGUCAUUUGAAGCUUGUAGAAAUAAGCUAUAAAUAGCUUAUGGACAUCAUGCCAUGUUAUAAGUCCUCCUUAAUACUUAAAUGAUCACUUAUGUCAUAAGGUAAACCUAAAUAAACUGUAAACUAUAUAUCAUUUUCACAGUGUAGUUCCUAGUUUCAUCACAGUGAAAUAAACUGUAACUAAGCGAGCCGGAAGCGAGCUGUUAGCGAACAGCUACUGUAAGUAGUUCGCUUAAGCGAAGACUCGUUCGCAUAAGCGAAGUGCCUUUUUACAGCAUUUCUUAUUUCACGUUCUUGUGUCUUUAUCAGACGUUUCUGUUUUGAAUUGGCCUUUGGUGUAAACAUGAAAGUUGUAAAUAAUUUUGUUAGAUUUCCAAUGGCUUUGGUUUGACUCUAAAAUGAUUUUUGGUUUAGGAGUUAUGAUGAAAAUACUCCAAGUAGGUCUUAGGGAAAUUUUAUGAAAAUUCAGCAAAACAUUUUCCAAGUUAAUCCAAAACUUGUGGGACAAUUCCAAGGCUCAAAACUAGAAUUAAUAUGAGUGCAAUUAAGGUUUUUAAGAGUAUUUAACCCAUGUUGUGAGUUGACCCUUGGGGUAGGAAUGGAGGUUGAUUAUAGUACUGUUGAUGUUGAGUGAGUCAGAUAUAAUAUGAUUUGAUGUUGUUAGUAAUGAGAUAUAUUUGUAUAUGCAUUAUGUGGAUUAUAUAAGAUGUUUAAGUUGAUAUUGAUUAUCAUUUGAUAUUGUUAUAUCUUGAGAUGUUUAUGUGCUGCCUAUGUUGCCGUUGUUGAGUUUAGUGAAUCUGGAGAUGAUUAAUUGUGUAUUUUCUGGAAUCGUUGGAUCAAUUAUGAUGGAUUAUUGUUGACUGUGAUGUAUAUUUAUAUUUAAAUAAAUUAUACAUGUUGCUGAAUUCUUUUCAAAGGUUGAAGUAUUAUUAAUUGGAUUGUCGAGGUGAAGUCAUAUUUACAUAUAUGCAUUGAUGAGUAGUGGUUGUCGUUGAUGUUGUUGAGUUGUAUGUAGAUAUACACAAGUGGAGUCAGUUGCAUUAAAGGGUGGUGAGUCAUAUAAGUACAUAUGCAUUUGUCGUUGAGUUGUAUGUAGAUAUACACAAGUGGAGUCAGUUGCAUAAGCAUAAAAAUGAUGUUAUGAUGAGGACUUCGGUCCUGGAACGCUUUGUCGUUCAAAAUGAUGGAACACUAUGUUGUUCAAAACGAUGUUAUGAUGAGGACUCAUGUCCUGAUAAAAGAAUGCUUUAAUCAUUCUAUAAAGAUGAGGGCUUCGACUCUGUUAUGGUACCACAUGCAUAGUUGCAUUUGUUGAGAAGUCUUAGUGGAGUUGUCAUGUCUUGCAUGAGUCUUAGCGGUGGUGUCGAGUUGUUGCAUGAGUCGUUGUUGUUGGUUUUAAUUACCAUUUGUUGUUGAUGUUGUUAAUGAUGAUAUACUUCUAUAUUGAUGAAUUAUUAUUAUGACAGGGUGUUAGAUUUAAUUGAUGAAUUAGAUAUCUAUUAUUGAUGAUAUUGUUGACUAUGAAAUAUAUACAUAUAUUGGAUAAUUGUAGUUGCCAUUGUUUUUGAGAGAUUUGUUGUUGUUGUUGUUGAUUAAGUUGUUGUCAUCGUUGAUGGUUGAAUUAGCAAGUGUUACUAAAGUUAAAGAAGUAAGAACAUUAUUGUUGAAUAUAUGUAGUUGUUUAUAUUGUUAUGAUGUGAUGAUUAUGUUGUGUCGUUUAUAUUAUUAUGAGAAGAUGUUUAUGAUAUUGAUUACGAUGUUAUGAAGACUGUUUAUGGUGUUGAAUAUGAGGUUGUUAUGAUGUUACAUGAUGAUGAUUAUGAAUGUUGUGAUGAUGAUUAUGUGAUGUUAUCUAUGAGUUGUUAAAUGUACUUGAUGAUGGUUAUGUUAAGUUGAUAAGUUGUCUUUUAUUCAUGAAUUGCUAAUGGAAUGUUUGAUGAAUAAUUAUUAUUAUGAAAUGAUGAUGUUACGUAUAGUUGCUAAGUUGCCCCUAUUCAUGAGUUGUUAAUAAAGUGCUUGGUGGAUAAUGUUAAUACGAAUUAAUGAUGUUGUUAUGUGUAUAUGAAAUAUGAAUAUGAUGUUGUUACGUUGUUUAUGUCAUUGAUUAUGAAGUUGUCAUGUUGUAUACGAAUUAUGAGUAUGAUGUUAUAUGAUUAUAAUUACAGGAAUGAUAAAUGGACACAAAAAUACAUACACAAAUACGACAGCAAGGGUAGUUUCGUAAUUUCCCCCUCAUUAAAACCUAGAUCUGUAGCUUCUCUCCUCUCUCAGAAAAUUGCGCACUCUCCCCAUCACCACACCUUCCAGAUCCUUUCUCCCCCAUGACUUUGUCCUUUAUCACCACCACCAUCGUUUCUUUGCCUCUCGCCACUAUCAACCACCAACCACCGCCGCGCUGCCCCUCUUCUUUCCCCGACGUUGAGGUACGUCGCCGGCAAUCAUCAUGGAGAUCCGUUCGUCCUCACUCUCUAUCUAAAAUCUGGUAGUAUUCACCGGCGUUGGUAACAGAGACGUCGUCGUUGGUCAUCAUGGAGUCUGUGUGCAUUGUAUUAUGUUGAUGUUAAUCUGUUUUGAGUUCAAUAUGGUGUUGUGUUGGAGUUCAAUCUUUUCACUCUCAUUGAUGUGUUGUGCUACUGAUUUUGUUUUCUCUGAAUUUUGAUGGCUACGGGUAAAAAGGUAAAACAUUUAAUUUGUCUUUGAAAUUAUAUUUCUUUUGUUGUUCAACAUGUUUGUAAGUUUGCUUAAGUUUUCUUUUGCUUCAUGUUAUCUGGUGUGAAGCUAUGGACAUUGUAUUGAUUUAUUUCAUUAUUGUGUUUGCCUUUUGCAGUGAAAAAAUGUCUACAUGCUCUUCCAAUUUCAAAUGAGCACAAUUGAAAAGAUAGGAUGGGUCACUAUUUUGUUCUAGUUUUGCUGUUAGUGUUGUGUAUUGCUGUUUCGGUAGGAUUGUUUUCAGCUUUUGGGGGCUGCAUUCACUGUUGCUAUAUCUGUGAUUUUGCAGUGGUGGUUUUGUGCUCAGUUUUUUGCCUGGCACUGUGAGAGUUGGCCGCCGCAAUGCUGAGCUGUCGUGGCUUCGCUUUCUUGCUGCCGUGGCUUCGUUUUGCUGUGAAGUGUGUGUUUGCUCAGUUUUCUCAUGCCCUGUUAAUAAACUUGUCUAUAUCAAAGAAUAAAAAGGUCAAGUUAUAGAUUUUCUACCAAUUGCGUCUUCUUUAUAUGAAUUAUCCGAAACAGCACCAACUCGACAAGGUUGUAUAUGUUCAGAUAUAAUGAAGGAGAUGAGUAAUUAGAAAAUUGAGAAGCUGAAGGUCAAGUUAUCUGAUGAGAAGAAAAGAAUUGGGCAAUCAUUAUUUUUUGUUGUCAUGGAGAUUUUUGUUACUCGCGUACUUAGGUUUUAGUGGAAAAUUGAUGUUCUCAAGUGUAUUUGAUGUAUUUGUUACAAUUUUUUUUUAAGGGUUAAUUUGUUACACUUGUUGACCUAUUUUGUGGUUGUUUAGAACAAUUAUGCAAAAUUGAAGUUUAUUAAGUGGCUAUUUUAUGACUGAUUCAAAUCCAGUCAUCUAGUAUCUUGAUGAUAAAUUUUGUGAUCAAUUUUAAAGUUUUGACAGGAACUUAUAAAAUAGCAUUGCUACCUUAAAUUGAUCACUAAUUUGUCAAUUACAACCAUACCAUUUACAACUUCCAAAACCAUACCAUUUACAUGGUUGAUUAAGUACAUCACAAAAUAGAACUUAAAUUACAUAAGUUAACUAGCAUUGUACCUAAUGUUAACUUUACAAACAUGUUUUUAAAAAAAAAAAUACGAAUUCAUAGUCAUGUGUUGACCUUUGUCACCAUGAUUUGGCCACCAAAAAACACAAUAUCAUAGUUAUAAAAGUCUGGUUAUAUACACAAAAGGGUCACUUCAUAUACUUAGCAAUGAGUGCAUUAGCUUUUGUCCAAAAAAUAUUAGAGCUGUCCAUGCUAGUUAACUAUCAUUGUACUUGCAUCCAGCACAUUUCCACCACUAACAACAUCAAGAGAUGAUUUAAUGCAGAUGUUGCUGUCAAACUGAUUUGUCACUCUUUCAGUAUUGAUAUCCUACAAAUUUGGACAAACAAAAAAUUAAGAUGCAAUCCAUAUAUACAUGGUGAUUACAAAACUUCUAAAUAAAAUAAAACAUACAUUAGUCCCUCUAUCAUCACUCUGUUUGUGUCGAUUACUUGGCCUCUUAGCAAAUUUUUCAUGUAUAGAUAUUUUUCUUUUUGAUGGAGGGCGACCUUUACGUUUUACCCGCAAUGGACUGUGAAUUUUUGUACCAUUGUUUGGAUUUGAGUCACCAUUGAAACUUCCUUUAAUAUUUUCAGCUGUAGCAUUCCUGGUGGGUAAAUCAGAAGCAAACUGAUGUAGUAUUUCAUGGAGGUCUACAGAUGUGUCUUCAAACUCAGCCGCUAUUUCAGCAACCUCGUAGAAGUGCUUGCAUAACUUGUCAAACCUGUCCAUUUGUGGCUUCAGUUGUGUCACACAAUAACUGCUCUUAAUAUAUGUAUGCUUCCUUUUAAUAUUUUUGUUCCAUUUAGUUAAAACAUACUUCUCUGGUACAUUUUUUACUCUCUCUUGAGCACACACACAUAACACAUGACGGCACAAAAUACCUCUAAAUUCAAACAAUGAGCAUUCACAACUUACAUCAUGGUUUUCUCGAUUAAACACAACUUUAAAUACAUGUUCUUUUGUUCUAUCUCCAACUAACACGUCCUCCAACACAUGAUAUGUGGCAAAGCAGUCCUCCACAGUGUUCAAUGAGGAAGCACAAUUCAUUUUAGAUCUAAAUUCAACUUGAAGCUCCUUAAAUUUAGCAUGAGUGUACUGACCUUGGAAUUGCUUUUCAAUUGAUGAGUUUGAACCGCAAGAAAUUGUGGUAUUCAUCGAAGUAAAAUCUGCUUCAAAUUCCUUUUCUGCUCGACUUCGGAGAGCAUUAUCAUAUUGUUUUACAAAUUGAUUCAGACUUGUCGUUGAAUUGAUAUAACCAUCAAAGAAAGCAUGUAUACUCUCACUUCGCUGAGUUGUUGACAUACCAGCCCAAAAAUAUUUUCUUAACAAGGUUGGUACCCAUCUAUGACGCUCGUUAUACAACCCCCUCAACCAAUGAUUCUCUUGAAGCUCAAAUUUUUCGAUGAAGGAACACCAUUUCUCUUCAAAAUCAUCUGUUGUAAACGUAUCAUAAACAGCUUCUUUCAUUGCAAACUUAAUCCUUUUAUAAUCACCAUAUCCGCUUAGUUUUUCAGCAAUUUUUUUCAUUAUAUGCCAUAAACACCACCUGUGACGAGUUGUAGGGAAAACUGCCUCAAUUGCAUUUUGCAUUGCCUUACAUUGGUCGGUCACAAUACCAAUAGGAGGCUUUCCUAGCAUACAACGAAGCCAUGAAUUAAAAAGCCAUUCAAAUGAUUCUGUGUCUUCUCCUGAUAGCAACCCACAUCCAAGUAAUGUUGAUUGACCAUGGUGAUUCACACCAACAAAAACAGCAAAAGGCAUAUCAUAUCUAUUUGUCAGAUAUGUUGUAUCGAAAGUUACUACAUCUCCAAAAUACUCAUAAGCAGCCCUACUUCUUGCAUCAGCCCAAAACACAUUUUUUACAUGAAAAUCAUCAUCCAAAUCUAUUUCAUAGAAGAAAUUAGGAUUUUGUUCCCUCAUUUGACAAAAAUAGCUUAUCAAGGCCUUGCCAUCACCUUCUUUUCCAAUUGCACGUCGUUCCUUGUUAACAUAGUUCCUUACAUCUCUUUCAUUAAAUGGAAUAUUUUCAUACCCUCCUGCAUCUUUAACCAGAGAUUGAAAAGUCUUGUUGACCCUCACACCUGCAUCAUCAUUGAUUUCAAUUGUCCUCCUUACAUGCAAGUCCAUUUUCUUGUUGGCCUUGAACAACCUUGCCUUUCUAGGGCUGGUAUGAUGAGAAUGAUCAGGUUCAAAUUUCUGAAUGUACCACAAUCCAUCUUCUUUCAAUUUGAUACAAAUUUUAGCAGGACAAUUUUUUCCCAUUGUCGGACGUGUCUUCAAUGUACACAGACUUUUUGUCACUUGAGACCUUUCUCUUGUGCAUGCAAGAAUUAAGUAGCAGACCUCCCCAUCUCGUCCUUUUCUCGAUGUUCUAAUCUUCCAUUCAAAACCCUUUCUAAAAGCAUACUCUUUAUAAAAUGAUUUAACUUCAUCUAAGCUAGAAAAACACAUAUCUAUUUUAGGCUCCCAGCAUGCAUCAUCAUCUUCUUCUUCAACAUUAAAGUUGCCAACUUCUAUACCUUCAUCAUCAAUACUACCACAAUCCACAAGAACAUUUGAACUAUCCAUAAAUUUUCAAUUGUGGGUGAAAUUGGCACACCAAAACUGCACAAAAUUACUUAAUUAGAUCAAUAAUAAGUUAUAUUGCAAACAUAGUGAUUUACAAGCUUAUUGCAUCAAAUAUAAUGUAGCAAAAACAUCAGAAACAACGUAAGCAUCACAAACAAAAACAUUAAAUAUAAUUUAAGCAUGAACUUUGUUCAUAUAAACACAAACAGCAUACCAAAAAACAGGGGAGGCGCAAACAGCAGACCAGAAAUCACAAACAGGCCUCACAAACAGCACAGACCUCCCUUCCCAAGCCAGAUAGCAGAAAAGGCCCAGCCAUAAAAACACUCCCUGCACCCCCUAAGAUAGUAGCACUACUACAGAUAGCAAAAUAGUGAAAUAACUUGUUCUCUAAGACUCUGAAGUCCACACUUAUGAAAUCAAUGCAACAACUAUAUUCCUACCUUUCUCUUCAAGAUUAUGAAGUUCCCUCUCAUAUAUAAAUACUCAACUAUUCACAAUUUCAACAUAAAGAGGUUUCACUCUACUUUCUCAAAGUACAUAUCAUAUUCAUAUCUCUUAAAAAGAAGAAAAAAAAACUCAAUUCAUCACUGACACUAUUUCUUUUAAAUUAUAUGUUCAAGUGUGUUUACAUUCACUUUCAUACUCUACUGAAUGAGAUAACUUUUUCUUACAAUUCUUACUACUUUUCUAUUAAAACUACCAAUCUUCUUUGGAAUGCAAAGAAAGAUUAGGUGAGUGUGGGAAAAAACCAACAAAAACAUGUUGUGAACUCAGAGCACAACACAGACCCUCCCCCUUAAAACUACCUCACAUACUUUAUCAUUAGAAACAAACAUCAAAACACCUAACAAAAAAAUACAAGAGAAACAUUGUAACACAAUUGAUUAUGGGGUAUUAGAUUUAAGUAUUAGCUGUGUUGAAGUCUAUAAUCAUGCAAUUAAGUUGAGAAAAUUAAUAUUGAAUAUAUUCAGUAUAUAAAACCUUAAUCAAUUUCAUCAUUUAGUCAAUUCAAAAAUUUAGGGUUUUUAAUUUGAAAUUUGGGGAAAACGAAAAUAAUGAAGGAAUCAUCUCACCCCAUGAUAAAAAUGCAAGAAUGAAGUAAUGAAAUGAGAUAAUAAGUAAGAAUAAAACAAAAAUUAUUUGGGUUUAGGAAUUUUUUUCUUCUUCUUAUCUACUAAGAAUCAAACCAAAGUUUAGCACAACAAGGUAUAACAACAAUUACAAGCCACUGAAAUUCUAAAAACAAGAACAGAGAAAGGAAAAAACCUGGGUAUGAAAACAAGGAGAGGAAUAUGAAAUCGCAGCCGAGAUAGGUGGAGCGACCGAAAAUAGCAUGAGGGUGGCACUGUACAAAGAUGAAGAAGGAGUGACGAGAACCUAUGAGUGAAUGAAAGAUGAUUUUUUCUUGCUCAUAGGAAAUGAGUGAUUCAGAAAGAGGGAAGGAAAACGAAACAAGUGGGAAAAUGAAACGAGGGAAAGAUGGUGGUAAAUAGUAAGAAAGAAGGAAAGAAAGGAAAAAAGAAAAAAGAAAAAACAUAAGUAUUGAGUAACAGUGUAUGGUGUCAUAUUUGUGUUUGUAUUAUUGUGUUUACUUAUCAUUCCUGUUAUAAUUAAGAUGUUGAUUAUGAAGUUAAAUGAUGCUGUUAUGAUGAUUGUUUAUGGUAUCGAGUUAUGACUGUUUAUAUGAUGAGUACAUGAUAUGGUUUAGGAGUCGUUAAAAGAAUUAUUAUUACUAAUUGAUGGAGUUUAAGUUGUUAGAUGCAUUUGAUGAAUUAUAUAUUAUUAUUAUUGAUUGUGAAUCUCACCCCUUCUGCUUGAAAAUGUUGCUCUUCGUAUGAGUAACUUGCAGGUGAUCGAGAGUAGGUUGCUGUGUUUUCCUGUCGUGAGUGGCUAUCCCUCACUGAGUCGUUUAGGUGCUCUGAUACGUAAUGGGAUGAGAACUUUGUUGCAUGCUUUUCUAUUCCUUACGUAUUGUUUAUAAAUUUAAAUGAUUAAGUUGUUAAUUGGAUUUUUAUGAGAUGUUUUGAUGAGGCAUUCGUGCCAAGACUUUUUAUGUUAAUGAAUUUAAUCCGCUGCAAAGUUUGAGUUAAUAUGUUGAAGGAUAAAUUAGUUAAUUAACUUAUUUAUGAUUUUAAGAAGUGUAGCAUUCCGUUUACAUGUUGAAUACUCUGAUUAAUUAAAUGAAAUUUUUAAGUCGGGAAAACGGGGUGUUACAACAACUCCUCAUAAAAAUCAUAUAAACCACCUCAAUCAUAAAAAUCGCAUAAAUCACACAUAUAUUAUAUAAAUAUAAUAUAAACCCAUCUAAAAUAACUCUAGACUCAAUUAAAUAAAUAAUUAAUUCGAAACGGGCGUUACACUAAGUCACACUAUAACCAGCCCACAAAGGACUAUAAAUACCACUAUUGAGAUCAUUCUCAAGGCAUCACAUAAACAGGAAGGGAGAUGAGAGUUUACUUUUCGUUUUUAAAUUAAGGACUAUAUAAAUGUUUUUUUAAAAUAAAUUAUAUGUGAUUGAAGUAUUAUAUGAUCGUUUAUCAUGUUAAUAUGUUAACUUUUUAUAAAACAUUUCAUAGUAUCUGUAUUUUAAAAAUGAAAAGUAAACCAUCAUCUCCCUUUCCCUCGUAAACCCUCCAUCCAAACACACCCUAAGGAAACAACUACCCACGAAGGUAUUACCUGGGAACCAAAAUCCCUAGCCAAAUCCGUAGGAGACCCUUUUCUUGCGGAAUUUGUACCAAAAUUCGUAGAAAAAUCGAGAAUUUAUAGUAGUAUAAGUAUAUGUACAUGGAGUACAAUUUUAGACAUCCGCAACAUACUUUACACAUAAAUAUACACAUAAGUUCAUUGUCAAAGGUCACAGUAAAUAACAAGUUUCAUGUUGACAAAGGGACACCCAGGGGCGGAGCCACCCCCAGCUAGCCUGGGCACUAGUCCAGGCUCAACUCCAAUUUUCUUUGUAGCAAGUUCAGCCAUUACGAGAGAACUUUUAGUUUUUUCUGCGGAUUUACCUGCAAAUAUUUAUGUAAAUUCCGUAUGAAACACAUUUCCUGCAGAUUUUGUCUAGGAUUUCCUGCAGAUUCCGCAGGAAAUGUGAAAUUAUUUGCUGGAAGGAAGUAACAUUUUACGAUAAUUUUUUUGCACAAGCUCUAUAAAAUUUAUGUUUCCGCCACUGGGGACACCAAUAUAUCUAAUUGUUACGGUUAACGUUAAAAAAUGGGUUCUUUUUCAAAAAACAUUAAAAAAAUGGGUUAAAUAACGUUUUACUCCCGAUAUUUGAGCGAGUUUUGAAAAAAUCCUUGUAAAAUAAUUUUUUAUAGAUCCCCUUUGUAAUUUAAAAAUUCCAUCUAAAACAACUUUGAUCUCAUCUGACUAGGCAACUAAACUAAUGUGGCAUGCUGAUUGGACAAAUUAGUUUAUUUUUCAAUAUUUUAAAAUCCAUCUCACAUUUUUGAAAAAAAAAAUAAAAUGAAAAUUAGAUUAUCUUCUUAUAUAUUAAAGUUAACACAGACGCAUAUUUUAGCCCUAAUUUAAACCUAAAUAUAUUGCAUAAAUUUACUAUUUUAACCCUGAUGCUAAAUUCAUUUGUUUAACCUUAUUGAAUUUUUCCCCUUCUCAAUUUCUCGAUACAUCUUCUUAUAAGCAUAUUUUAGCCAUAAUUUUGCAGUGUUGAUAUAUGCAUACUGUUUCAGGAUUUUGGUGGCUGUAUUGUAUCUUCAGUGGGGAGUUUAUGUAUCAAUCAAGAGAGACAUGGCUUGCAGACUAUCCAUAUGACUGUUUUUCAGCUUGCCGAAUUCAUAUAGACUGUUGUUGUAUUUUGUGAGAGGUGCCUUAUAACUGUGCAACUCAUGCUUCUCUGUGGCAGAAGUUGCCUCUGUAUAGUUUGCUGAGUUUAAGUGAUCAAGUUUCUUUCAACUGAGGCAAAUAAUGUGUCUUGAUGAAUUUUUUAGUGGCUUUGGUGUUAUAACACUCUUUUUCCCACAUUGUAAUGGUGUAAGUCCGUGACCAACUUAUUGGUGUUGAAUACUUAUGUAAACUAUAGUUAUAGUUAUGCUGAAAUAUUCUAAUACAUUAAUUUUACUAACUAUAUAAAGAACAACCAUCAAUUCUCCUAAAAAAGUCACAUUAAUUGUUUUAAGCCAAGAGCACUCCCACGUGAUUUUUUACAGUGAAGUGAUGUCAUCUUGGAUUAGUGGCUUUCACACUCUUAUAUGGGUUCUAUUGUUGUGUGAUGAAUUAUUUAAUUUUUAACAGCAAGUGAAGUAUCAAUUUAUUUCCAAGUUUUCAAACACUACAGGUUUUGCAUAUUAUGUAUGUUCCUAAUCAAUUGGCACACUUUUAGUAAAAUUGAAAGAGAAUAAAGAGUAAAAUACAAUUGUAUUCCAUUGAAGUGUGUUUAUGUCACAUUACUAAUUCAAUCUUAAAAAUCAUAAAUCACUGAUAUUGAACAAUGCAUUAAUAAGCUUCCUAGACACACUUUUGCGACUUGCUAUUGAUUUUUAUUUUUUAUUUUUUUAUGAAACAACAAAAUAAGCUGUUGGAUGUAUAGACAAUGAACUGAACUGGAUCACAGAGGAAACAAUCAAACAUGUGGAGGACAAUAAUAUGAUUAAGUUGUGAUCAAGUUGUCUAAAAAAUAUCAAGUAGGAUCAAGUUCCUAUUACCCCAUCCAGCAAAAACUUUUAACUUAGACUAUUUUGUAAGAUAAAAUCUUAUAUUAGUGAAAAGUUGUGAUAAAUUUAUUUUGUUUCAUUCCAUUAUAUUUGAUUGUCUUAUUGCGAAUAUAAUAUAAAUGUCUUCUUCUAUAUCACACCCGUGCGAUAGCACGGGUGAAAAGUCUAGUCUUUAUAUAUAAAAGUAGUCCCGAAAGCAAACCCUAAACCUAAUUUUAACCUAGAUUUUCAUAUGUCUUUUGCGUUUUUAACCCUUUUGUUUUAAUUAAGAGAUAAAUUUUAAAAUUAGUUUUAAUUGUGAAUAACCACUGUCAGCUAUUAUUCCUCCUAUUCCUCCUUUAAAAAUAUUGAAUUAAACCUUAUCGUGAAAACCUAGACGGUGACGCAGUGAACGACAUCCACACGCCUGAAUUUCUCAACACCAUUGUUGCGUCCGGAUUGCCAAAUCAUAGGAUUCGAUUGAAAGUAGGAGUACCUGUGAUGUUAUUGAGGACCAUAGAUCAAAAUUUGGGCUUAUGUAACGGUACAAGAUUGAUUAUUACAAAGAUGGGUAAAUUUACGGCCAAGAUACUGAUGUGACAUCAAAUGUGGUCUACAGAGAAGUUUUCCGUAAUGUGUAACACUUUUUUUUUGUUACAAUGAUGUGUAGCACUUUGUUUUGUAGUAUUGUUGUUAUCAGUACUAUUUUUAUAUCGAUAAACUUUGGAUUUUCUUUUCUUCAAUAACAGGGUCGAUUUCAUGGAAUUUUUUUAAUAUAGUACAUUAAAAACGUUUAUGUCAAUUUAUUUUGAGUUGAAUUAUACUAUUUUUUCGAUUCAAGUAGAGUAUUUAUUCUUAUAUUUGCGCUAUUUUUUUUUUCUGUAUGACCCGUGCGUCAGCACGCGUCAAUGGUCUAGUAAAACAAAAGGAAGAAUCGCAAAACCUAAUGUGCUUUUUCAUAAACUAAGUCAAAACCUAAAGUACUUCUUCAGAAUAGCAAAACAUUUUUUUUUAUCCCCUUCUAAAACCUAAAUAAAUAACUAGAAGAAAAAAAAAAUAAAGGCUUAAUUGCACUUUUCCCCCUAUAGUUUGCCAAUUGUGUGAUUUUGCACCCCAUAGUUUUAAACGAGCGAUUUUGCCCCUUAUAGUUUUCCCUUUAUGGUCCCCAUAACAUUUAGUGUUGAUAUGUCUGUUUUUUAUCAAUUAAUGUGUGUCACGUGUGUAAUUCCAUUUUUUUUUUUUUAAAAAAAAAUGGUAUUUUUCUGAUUUUGAGAGAAGGAGGCACGUGAUAUUUCUUCUUAAAAUCUUAAAAAUCACGUGCUCCUUCUUUCAAAAUCUGAAAAAUACUAUUUUUUUUAGAAAUGGAAUUACACACGUGGCACACAUUAAUUGAUAAAAACCAACACUAAAUGUCAUGGGGACCAUAAAAUCAGAAAGGGGGAAACUAUAGGGGGCAAAAUCGCUCGUUUAAAACAAUGAGGUGCAAAAUCGCACAAUUAGCAAACUAUAGGGGGGAAAGUACAAUUAAGCCAAAAAUAAAAAAGAAUAGGAAAAUAGAAGAAGAACUGACGGAAGAAAAAGAAAGAUGCAAGAAGGAAGAAGAAGAAUCGACGGAAGAAAGAAAACGAGGGUUAGGCUUUACAUAAACUCCAUAUUUGCAUGAUGCCCUUCUUGUGGAACAUACUUUAUUGAAUGAUACCCUUCUUAAAACAGCGUUAUAUGCUUGCUGAGAGUACUAAAGAAUUAGUGGAAACAAGGAAGAGUAAGAAAGGAUUAUGUUGUACCAAAUCCUCACUAGUUAUUUUGAUGAACGUGUAAAUGAAAGGGGGAUCUAAAUUUUUUAUUUCACAGGGGUUUUCAGAAAGGGAGAAAACAUUAAUUAACCCCUUAUAUUCAAACCACUUCCAAUUGAUCCGGAUACAUUCUGCACUGUUCUAGAAUAUUGUAGUGGUAUAUACACCUCAUCUGUUUUAUGAAGAUACUUAUUUUGUUGCCUUUUCAGAUAAUUAUUUGAACUUAUCUACUGGCACAAGUACUUGUGAGAUUGUUUGAGAGAGCUUAUGAAAACAACUUGUGACAUGUUCAUAAGCUGUUUUCAGGUUAUUUCCAUAAGCUCUCCAAGAUAGCUUAUGAAAACAAUUUGAUUUGAUUUUCUUUUAUUAUAGAAAUAGCUUUUACAUAAGCACUUAUAUGACAACCAUUUAUGCUAUAAGUGCUUAAUUAAAUUGUUUACACAAACAGGGCUUAUAACUAUUGUAUGCUUGAUUUCUUGUUUGGUCAACCUAUCCUUCCUUUGAUCCUCCUCUGUUCUCUACCAGGAAAAGAUCUUGAUGCUGUUCUUAAAGCAACACCUAUAUUGCUCGAGAGGGAGGCUAGAGUCAUUUUAGUUCAGAUUUUCCAAGGCCUUAUUUACAUGAAUAAAGGAGCACUCAAGAUUAUCCAUUAUGAUUUGAAGCCUGGAAAUGUUUUGUUUGAUGAACUUGGUAUUGCCAAAGUGACUGAUUUUGGUCUUAGCAAGAUAGUAGAGAAUGAUGUGGGAUCCCAGGGUAUGGAACUUACAUCCCAGGGGGCUGGAACGUAUUGGUAAGUGAUGAAGAUCAUUGUUGUAGGAUUUCGAAUUUUGAAGUAUUCCAAAUUUGUUGGUUUUAACUUUUAAGCUUCUAUCUCUUCAUUGUACUUUAAUUUUGAUGCUCCUUUUAUGUUCCCAUGAUCUUUCAACAUUUUCUUUAAUAAAACCUCUUGUUGCCUUCUUUUCUUUUUUAAUUUGCAGGUAUUUGCCUCCGGAAUGCUUUGACCUCAGCAAGACACCUCUCAUAUCAUCCAAGGUAAUUUUUUUUUUCAAGUCGUGAAUACAUGGAUAGCUUUUUUGUGUCAAUUUUCAAUUUGUCAGUCAUUUUGGUCAAUGGAUAUUUCACUUGAACAUUAAUUUCAUGAUGUCUGUAUUAUGCAAACUACUAACUCUUGGACAGACAUCUUACACGAUAAUCUCUUUACAUUUCUAACUUGUGAAAACAGGUUGAUGUCUGGUCUGCUGGUAUUUUGUUUUAUCAAAUGCUCUUUGGUAGACGUCCUUUCGGACAUGACCAAUCACAAGAGAGAAUACUUGGUGAAAAAACGAUUAUCAAGGCACACAAGGUUGAAUUUCCCUCUAGACCUACUGUUUCUAAUGAGGCAAAGGUGAGUUGAGACCUUUUUUAAUAAUUACCGCCAAGUGGCUGAUUGUUCUUUGGCCAUCUUUUAUUAUUUCUUAGGCAAUUGUAUUCUCUAAGCAGCAAACUGAAAUGUAGUUAAGGUUUUAAUUGUCGAAGUGGGAAACAGACUAUGAAGGAGUUAAAUAAAGUCUCAACCGUUGAUUUCCGAUCAAUAACUAUAAUUCUGCGUUGUAUUUUCUGAAGAACACUCCUCACACUAUAAUUCUGCGUUGUAUUUUCUGAAGAGCACUCCUCACUUUAGAGGAGCCCAAUAAAAAAUAGCAGUACUUACCGUCUACAGUUCUUACUUUGAAACCUGACAAUUAUCUCUACUGUGUGUACAAUUUUGCCAGGAUUUUAUUCCGCGGUGUCUUACAUACAACCAGGCUGAGAGACCAGAUGUAUUAACCAUUGCCCAAGAUUCGUAUCUUGCUUACUCAAAGAAAUAGUGAUGUCCAUUGACAUGGGUUGUUACCCUCACCCCUACCAUGGGGAGGGAUAUCAUCUUCUAACUUCAGUCACUAAAUAUAUGUCCGAAUUUGUAUAGGUUGUAAAGAUUUUGUAAUCUUGAUUGUGUCAAGAGAAAGGAUGUUUCCUUACUCUGAAAAGCAUCCCUGUUGUCUUUCAUGCAUUUCUCAUUUGAUUGAAAAUAUUGGAGGUCGUGAUGUAUAGGUAGGUAGGUGAGUGAGAAGGUUCUCUUGAUUUUUAAUAUUUUUGCCACCGAAUUAUAGGAUUUUAAGGCAUAUUGAUAUUGAUUGGCUACUUUUUGUUUAAAUUUGUGGAGAUGUUUUAAAGACAUUUGAUUGAAGAGUUUAUGAUAAAUUGACUAAAUAGGUGGUACAAAAGUACUACUAGUUCUCAAUGUUUUCCAAUUUCCAUAGCCCCAGUGAUGGAAUUAUCAGUCUCCACCAAAUAAUCUAUUCAUUGCCAUAUUCGUAAGGAUGUGGCAUUCCUUAUCGAUCUACACCAAGUAUCUGCAACAAGCCUUGGGGAAAUGCACCUGGUGCCGUAGCGAAUCGAGUAGCUCUGGAAGCAUGUGUACAAGCUCGUAAUGAGGGACGUGAUCUUGCUUGUGAGGGUAAUGAAAUUAGCUGUGAAGCUACCAAAUGGAGUCCUGAACUAGCUGCUGCUUGUGAAGUCGGGAAGGAGAUCAAAUUUAAAUUCUCAGCAAUGGAUACUAUUUGAAUUCCCAGCAAUGGAUACUUUGUAAUCCAGUAAUUAUCAUUCGUUCUGUUAAUUUCAAUUAAACUCGGCCAAGUACAUACGAAUAAGUAUAUGUAGAGUGAGUACAAUUCUACACAUCCACAACAUACUUUACACAUAAAUAUACACAUAAGUUCAUUGGCACAGGUCACACCAUAUAUGUAAAUAACAAGUUUCAUGUAUACAAAGAGACCAAUAUAUUCAAUUUUUACAGUUAACAUUAAAAAAUUAUUCAAACCUCUUCCAAUUUCUUCCAUAGGUCCUUGUCUUGAUAGCAAUAAAAAUUUGAUCUGAAUUAUUUUCUUACAACCUCCAUGGUGCAUGUAUAGUAGACUCUUUAAACUUUAAAUUUUUAAAAGUCGAAUUCGUCACUUUUCAACACAAUAUUUUACUUUUUAUUUUUAUUUAUUUAACCAAUGUCCUAAGAGUUAAGGACACUCUUUAACAUUUCUCUGAAGUAAAUGACUAUGUCAACGACUAUACUUUUGCUCAAAUAGAUCAAUAGCCAAGUAGAAGCAGCAAUGAUCCUUUUUGGUCUAGUGCCCUAAUAGAAUACUAGUAUUAGAUAUUGGUAAUGAAUAUUACAUAUAUUUCUUCAAUUGUUCAAAUUAAUAAGCCUUUUUUACAUGAUAUUUCAGCUCAUUAGUUUAGCUUUUCAAUUUACGUAUCUACAAAGUUUGUCCUAUAAAAAUUGGGUCUAUAAAUAUUAUUUUCAUCCAUUUGAUAUCAAUGAUUAUUUAAAAUUAUCAAUCUAUUAAUUAAAUUGAUUGGACCACCUCAUAUAUAUAAUUUUUUUGUGGUGGCUGGGUUCGAAUCCCAGACCUUGCAUAUAUUAUGCAUUGUCCAUAGUGAGUUAAGUUCACGAGGACAAUUUUUUUUUUUGUGGUGGCCGAAGUUUGAACCUCGAACCUUGCAUAUAUUAUGCGUUGUCUCUACCAACUGAGCUAAGCUCACGACGACAAUUUAUAAAAAGUAAAUUGUUUUUUUUAUUUAAAAAAACUAACAAUAAAAUUAACACUUCUCUAAAUAAUAUUAAGAAAAAAAAGUAUCGGGUGGUUGGUGCAACAAAAUAUCCACGCCCGACGGAUCGGAUCAGUUUUGCCAACAAAUUUAGACUAUUAGUGAAUUCAUUUUGAUUCGAGGGAAAAACGACUACUUCAAAACUCUAUCGCUCAGGUAACGUUUUCUCCGAUCUCAAUUCUCUUCAUCGUUUUCAAUUUUUCACAUUUUUAUGCUUGCAGUGAUUCGCUUUGAAACCCUAAAUCGGGUUUUCAAUUUGAUUUUUACUUGAAUUUGUUUUUCGGCUAGUUGAUUUCAAUGCUAAAUCCUGAAAGAACACUUUGUAUAAAAACCACUUCAAAACGAUUUCAACUCUUCACAUGUUAAUGCAUAUGUAGUGAUUCACUAUUUCCAAUUCAAUUUUCACUUGUAUUUGUUCUUGUUCCGCCUGUUGAUUUCGAUGCUAAAUCAUGGAGGAAAGCUUCGCUCCAUAGUUUCGUAAUUGUUUUCUCAUUUUCAUUGAAAAUAAACUUCAAAGCCCUAAAUAGAUUUCCGAUAAGUGUUUAUUUGAAUUUUCUGUUCCGCGUGCUAAAUCGUGAAAAACACUUCGUAUAAUCAAAAUAAUUUCAAAACGCUAAAUUGAUUUCUGACAAGUUUUUACUUGAAUUUAUUGUUCUGGUACUUGAUUUUUAUGUCAAAACACUUUGACUGUCUUCACAGGAGAAAGAAUUAUGGAAGCUAUGUUGCAUGAUAUGGAGCUUAGGUUCGAAGCCAAGUUUGAAGCCAAGUUUGAAGCCAUUGAAUCAAAAAACGCCGAAAAUUUCAACGCCCUGCUCACUUUGCUGUCAUCAAAAGCUGAGAGCAAGAAAGCUUCCGACGCCGACGCCGCCGACAUUGAUAUUGACAACUUAAAGGAAAGAUCAAAGUUUAGUUCGUGUGUAGGCAUGUUCUCCAACGGUGAUGAUCCGUUCGCUUGGAUCACCAAAUCUGAAGUGUAUUUCAAUGUUCAAAAUACUCCUGCCGAUUUAAAAGUCAAUUUGGCUAAACAUUGUAUGCAUGAUGACGUUUCUAAAGCUUUGAUUAAGGAGGGUAAAGAAGAAGCUCCGACUUGGGAGGGACUGAAGGAUGCGUUGCUUAAAAGCUGCAGCGGCGUGAGUGAUGCUGUGAAUAUUUAAGUAACUAUUAGGAUGGUUGUGGCGGGCUAUGUAUGGAUAAGUAGAUUAUUAUUAAGCCUUAAAUGGUUGAUACUCUUUUGUGCUUUUGGAGUAGUUUGAGAAACCCUCUACUACUAUUAUCUUUUUACUAUCAAUAAAAAUACACUCUGUUUCCUAAUUGCAUUUAUUUCUUGUCUUUCUCUUUGUUGGUUGUUUUGGUGUGUUGGCUGUUUUGGGUGCGCAAGACUGCUUGGUUUGCAAAUGUGUUGCUUUAUAUGUAAAUAAAUAAUUAAGACCUUUUAUAUGAUCUCUUUCAAUUGUCACUUUAGCCACCAUAUCCCAAUGAUGUCGCUAAUGCUUUAAAAUUUCAUCACUGUGAUUCAAUUUCUUCUAUCAUUUGAUUUAUCUUUGUAUUAAAUUAGGGGGAGAUUGCAUCUCUACGUACAAAGUUGCUCAGUUGGAGAGAGACUUACGUAAAGCUAAGCAAGAAACCUCUGAUAAAGAAAAGGUAUACCAAUAAUUGUCUGCAAGGUUGUGAUUCAGUAGGAUGUUUUCUUAAUCAUGAAUUCUAAAGACAUAAUAUACCAUGAUAAUUAAUAUAUAGUUUCAAAAAGGUACACCUAUAAAUGAAAUAAAAUUUAGCCCAAAUUUAACUAAUUGACACUUAAUUUGCUAUUAACAAUAAAUCUUACGCGUCAUAUAUAAAUCUUAGAUUCAACAAAAUUUAUGCUCAAACUGAAAAAAUUACAAUAAUUUACAUUGUAUCUCCUGGUUUCAAGAAUAGUACAACUUCAAAUUUAUAGUAAAUUGUAAAUGUCUUUUUGAAAUGUAAAUUGUAAGGACAUGUGUAUUCUAGGUAAUAAAAUUGACAGUUGUUGAAGUUAACAUGAUUGUUUCCUGUUACUUUAAUAUUUGAUUUUGGCACAUGUAGGAACUGAAGCAACUGAAAGAUACCGAAGAGAAAAUGAAACCUAAGGUUUGAUUAUUUUUCAGCUUUUUAUCGCACAGCAGUUGUUGGUAAACUUUUCUUCCUGAUUCUAUCACGACACAAGACUCCUACGUGGUAUUUAAAAUAUAAUGAAGUGGUGGAUGAAAUCGUGCAUGUGCAUCAAACUUCUAUAACAAAGAUGAACUAGAAAUUUUGAAGAGGUUAUUGUUCUCAUACUCCUGUAUAAGUUAAGGAGCAUUCCAUGUGUCACGCAUUAAAAAAAAGGUUAAGCAGCCUGUUCUUGUAUUUUGCAGAGAACAGAAACAAUAUAUGACUUGCUGAAGUCAGUGUCAAAGGUUGAGAGACAAGAAGCAAGGCUAAAAGCACGACAGAAUUCGUCGAGACUUGGAAAUGUUUUAAUCAGGUAUAGGUGGAGCACUGUGUCAAAUUUUCAUAAUAUUUUUAUUUUGGGUUUCUUAUUGGUUUGAUUAUGAAUGUCAGAGCUGGAACUGUCGUAUCUGAGAUCUGGGAAGAUGGUCCGGCGUUGAAGGAUCUGCAUGCCCAGCUUGUAUGUCUAACCUCUUUCUUCCCCUUGUAUUUAUUUUUCAACAAUGGUAUUUGCAAGUAUGAUCAGAUAGAUGUCACACCCUGUUUUGGAUAAUUUCUGUCUCAAUAUAUCAACAAACUGAUUGUUUGUGACGUAACACAUCAUCGGUAAAUUAAAUUGUCUCUAAAGAUAUUUUCGUUUUCAUUUGUGCAACAAUGGUUUUAUGGGCCUCUCAUUAAAGAUCUUAUAUUCUAAAUAUUAUCAAACUUUCGCCAUUUUGCUUUUUUUUUUGGAUUGAUGACUAAAUACAAUUAUAAGGACGGUGGUGUCUUGAAACUUCCAAGCGUUUUCAUUUUCAGUACUAAAUACAAUUAAAGAACUUAUUAGCUUGUAUAUUUUGUGAAUGUUUCUAUUACUUCUGUAUGGUAGUUUUUUUUUUUUUUUUUUUUGCAAUCAAAACCAUUGCCUAUGACAGCAGUUUGCGUUAGUAAUACCAUGAAUUUCCUUAUCCCUUGAUUUAUGUUUUACAGAAACAACUGCAAGAAACAAAGGAGGAUAUUGAGCAGCAGCACAAUUUAUUCAAGAAAAAACAAUCUGGUAACACCCAGUGUCCUUUUUUUUCCUUUCUUUUAGCACCUGUCUUACUAAACUUGGGGAAGACGUGUUAAGCUGACCGCAUGAGUGACUGUUCUUUUCCUCUUUCCCUUCAUUCUUAGUUUGCAUUUUGCUAUUUAUACAUUACCCUUGUACUAUUAUAUAUCAUGAAUGUGCUCCUUAAGAUGACUAAUUGACAUAAAAUAUUUGUUUCAAAUCAACCUAUCGGAUACUGCUAGGCUAUGUUGUAUCACAUUAUUCUGCUUACUUUCUAAUGGUUUGAAUUUUGUUUUUCUUGGCCCUUUUCUAUGGUUGAAGAUAAGGGUGAUGGAAUAGAUGCAGAGGCUGGAUUGUCGGAAGAUAUUCUCAUUCAGGAGGAAAUCUAUAAGUCUCGACUAGCCAGCAUUAAACGGGUAAGUUGCUACUUCUUCGAUUAUUCUAUUUCCUCUUUAUACUUCUAAUGGUAGAACAAUUUUUAGGAAGAAGAAAUCGCUUUGCGAGAGUGCCACCUCUACGAACUAGAGAAGGGAAGACUAAUUCGUGAAAUGAAACGCAUACUGGAUGAAGAUGCUUCACAGUUCAACAACUUUCAGAUUUUAAACCAUCGUUAUGUCUUCCUAAACCUUCUUGGAAAGGGAGGCUAUAGCGAGGUGUACAAGGUCUAAACUUUACUGUUCAAUAUUAAUCAUUUUAUCGUAUUUAUAUUAAUUUUGUGAAUAUUAUACAAGGUUGAGUUACUAAAACCAAAAUCCUAGAGAGUUCCUUUGCCUUUUAUUGGCAAAUGUAAAUAAAUACUUUUUUGCAGUGAUUUGAAGUAAAAAAUUUCCAGCAGGCUUUUGACUUGGUGGAGCAUAGAUAUGUUGCAUGCAAGCUUCAUGGUGUAAAUGCUCAAUGGAGUGAAGAGAAGAAGCAAAGUUACAUAAGGCAUGCAAUUCGGGAGUAUAAUAUUCACAAGACCUUGGUUCAUCGUCAUAUUGUUCGUUUAUGGGACAUCUUUAAGAUUGAUCCAAAUACAUUCUGCACUGUUCUGGAGUUUUGUAGUGGUAUAUAUACACCUCACUUGUUUUCUUAAAACGACUAUUUUGCUGACUUUUUUGGUAGAUUACGAGUCUGUUUGGAUUGAGUUAUUUGAGCUUGUAUAUAAUGGUAGAGAAAGCUUAUGUAAACAGUUUGAUUUCAUUUUAUCUUUUAUAAUAGAAAUAGCUUUUGCAUAAGCACUUAUACGAUAAACACUUAUGCUGUAUGUGCUUAAUUAAGUUGUUCAUCCAAACAUGGCCUCUAAUAUUGUCUGUUUGAUUUCUUGUUUUAUCUACGCACCUUCCUUUAAUCCUCCCUUGUUUUCUACCAGGUAAAGAUCUUGAUGAUGUUCUUAAGGAAACACCUAUUUUGCCCGAGAACGAGGCUAAAGUCGUUUUAUUUCAGAUUAUCAAAGCCCUUGUUUACAUGAAUGAAAGAACGCCGAAGGUUAUCCAUUAUGAUUUAAAGCCCGGAAAUGUUUUGUUUGAUGAGCUUGGUAUUGCCAAAGUGACUGAUUUUGGUCUUAGCAAGAUAGUGGAGAAUGACGUGGGAUCCCAGGGUAUGGAACUUACAUCCCAGGGUGCUGGAACAUAUUGGUAAGCGAUGAAGAUCGUUGUUGUAGGAUUUCAAAUUUUGAAGUGUUCCAAAUUUGUUAGUUUUAAGCUUUAGCCUCUUUAUUAUACUCUAACUUUGAUGCCCCCUUCAUGUUUCAAUGAUCUUUCAGCAUUUGCUUCAAUAAAACCUCUUUCCCUUUUCUUUUUUGAUUUGCAGGUAUUUGCCUCCUGAAUGCUUUGAGCAGAGCAAGACACCUCGCAUAUCAUCCAAGGUAAAAAACUUUUUAAUUCGUGAAUACAUGAAAAGCUUUUUCUGUGUUAUCGAUUUUCAAUUUGUCAGUCAUUAUGGUCAGUGGACAUUCUGGGAUUUGUGUCAUGGUGUCCGUAUUCUGAAAACAACUAACUGAUAGAUAACCAUCUUUCAUGAUAAUCAGUACUCACUUUACAUUUCUGACUCGUGGAAAACAGGUUGAUGUCUGGUCUGCUGGUAUUUGUUUUUAUUACAUGCUCUUUGGCAGACGUCCUUUCGGGCAUGACCAAACACAACAGAAAAUAUUUCUUAAGCACACAAUUAUUAAUGCAUACGAAGUAGAAUUUCCCUCUGGAUCUACUGUUUCUAAUAAGGCUAAGGUGAGUUGAGCCCCUUUUCUAGUAAUUACUGCCUGUUGCUAAUUGUUCUUUGGCCAUCUUUCAUUUACUUAUAUUAUUCUAUUAUUUAGUGGUGGACACAAUCUUUGCUUGUUUUAGGUUAUAUUUAUUGGACAAAAUGUCAACUUUAUUCCAUGUGCAAGCACAAUUGGCCUUUGUGAUUUAUCUGAAUUUGUUAUUUCAUUCCUCCAUAUCUGAAUUUGUUAUGCCAUUAAAAUGAUGUUGGUUUAAUAGUUGAAAGUAAUUUGGACCAAUGAGAAAUUAUUGGUUGUGCAAGAUAUGUUUUUUAGUUAAAAACUUUAUCCUUCUUAUUAUCACUGACAGAACCAUAAUAAUAUUUCUUAGGCUUGAACAGAGAGUUUUACGGAAUUUCCCUUUUUAUUUUAAUAUAGGAAGGUUGUAAUUUUCAUUUAUGACCCCAGAUAUAAGCAUGCUUACGUUUGGUGUUCACUUUCUUAAUUUAGCUUAAAGAAAUUGAGUUGACUCCCUAUAAAGUGCAAUGCCAACCGUUGAUUGAAAGAUUGUGAUGAAAUACAGCUAUAUGAAAAACGAAUGGUGUAGUUAAAGUCUCAACCAUUAAUUUCCAAUCAAUAGUUAUAAUUCUGCAUCAUAUUCUCUAAGGAGCACUCAUCAUUUUAGAGGAGCCAAAUCCAAAAAUAGUACCUUUUUUAUCUACAUCCUUACUAUGAAACCUGACAAUUAUCUAUACUCUGUACAAUAUUGUCAGGAUUUUAUUCGGCGGUGUCUUACAUAUGACCAGGCGGAGAGACCAGAUGUAUUAACAAUUGCUCAAGACUCAUAUCUCACUUUUACUCAGGAAUAGAGAUGUCCAUUGACUGGUUUGUUACCCUCACCCCUAUCAUGGGGAGGGAUUUCAUCUUCUAACUUCAGUCAUUAAAUAUCUGUCAGAAUUUGUAUAGGCUGUAAAGAUUUUGUAAUCUUGAUUGUGUCAAGAGAAAGGGUGUUUCCUUACUCAGAAAAGAAUCUCUGCUGUCUUUCACGCAUUUCUCAUUUGACUGAAAAUAUUGGAGGUCGUGAUGUACAGGUAGGUGAGAAGGUUCUAUUGAUUUUUAAUAUUUUUGCCACCAAAUUAUAGGAUUUUAAGGCAUAUUGAUUGAUUGGCUACAUUUUGUUUAAAUUUGUGGAGAGUUGUUUUAAAUAGGUGGUACAAAAGUACUACUAGUUCUCAACCAUCAGAUGUGAUGUUUUCCAAUUUCCAUAGCCUCAGUGAUGGAAUUAUCAGUCUCCCCACCAACAAAUCUAUUCAUUGCCAUAUUUGUAAGGAUGUGGUAUUCUUUAUCGAUCUACACCAAGUAUCUGCAACAAGUUACAGACGAACAAGUAUAUGUAGAGUGAGUACAAUUCUACACAUCAACAACAUACUUUACACAUAAAUAUACAUAUAAGUUCAUUGGCACAGGUGCCACCGCAUAUAUAAAUAACAAGUUUUAUGUAUACAAAGAGACACCAAUAUAUUGAAUUUUUACAGUUAACAUUUAAAAAUUAUUCAAACCUCUUCCAAUUUCUUCCAAAGGUCCUUGUCUUGAUAGCAAUAAAGAACAUAUCUGAAUUAUUUUCUGACAACCUCCAUGGUUUAUGCAUCUGUCGUCAUAGUUAUCAUACUUACAUCUCCAAAUUGGAGUUUAGAAUCAAGUAAAUGACCAACUCAACGACUAUGCUUUUGCUCAAAUAGAUCAUUAGCUGAAUAAAAAAAACAACAAUAUUACAGAUAUUUCUUAAAUUGUUCAAAUUAAUAAGCCUUUUUUACAUGAUAUUUCAGGUCAUCAGUUAAGCUUUUCAAUAUACGGAUGGAUCUCCAAGUUUGUCCUAUAAAAAUUGGGUCUAUUAUUAAUUCUCUUUGCAAUUAUAAUCAACUUUGUAAGGGUAACAAUUUUAACACGUUAAUUCAAGCACCCAUCGUCUAUAAAACUCAAUACCCAUCUUCUAAUAUAUUAAUAUUAUCUUUUGUGUUGUAAAGAAUUUAAAAAAUCAACACACUACAGUAGAGAGGUAGUAGUAUUUGUGCAAAGUAGUAGUAUUUGUCUAUUCUUUCAUUACGAGUAUUGAAUUGAGGUUGAUGCAUAUAGUUUUUUUUUGUUGUUGAAGAAGCACAUAUAGUAUUUAUUAUAUGUUACGAUUGAAAAUAAAUAAUUAAUAUUACAUUGAAAGUUAAAAUGACAUGUAUUUUAGAUGCAUAUUUGUUUGCAUAAAGUUAAAAUGACAUUUAUUUUGGGGCUAGCUAGGCAAAACGAAGUAACUUGUAUUCAUGUACUAGACAGGCCAGACUCUUAAUUUUUCGGGCAAAAUAAUAAACUGAAAUUGUUUGAACCUAUUCGUUUCACUUUUAAAUUUAAAAUAAACCAUUUUUUUUAUUGUCAAGUUGCCCGGUGGGUGUAUUAACACACUUUUAAGUAAGUGCAAAGAAGUGAGAAUUUCCGAAUACUCCAACCCUUAUAUAUGAUUGUUUUUGCAGCUAUCAACUUAGUUGUACUUACACGACAAUAUCAACCAAUUUAGUUGUAUAAUGAUUUGAACUCAAGGUAUAUUAUUUAUGAAUUGUUAUUUGAUGGUAGUAAAUAAAAAAUAAUUUUCAGGACAAACCACUUUUUGGUCUCUAAAAUGUAACAUAUUAUCAUGUUGAUCUCUAACUUAUACGACAACUCAAAUAAUUCCUCCACUCUUCAAUUCAUUAAUCAUUUUGUCCAUAACAUUAACUCACCCAAAAUUGUUGACAUGAUAGUUGAAAAUGAUGAGAUAACAUGGUGAUGUGUGUGUGGGAGGGCUAAAAUGAAAGAUAAUCUUAAAUCCUACCUUGAACACCCCACUUUUUCAAAGAAGUAUAUAUGCAGGGGUCGGGAUUCGAACCUCGAACACCCCACUUUUUUACGUUUAUUAUUGCUUACUAUUAUGUAUGAAAUUAUUUGCAAAGGUUCCUUGUACAAGAACACAUAUGAAACAAUUAAUAGUUUGUUUCAAAGAAGUAUAUUUUGUCUACAUUAUUUAUUUAUGAUACGGUUAAUAUAGUUUGUUUCAGAGAAGUAUAUUUUGUUACUAACACAAAGAUGGUGUUCCCCAGCUCUAAGGCAUUUAAGCUACCGCCUACAAGGUCUUCAAAGAUUGUGGCUGCAUAAAAAACCAAUGGAAUGUUGAGACAAACGGUCAAAGACUCACACAUGAUAAAAUUAUAACAAGAGGUCAACAAUCAAGUGAAAUACAUAAAAUUUUAAUUUAUGCAUGUGCAAAUUUGGGUUUAUGUUUAAAUGUUGUUGGUGGCUAUUUCGAUUAACUUGCAUAAUUAUGCAGCUGUAGAUUGUGGUCUACAAAACUUGACUCGCACUGAGGCUAGAUUAUACAGUAGUUUAUUUGGAAAUAAUAAUUUAUAGUCACUUCAGAAAAGACUUUGCCUAAGCUAUUGAGCAAUUGGUCGUAACCUUAUUUAGAAGCAAAAUAUGAAAAUAAGGACCAUUGGUUCAACGUUUCUCAAUUGUAUGCAGUCUAAAGAGAUUUCUAAAUACAUAUAUAGUUAACUUCCAAAGUAUGAUAUGUGGAACAUAUAACAUUGUUUUGCAAUAUCUAAGUAUUUAGAAUCUAUCGCAUUCACAUGGGAUCAUGCGACACUAGUGCCUUUCAAGACUUAUUAUUGUUUUUAAGUACGAAAAGAUGUUUGUUUGUUAAUGAUAAAUGAUAUAAGCAUCUCUUGUGAUACAAUAAUGGAGAGAUAGUAUUCAUGGGAUUAAGUUUUGUUAACUAAUAAUCUAAUGUUCUUCUUUGAUCGAUUAUAUGCACUCCUUCUAUUUCAAUCAUACAUUCAUUUAUGGUCUUGCAAAUAACGAGAGAUCCAUUCUAUCCUCUAACUUCUAAUGUUUUACUCAGUUAGCUGAUAACAUGACAUAAUGUUCCGACAAUGUGUGUGAUUCUAAACCUAACUUGAUGUCUCACAACUAACAUCUUCAAAUGUCUCUACCCAUGUCCCUUACAAAUAAAUAUUAUUUUCAAACUGCACGUCAAAAAAGCACUUAGAGUGAGAAUAGAAACAUCAAUAUAACGAAAUAUGACUUGUAUAUAACCAAUCAAAUCAAGCAUCUACAUCAAAAUCAUAGAAACUAUACAUAAUCCCAUCAAUUGUGGGAAUUAAUUAUAUAUAACCUUACAAUACAUAUCAAGAAAAAGAGAGAGUCGACGUUGAAGACGAUGUCUUGAUCUUCCGUGCCUUCAACUUUCUCACCCUAUAUCACUCUCUAUCUAGUUUUGGAACUUCAGGAAGUGAAAAUAUACAAAAAAUAAUAAAUAAUAAUGAGACUUUCAGCUCCUAUUUAUAGAUUCCAAAAAAAUGAGACCAAGUUUCUUUCAUGGAUAAGUUACUUUAAAGUCAAGCUUUUUAGUUUCGUGCUAGCAAAGUCUCUUUCACGAUUACUAAGUUUACUUUUAUGGUUUUUUCAAAGUUAAGUAAUCUUGCUGGCUAAGAGCAUCAUUUACUCUCUUUAGAGUUUAGAUACAAAAUGUAUUGGAAAAUUUCAUAUUUGACUUAGUUUUUCAUAUUGACACAAAAUUGAGGGUUUUUAUUGAGUUUAUUGCAAAAUAAGUUAACAAAAAUCGUCAUUUUUUACAUUUAUUAACUCGCUUCCAUAUAUUUUGUUUGUCUAUAAACAAAAAUCCUACAAAAAGGCAAAUUUCACAAAAUUUCCAUAGUUUCUCGUUAUAAUAUAAAAUAUAUUAUAUUUAUUAAUAUGUGUAAAGAUGACAAAAACAACUUAUAAUUUCUUAAAAAAAAACUUGUAAUAAAAUACGAAGGAAUAUUAGUUUGUAAUUUGACUAAUAGUCAACUUUUAUUAUGGCACCCUUUAAAAAAAAACUAUUAUUAAGAUAGUAGAGUGUUUUAGAGAUAUUCCUUGUCGAUAUAUAUAUAUAAAGAAGGAAUAUCUCUAAAACACCCUACUAUCUUAACACCAUGAAGAAUUUAACAACACAUUUCUGUCCCAUAUAAGGUGCAGCAGUUGCUUUUUAUUCCCAAUCAUACAACACAUUAACCACAAAAUUUGCACAUUUCCAUUAAGCGUUGUCGUACUUAAAAUGUGCAAAGACUUUGGAAAGCUGCACUAUGCUGAUAUAGCAUCGGAGCAAUGUAGGAACGAUUACUAGUAUUUUGUUGAGAAGUGUACGACUAAAUUUUUAUUAGAAAUUCGCAAAGUGGUUUUAUAAGAUUGCAAUUCUGGAAUAAGCCAUAUGUUUUUGAUUCUAUUGAAUAUAAUUAUCCAAAAUCGAAAUGAAAGGAUUUACUUUAGAACAAAACUUCGAUUCCAUUUCCUAAUCGGGGCUAUUGAAAGGAAUCUUGUUUGGAAGAUGAGUUAGAGAGAUUUACCAGUUCAACUAUUUCUGGGAGGGGGGCUAGCAAAGUGAAUCCUGUUGCGAAUUACAUUCUCUUCAUUUUCAUUACAUUUUUAUUCUCUCAUGCUUCUUCCUUAUGUUUAUUCCAUCUAACUUAUUGUGAAGUUGUUUCAAACUAAUGUGCCUUGAUGGUAUUUCUUAGUAACAUCAAUAGUAUCUGUUUGCUCAUUUUUUUGCAGUUGGUGCUAAUGGAUCUGGCAAAACAAUUUUUUUCCAUGGUAAGAAAAUCUCCUUUUGUGAGUUGGUUGAAACUGGAUGGCUCAACUUGAAUUUGACCCUUACUUCCCCCGUUUCUUUUGUAUCUAGCCAUUCGUUUCGUGUUGAGUGAUCUCUUUCAGUUUCAGAACAUAAGAAGUGAGGAUAGGAAUGCACUACUCCAUGUAUGGCAUAGUUCAUACUUCCUUUUAUAUAUUUGUACUUCUGGUUCCUUCCAAUUGUAGAAUUUGACAAUGAUUAAACAAAUUUUUCUCUUUACAUCCCGGUAAUAAUUUGAAAAUAAUAAUUUCAUUUUUAUUAAUAACAAGGAGCAUGAUUUUCCACUGUUUUGAAGUUCAUUUGCUUUAAUUACGUUAUAAAAACAUCUCUUAUGCAUAUUUUGUUUUAGCCUUGAAAAAAAGAAAUACCACUUUCUAUCGUUGUUUGUUGGGUAAGAUUGAUUAACAUAUAUAAACUCAGGGAAAGAGUCCUCUGGCAGCUGAAUGAUACAGUAACGUGUUACAAUGGUUGAAGGAAAUGAUACUCUCCUAAGAGAAUACCGCACUACUGAUAUGAAAAUAAUUCUCAAGGCUCAGUUGCAACGUUUCCCACUAUACUCUACCCUCCCGUUCCACUACUCCCUCCUAUAUGCAUAUCCUUUCUUUCUGUUAUGCCUUCUAACUGCUCCCCUUCCUUUCCCUCCUUCACGCCUCGCUGUCCCUCUGCAGACUUGGGUUCCCAGGCCUAUUAUCCUUCUUUCUCAUGUGGUACACAUACUUGGCUGGUUUAUCAUUGUGCGUAAAUUGUAUACGUUGCAUGAUUGCUAUAACGACCCAAAAUUUGAGAGAUUAACUUAUGAAAUUCUUAGUGAAAAAGAUGAACAUUUUUUUUUUUUAAAUAAUAAUAAAAGUACCUGAAAACUCAUUGACUUCAAAAAAUUGAAUAAAUAAGUUUCUCUUGAAUUUUCAGAAUAGUAAAUCAGAGUUGUUUUACAUCAAAAUAUAAAAUUCCUAACAACAAGGCUUUCCGCCUUUCACUACCUAAAGACACAUCCUAGCUGGUCAUAACUUUGGACACUUGUGAGAAAUCUCAACAAGGCGCACCAAAGGUCCACAUAUCUCGGAGCCUCCAACCGUAAGUCAUUAUCAUUAUCUGAUUUUCAAAUACGGAAAAGGGUCAACUCCCAAACAAACAAAUAUACAAGUUAUACAUUUAUUUAACAUGUAUUUAAAGGCAUGCAAAUAGUACAAAUAUUAAUAUAAAGUACACAUGUGUCAACACCCAAAACAACAAUGGACUCGACAAAUGCACAACACCCUAAAGGUUGACCUAUAUGCGACACAAAUGAUCCGGAUAUCACCUCCCUUAUAGGGCAACAAAAGUUCUUCGUAGAUAUUUGUGGGCUUCAACCAAUUAUGAACACUCCACCGUGACUCCAACCAAUUAUGGACACCACAUACCCCACGGGUCCCAACCAAUUAUGGGCACCAAAAGAAGACACGAGCCUCAACCAAUUAUGAGCACUCAAAAGGAAACAAUAAGCCUCAACCAAUUAUGGGCACUCAAGACUUCGGAUCCCAACCAAUUAUGGGCACCAAGCGACAAUGAAUGUAUGCAUGCGACACCUGCAUAUUAACUCCACAAAUAGACCACUCACAAUGAGUAUGCGACUAAAUUAAUCAUUGUCUUAACCACCUGCUAGAGACAUUGAUUACACCGACAGGAAUGCUGACUAACAAAAUAUGCUAGACCUCAAUCAAGGCAUGAAACAACAAUUUAUACUCACAACCAAGCAAUAUAAAAUCAAGUUCACAUAGUAUGUAAGCAUGAUACAAUACAUAAACAUGUUAAAAACAUCAUCCUUUUAAAAAAACAAGUAAAUACAUAUAUAAAAUAAAAAAUGGAGCGCCCUUUCCCUUACCUUAGCAAUAUAGCAGCUAUUAAUAUUAUUGCUCCACUGAAUCUACACUUGAUUAGAUAAUUUUCCUAAGGUUUGCUCUAAUCUCUCUAUUAGCCCUUCAUCCUUUUCCGCUAUGGUUCUUCCUUUUCUCUCUAUUCUUCAAAGUGUAGAAUCAGCAAAAGUGGUGACUAAAUAGAAGAGAAGAGGUAACUGAUUGUUAUUAUUAGUGAAAUAACUCUCCCACUAACUCUCUUCCUAGAUGAGUGGCACUAUACUUGAGGAAUGGUAGGUUACACGGUUUUUUUCUUUCUUUCUUCUACACAUUUCUUUUUCUCUACACUAGUUAUCCUAUUGUAUACCUGUCCCAUUUCUUGUUCUAUACUAUUGGCUGAUCAUUAUACUUAAUUAAAUUGAUACUAACAUGAGAUAAAGAUGAGGAAUUCUACACGUGCACACAUAAAAAUAGUAGGAAUAAAUAGUUAUAGGGUACACUAUUUAAUAAUUAAUAUAAUGAAUUUUGGCUAUAUACUUUGAAAGAAAAAUGCAAAAUAAUAUUAUCACUCAAUAAAUCACAAAGGUAAUUAUUUUAAAGUCAAAUUAAGAUAAAAUAAUUUAGAAUAAAAAUAUGAUAAAAUAUCGAAAUCUUACAUUCUACCCACCUAAAAUAGUUUCGUCCUCAAAACUGACUAAGCAAAGUAGAUUUCCCUAAUAAAUUUGAGGCAAAUUACCCGGAUGUUACAAUUGCCAUGUCAAGGAAAAUGACUUUAUCUUGAAUUUUUUUAUAGACUAUAUUGGGAAGAUUCUGAUAAGUGUAGUUACCCUUUUUUUUCCUGGAUUUCGUUACUAUAUUAAUCUAUAUCUUUUAAAAUAGCGGAUGAUUAGGUAUUUAUCCGUUCUUAUGCACCAAGUUCUACACUAUGGGUUUUGCUGCUCAAUCUAUCAACAUAAAGGAUCUAUAGGCAAAAAAAGAAUCUAAUAUAAGAGAGAUUUUGGAUUUAUUUAACUUAAAAGACUUGUGAAUCUGUGAUGACUACUGGAUGCGUAUUAUUUCCAUUUUCCUCUUUUAAUUUUACCUGUCAUUUUUAACUCAUCCAUUUUCAAUGUUGAUGUAAUUUAUUCUUAUUCCAUGUAUGAAAAUCUUUGGCAUUGUUCUCCGGGGUUUGAUUGUAACUAUCACCUACUUCAAGUUGAGAAGUAAUUUGAUUAAUGAUAUGGUUCUUUGGGUUCGUCGGAGUUUUUUUUUUUUGAAAAACUUUCUGAUACAAUUUCAUCAUUCUAGAACUUGCUUUAUAUUAAGUAUCCUUUUAUCGAAGUUUUCUGCAAAAUCUCUCGAUCGGUGCUUGCCGAUGUACUUCUUUAUACAUUGCAACCUGAUAGCUUUCUUUUUUACUUUCUUUAUUAUUCAAGUGCUUUAUCUUUGACAACCACUUUUUUACAAAAUUUUGCACAUGUACUUUAUCUUGGUAUCUAUUUGUGUCUCUGAAUAGGUUGACAAGGAGGAAGUGCACUUACGCCGGACGAUUAGUUCAAAAAAGGACGAAUAUUUUCUAGAUGGAAAACACAUAACGUGAGUGUAAUAGAUCAAGACAUCGAACACAUACUAUACAUUCAUUUUUAUAGAAAAUUGACAUUUUAUCUUAUGCUCUUUGGUUAUUUGAGUAUUUAUUUACCUAUAGCCUAAAGAAAGAUGAUAAAUAAUUUGCAGUAAAGCUGAAGUGAUGAAUUUGCUGGGUUUUCUCGCUCAAAUCCAUAUUAUGUUGUACAACAAGGAAAGGUAUUGGUGCAUGCUGAUGGUACUAUGGUUUGGUUUUUUAAAUUCUUAUGUUGAUAAAAUUCAAAGUAAUUACUGAACUUGCUCAUUUAUUUCUCUUGCCUAGAUAGCAUCCCUAACCUUGAUGAAAGACUCUGAGCGAUUGGAUUUACUGAAGGAAAUAGGUGGUACUAGAGUUUAUGAGGAGAGGCGUCGUGAAAGUUUGAAAAUAAUGCAGGAUACAGGCAAGUUUUUUCAAUUAUUAUCAUUAUUUUUAAAUUUCUGUUAUUUAUGUUUAUUUUCAUGUUAUCGAUGUUAUUAUCAUGUAUUUUACUUUGAGACAGGUAAUAAAAGAAAACAAAUUAUCCAAGUUGUACAGUAUUUAGACAAGAGGUUGAAGGAACUAGAUGCGGAGAAAGAUGAACUUAGAGAUAUCAGCAACUUGACAAGCAGAGAAAAUCCUUGGAAUAUGCCAUAUAUAACAAAGAAGUUAAAGAUGCUCAGCUUAAGCUUGCAGAGGUUAUCUAUAUUAAAAUAUUUCCUUAUUUAUAGUUAUUUGAAUGAUUUUUUUUUACCUUGUUUUGUUUUUGAAUUUUUUCAUGAUGAUUGGAUUAUCAAUUACAUCCAUUUUGGUAAUAAUUUGUUGUUUUUGUUAAUUCGUAAUGCAUGGUUCAAAAUCAAUGCUGAGAUACUAAGAUGACAGAUGUUAUAAUAAAUUCUUAUGAAGAUCUCAUUUUUGUUUUCAAUUAAUAUUUUGCUUGGGUGUAGCUAAUUAGACAGAGUGGCAGAUAGCCAGAUACUUGAGUACUUGAGAUACUCCAGCAGAUUCACAGUCUCAAUUGUUUGGGAAGGUUUUAAUGAUAACAAUUCUUGACUAAAAUCAGAAAUAGAAUACAUCAACACUGUUUACUACCUACCAUAAUACAAUAAUAACUGCCACUAUACAUAUAAAUAUACAACGCACAUAACUGUCCUCCUAACCUAUCCGUCUAAUAAAAAUAACUGUCUAACUGCUUAAUAAAAUAACUUACCGGCCAUACACAUAACUAUCACCAGUAGCUCCUUUUUUCUUUGGACAUAAACUCUCCAAAAUUCCAAGGCCUUGUGCUGUAGACUGGUCUGUCAUCAAUUUGCCUGAGAGGUGGAGGAAAGUAACGACCUUGGUAAAAGUAGAAGCCAAACAAUGCUAUCUAUUAGCAAUGGCAGACUAUGGCUGAAGGCCAAAAAUCCGACAUUUUACGCUGCUGUUUCUGCUAUAAAGUGCCAUGGUGCUUCCGUCCUUCACAAAUUGGCUAUAGCAGUUGUCAAGAAAUCCGCCACUGUAAAUCGCCAUGACCAGUAUUUGACAACACUGGAGCUAGGUCAAGCAGAGAGUAAAAUGCACUAGACAUAUAGCAAUAGCAAAUUAACGAUCUUCCAACUUAGUUGACAUCUCUAAAUUCGUUAUGUUUUGGAGAGACCAGACUACCAAAAAUAUUUGUUUCUCAGAGCAAGUUUUAGGGUAAGUCUUCCACCUCAUUCAUACCCAAAUCUUCCGCUCCUUAGUCUUCUGGCAGUUGGUUACUCUGCCACUCCUCCCCUUUUCUACUCUGUCAUUCCCUUUUUCUUUUGUAAUUGUCUCUUAUCUCUAUUUCAUCCCCGUCCAUUCCCAAUCAGCCUAACAUCUUCGACUCCUUUUAUCCCUGCUAUAAACUUGGGUAAAAUGCUCUCAAAUAUUCAAUGCAAUUAUUUGCAGUUCGUAAUUGUACAACUAAAUUUUUGUUGUUAGUCUUUAUAGAUCAAUAAAAAAUUAGGAUGCCAAAUUUAUAUUGUUAUAGUCUUCUAGACAUUUUUAAUUCUUGUUUUACUCUAUUGGAUUUCUGAUGCCUGAAGGUAAAUGCUUGACUCUUUGUUUUAGAUAGAAGAAGCUCGGACCAAGGUUUCUGAAGUAUCAGCAAAGAUGUAUAAUGAGGUUCUUGAUGCACAUGAGAAAUCCAAUAAUUUGGAGAAUAAUUUGAAAGAUAUAACAAAGGAACAUAAAAACUUUAUCAAAGAAAAAGAAGUUAUUGAAAAGCAACAAACAACAGCAUUUAACAAGCGCGCAGAGCUUGAUGUCAAAGACUUGCAAGAGAAGAUCUCUCGAAAUGAACGUGACAAAGUAUUAUUCUAAUGAUGAUAUUAUGCUAUGAGUUAUAGUUCUUAUGAACAGGGUAGUUCUGUUCAUGAUUUAUCUUUGACCUACAUGGUUUUAGGGAGAUGCUGAAAAAGAAUUGAAGAUAUUUGAGAAACAAAUAGAAGACUCGAUGGAUGAACUGGGAAAAAUCAGUCCUAUAUAUGAUGGUCUGGUCCAGAGAGAAAAAGACAUUACAAUGAGGUAUAAUGUGGUUGUACAUGUCUACUGAUAAUGUUUUAAAGGUUAAUGGUGCUUUACCCCCUGUAAUAUAUGUCAUUUUUGGUUCUCCCCUGUAAAAUUUUUUUUUUUGAUUUAUCCCCCUGUAAUUUUAUUUUUUUUUGGAAUACCCCCCUAAUAGGUCGUAAUAAGCUGUUUUGUAUAACUAAGUUGUUUUGAAUAAGCGGUUUUUGAAAAUGAGGCCGUAAUAAGCUGUUUUUGAAAUAGAGGUCGUAUGAAGCUGUUUUGCAUAAAUAAGUUGUUUUGAAUAAGCAGUUUUUGAAAAUGAGGUCGUAAUAAGCUGUUUUUGCAUAAAUAAGCUGUUUGGAAUAAGUUGUUUUUGAAAAAGAGAUUGUAAUAAGUUGUUUUGUAUAAAUAAGCUGUUUUGAACAAGUUGUUUUUUGAAAAGAGGUCGUAAUAAGCUGUUUUGUAUACAUAAGCUGUUUUGGAUAAGUUGUUUUUGAAAAAGAGAUCGUAUUAAGCUGUUUUGAAUAAGCUGUUUUUUUUUAAAAGAGGUCAUAAUAAGCUGUUUUGUAUAAAUAAGCUUUUUUGAAUAAGUUGUUUUUUAAAAGAAGAUCGUAAUUAUUUGUUUUUCAUAAGAUAAGCUGUUUUUUAAAAAGAGGCCAUAAUAAAUUGUUUUUGUAUAAAUAAAUUGUUUUUAAAAUGUGGUUGUAAUAAGUUUUUUUUUUAAUUUUUUAUGAAUAAGUUGUUUUGAAUAAGUUGUUUUUUAAAAAUAGAUCGUAAUAAUUUGUUUUUCAUGAGAUAAGUUGUUUUGAAUAAAUUAAAAGUUAAAUUACAAAGUAUAACAAUGUAUUGAUUUUAAGAGGAAAAAGGUAAAAUAGUAAAAUUAUAACAUAAGCCCUCCAUUUCAUUUCUUUAUUGGCCUUUUAACUCCAGGAAGGUUUUCCCUCCUUUCUCCCUUCCCUCCCUUUCCUUCCCUUCCCCUCCUUAGCCUUUCCUUUCAUUCCCCUCAAAACUCGCAAACAAAGCCUUUUAAGAUUCAAGUAUCAAGUAUUUUUAGUUGGGGUCGGCUGCUGUGCUCCACUAUCUGUGAUUUGCAACACUGAUCAAUAGCUCUUGCCAUUGUCUGGUACUGUUACAGUAACUUUGCUCUCUUGUACUUCACUUUCCGUCUUGUUUUUUUUAUUUUUGUUUUGCGCCAGAGGAGAAAAAGCUGACGGAAGAAAUUGAACGACUUAAUGUUGAAAUGCAUGGUUGUGAUAUGGAUAUCGAGAGCCGUAGAACAAAUAUUAAUGCUUUGGAAUUUCAAAUGGCCAAGUUAUGUGAACGGUCUAAUAAGUUCGUAUCUUGUCUUUUUUUUUGUGAUGCACUAUAUGUUUUUGAUUUCAUAGUCAAUGAGUAUUUCUUAAUGUUUGAUAUUGUUAUAUUAUAGGUCCUUAUGGAGCAGAGAGAAUGAACUUACUGCUGAAAUUGAUAAACUGAGAGCAGAAGUUGAGAAGACUGAAAAGAGUCUUGAUCAUGCAAUUCCUGGUGUAAGUAGCCCAUCUUAAAAGCUUCUUUUAAAUGUGGUAUUUGCCAAUGCAUAAAAUGUAUAGGUCCCUUGUGGUGUUUCUGAGGCAUUGCACCUUUCACUACGGGUAAGGUACUUUGUGCUUGUUUAUUUUAUAUACUUUUAAACAUUUGUACAUACCCUGUAUGAAUUAACACAACAUGUGUUCAUAGAUGUAAACUAUUGUCAUUCUAAAAAUUUAGGAAAAACCUUGACUUUUCCUUAGGUGUUUUUACAACUAUUUUUAAUAUGCAACAACUUUUGGUCCAAAAGAAGCUGCAGGCUCGUUACCUCCAAAAAUGACAUGACAUUAAGUGAUAAAUAAUGAAAUAGAGCGAUUCGAUUAUAUUCCGUGGUUGCAGUACUUCUUACUUUUUAAAUAUGCUGAAAAGGAAAAGUUGGUACUACAAAUAUCCCACCAUGAAGGGGUCUAGGGAAAAGUCAAACUAUUAUGGUGAAUGAAUUUAAUAAUUGCUACAAGGUUUUACAUUAUUAAAAUUAAAUGUAUCUAAGUGUUUAGAAGUGCCGUUGAUAAAAUUAAAUGUAUCCCACUAAAUAAUACUUGUUCCUUUUUAACCGUCACUUUUAGAGAAAAAAUUUGUUUCUAAUUAACUGUCACUUUCAAAGUUCAUUGCAACAUUAAAUGAUGUUUUACCAAUAUUACCCUUAUAUAUUUAUUGCAGAAAGAGAAACAUAUGAAUUAAAAUAUUAAAUUAACAAGAUCAUUAUAGUAAAAGUAAAAACAAUUGUAUCAAAAGUAGUAACAUUUAUUAAUUGUCUUGGUUUGUGUAAAAUAUCAAAAAGUGACAAUUAAAAAGGAUCGGACGUAGUAGUAUAAGUGUUGGAGAAGUGUUGGUUUGACUUUUCGCAAGACCCAUUUAAUUUUUACUUCUAAACAAUUGACUUUUAAAUAAACAAUUAUUUAGUGCCAAACCAACACUUCUAAACACUUUCCCAUUUAAUUUUUACUUCUAAACAAUUGACUUUUAAAUAAACAAUUAUUUAGUGCCAAACCAACACUUUCUAAUCAACGCUCUCAAAAAAAAAAAAAACACUUUCUAAUCGAUUGAAAUUUAAAUGGGUCUAUGUUUAUGCCGGGCUUAUAUUAUUCAGUGAGAUACAUUUAAUUUUAUUCGAUUAAAGUGUGUUGAAGCGAGUGUUUGAAAGUGAGUUGAUAAAAAAUUUAAAAUCUAAUACUCCGGUUUUAAAUUUAAGCAAAAAUUCUCUUAUCAAAAUUCAUAUUAAUUGAAUAACUAAUUAGAUUUUUUUUAUAAGGCCAUGAGAAAGGUCGGGCAUCCGGGAGAAUCUGCAGCAUCCCAACUAGGUUGGCAUCCCACAGAAACCCCCAUCCUCUACCACCAUUCCAAUACGUAAUAUUAUUAAAAAAAGGGAAAAAUAUUUACAAAAGAGGGGGGACUAGGCCAAAACCCUCAAAAUGAAGAAAAAAGACAGAAAUAAAAAGGAACAGAAAAAGCUAAGGAAAUCUAUAGUUUGGUAGCCCAUUCCUGUCAUGUGCAAAGUCCGCCAACAACGUAGAAGGAAACAUGAUGAAGCAAGUAGCAUCAGCUAUGACAUGUCCUAGGGUUGCUAGGCCAGCCGUACAACCAUUUCCAUCCCGAAAAAUAUGAGAACUAAUAAUCAUCCAGAAAUACCUGCAAUAUAUAAUUUUGUUCCUCUGCAUACUGAGAAGAGACAAAAAUUACCGUAUAUAUAGAGCACAUACAUUCCUCCAAAACAUGAUAUUCAUUUAAACGGUGGAAGAGGACCAUGAGAGCGGGUUUUAUAUGAAACUUUUUGCAUAUUCUUUUUUUUCUGAGACUUGGAAACAACCUGUGUAAAUGGUACCUCGGUAGCUGCUGCCUUUGAUAGCCAAGUGUGCAUAAAAUCCAAGUCUUUUUGUAGCACCGGAUCUAUCUUAGAACCCUCGGGAGCCACAAUACUACUGAUAUCAAGAGUUUUAUUUUUUACGGGAGAUAAAACAGAUAUAGUAUUUCCCUCAAGAUUAUUAGCAACUAUAUCAUCGGAAACAUUCUCAAGCUGCAUACUAAAAUUAUUAUUUUAAAUAACAUGACUAGAAGUAUGAGUUACCACAGGUGACGAAAUUCCUCCCAGAGUGUCUGUGCAGUCUGCCCCUUGGUUUGCUACCAGGGUUGCAUCUAUAUGGUCAGGUAUUUCUUCCCCAUGAUUUUGGUCAUCAAACAUAGGAGUCGGUACAGCAGCAGGCACAACCUCUGAUCUGACAGGAACAAUAUCCUCCUCUUGCACCUCAUGUAAAUUAAUCUGGGCCGGAAUUUCAUCCUCUUGGUCCGUUUGUGAUUCAAUUGCAGAGGAAUUGUUGUUACUUCUGUUUGCUGCUCAGUAACACGAAUAUCUUGCUGAAUAUCAUCAUUUACUUCCCUUUCCUUUUCUAUAAAAAUCGGUGUUGAAUUAGUGCCAUGUGUUGCGCCAAAUGCUCUUGAAGAACCGAUCCCUGAAGGGUUGUCAGUCCUUGGAAUCCAAGUAUCUUUCGUUGCCUGAACUUGCUUUUUCCCAUGCGUUAUUUUUUCUUUGGCAACUGUUAUGUCCUUUGUGAUUUCCUUUCUAGGAUACAGUCUUCUGCAGACAGUGACGUCAUGGCCGAUAUUCUGACAGUGAGAACAGAAGUCGAGCAUCCAUUCAUAGGCCACGGCAACCAGGAAAACAUAUCCUUCCCUCUCAACAACAAUUUCAUGAAAAAUCUUACGGGAGAAAUCCAUAUCAACUAGAAUUCUCGCGUAGUGUCCAAACAAUCUCUUUGUUGUCGCAUUGUCUAUCACAAGAGGGGUUCCCACCGCACUUGCAAUCUCCCGGAGAGUUUGUUCCAUCCAGUACUCCUGCGGAAGUUCUAACAGGCGAAUCCAAACAUGAGCGUGAGUGUUUCGCUGCGUAUGCAUAUUGAAAUCCUUGGACCAUUCAAAAAGUCAAAGGACACCCGGUUUUAGCGUAACUGUGCCUGCUGCCCAGACAUUACAUUUAUCCAUCUCUGAAGCAAAGAAGAAUUCAUAAUAACCUCUUCCAAGAGACAUCAUGCGCCAUGAACCUGCAGUCUUCCAGUGCUUUUGUAAUUUCGAUUCAAUCUCCUUUGUAGAAUAGGCUUUCUCUCCUUUGUUUAAAACCAGACGUCCCCGUAGGUUGGUCUUACAGAAAUUCAUUCCACGUUCAUAUAGGAUCUGUGUGAUUUUGAUACUUAGUGUUUCUCCCAUAAUUGUUGGUGUUGGCAUGACAUUGGGGGCAGUCUGAUGGGAGGUUGUAAGAGCAUGUGCAAACGAAACCUUCGGCGAGACCGAUGGGGCAGGCGGUGAAAGGGCUGUGGCAACUUUUGGAGCGAUUGAGAUAGCAGACAUCUCAGCCUGCCAAUCAAACAUGGCGGCUGAGAUCAGAGAAGGAAAAAGGGGAAGCAAACACGUAAAAUGGUCUUGGAUUAGAAUGUUGUUUUGCUAACUUCCAAUUCUCCAAUGAAUUUUCCAAUUACGUAAACUAAUGGAACAAACGUGAUCCAAUUGAAUUGGUGUUCAAAUGCAACUAAGCCACCACUUCAAUAGCAAACACAAUCAGUGCAGUUCACACUAACAAGAAGCAACAAAUUUAUCCAAGAAUAAUAUACCUGAAUUGAAGAACGACGGAUUGGAAAUUGUAUGAAAAACUAUCCACCACUUCAAUAGAUAAGUUAUUCAAUGAAUGUGAAAAAAAAAAUCUUUUUUUUUUUGUCUAAUACCCCAGUGGCUAGAGCUUACACAAUUAAAUGUGGAGAAGUGAGGUAUACGGGGUUUGAACCUCAGCCCCUGCAUAAAUUAUGCAAUGUCCCUGCGUGAAAAAAAAAAUCCUUUAAUAAAUAAAUAAAUAACAUAAAUGCACCAUUUAGCAAGCUAGAGCCUAGAGGGUUGGUAUUCUUUUUUAUCAUCUACGGACCCCGGAAAAGAUGUCUUGUUUCUCUAUUUCAUAUGUUAAACUUCAUAAUAGAUACCAAUAACUUCACAUUGGAUUCGAAUCAACUUGAGUUGGUUUGAGACAUUGUAGUGUGAUGAUUCUCUUAAAGAUUUUAGAUUUAAUUCACUCUGAUGUCAAUUUCGAUGGAUUAGAUUAACUUAAAAAAACUUCAUAUUGGAUCUAGUGUAGUUUAUAGACAGUUGAAUUUCACUAAUUAACGCAUUCCAAUGUCAAAAUACACCAUCCGUCUCUAAAUAUAAGUAAAUUUUAUUUUUUAAGUUCAUUCAAUUAAUGAUGUAUGUGACUCAUAAUAUAAACUACAUACAUUAUUAAUUGAAUCAACCUAAAAAAUAAGAUUUGUUUGUAUUUAAAAACAGAGGAACUACAUUACAAAUGACAUACAUUACUGGUCUUCGAUAAAAAGCAAAAGCCGUUGAUAAUAACUGCCCGUUUGAUGUCUCCAUGUGAUUGGUAACAAGUUGGGACCAUCAAUGUUUUGUAGAUUUUGUCCAAAUAAAAAAUGUAUGAUUUCCUUUGUAUAUAUAUACUUUUUUUUUUGUCACAAAUAGAGUUUAUUUAUAUCAUUAUAUAAUGAAAACUGUAAAUUAACUACCGUUUGUAAUCAAUUUUGAUCGAAUUUUUUUCUAGACAAAUAUACUCUUAACAUUUUAAUUAACUUUUUUAAAUUUAAUUUUUCAAUAAGCCGAACCGAUCUACCGAAAUUUGUGUUGGAGAUAAUUGAACUUUAGACUUUGAAAGAAGUAAACUGCAAUGUUUUAAGUCAAUCACCAUCCGACAAUAUAGUUUAAGGAGUCAGAAAAUUAACUACUAAUUUUAGUCAAUCUUUUUCAAAACAAGUUUUCUUUUUGCAAUAUAAUUUUUUUUUUAAAAUUUAAAUUUGUAUUAAAAAAAAACAUGGAUAUAUUAACCGGAACGUAGAUGAUUUUAUAGAUAUUAUGAAUUUUCCCUAAAAAAAAGAUAUUAUGAAUUUAAAACAAGCAAAUCAAAAUUAAAAUAGAAUAGAUAAAGUAAAACGUUAUAAUUUAUUUAGACCAAAAAAAAAAACGGUAUAAUUUAGCUUCAAGCUAGUGUCUAGUGAUUUAAAAAUUAAGUUACUUGAUUGGUGUGGAGAAUAAAAUGGUCAAAAAAGGUUAGUGCUAAAGGUGCAUUUGAAAGAAGAAAUGUUACAUCAAAAUUUAGUAUCUUUUGCCAACAAAAAAAUUUCGUAACUUACAUAAUUAAAUGAAGAAUGAUUAAAUUAUAUAUAUAUAUAUAUAUAUAUAAUACUACAUCCCUUAAACUGGGAAAUUCAGAUUAAUUACAAACAGUUGUAACUACAUAUUUGAAAAGACCCUCAUCCAAUUAAUUCAUUCUUCUGCGAUUUGCGAUGGCUCUGUUGUUCGUUCUUUUCAAUCUUAUGUCAAACAUAUGUUCAACAUGUCUUGCAAGCCAUUCGGGUUUACCAGUGAAGAAGAAUACAUUAUAUCCCAAUAGCAACCCGAAUAUUGCCCCACAUGCAUAUCCGAUUGCUACCGCUUUCCAGCCAAAUCCGGAUUCUUCUUCAUCUUCAGAUGUUGAAUGAGGUGGCAGAUCUUCCUCAUUUUUGCAUGAUUUAGACAAUUGGAAUCCACACAACAUUGUAUUUCCUUCAAAAGAAUCAUUUCCAAAUGUAUUAAACUGUUGACCUUUAGGUAUGAUUCCCUCAAGAUGGUUUUGUGAAAGGUUUAAGACUGAGAGGAAGUUCAAAUUUGUCAAAGCCACAGGAAUCUCACCCUUCAAUUGGUUGCAUGAGAGGUCCAACCACUCCAAAUUUCUCAAAUGACUCAAAGAUUGUGGAAUGCUACCUAUGAUUCCAUUGUUUGAAAGGUUAAGUCCUUUGAGAGAAUUUAAUUCUCCAAUGACUUGUGGAAUUUCACCUUCAAACAUGUUAUUUGAUAAAUCAAUAGUUGUGAAAGUAGUCAAUAUCUUUGUUAGCUCCAUGAAAAAACCUUUCAUUGUGACCACAACAGAAUCAUUGUAGUAAUAAGAGUCACCCAUGUAUUGCAAACCAGUGUUAUUGUCAUUCACAUUCAUCAUUCCUUGAAAGUUCUUGAUGCAUGAUGUUGGCAAGGGCCCACUAAAAUUGUUGUUAGAGACAUCAAAAAUUCUCAACUUGGGAAAUGUAUGCUUGGUGCUAGAACAGGUGAUUGCACCAUGAAGAUUAUUUGAUCGUAAACUUAUCACCUGUAACUCUGGUAGAGUUUCUAGCCAAUCAGGAAAUGUAUCCUCAACGUUGUUGUCACCAAGGUCCAAAACUUCAAGAUAUGAACAGUUAGCCAAAGAUUGUGGUAAUGGUCCUUCCAAUUGGUUGCCAUUCAACUUUAUAGUCUCAAAUGCAUUUCCUUUGGAGAAGGUUCUAGGAAUGCUUCCAUAGAGGUUGUUCAUUUGCAUAUCCAAUACAGUAAGAGAAGUUAAUGUUCCCAGGCAUUGUGGAAUCAUACCUGUCAAAUUGUUGUGAGCCAAAUCGAGCAUAUAAAGGGAACUGGCAUUGCAGAAUGUUGAAGAAAUGUAUCCUGUGAAGUUGUUAUUUGAGAGUGAAAAGUAUUUAAUGCCAGAAGGUGGAAUUGGAAGAUCUCCUUGAAAGUUGUUGUGAGCCAAAUUGAGGGUAUAAAGGGAACUUGCGUUGCGGAAUGUUGAAGAAAUAUUUCCUGUGAAGUUGUUAUUUGAGAGUAAAAAGUAUACAAUGCCAUCAGGUGGAAUUGGAAGAUGUCCUUGCAACAUGUUGAAACUAAGAUCAAUGUACCGAAUGUCCUUCCAUGUGUUUAAGAGCUUCUUAUGAAACCAUUUGGG